UUUUUUUGAGUCUCUAUCAUUUUUCAGGGACUUGGAUUUUCUAGCUAGCCACGGGUCAACUGUGAUGUUAUUCGACAUCCACACUCGUCUUAUGUGCUAUGAAUUUCCAGUGACCACUUGUUGGUAAACCUCUUUAUGUGUGUGUUACCCAAGAGGUUGCAUCUGGUUCUGUUUGGGUAAAAUCGUGUAUCUACCGCCCGCCCAACAGACUCAGAUAGUAGAGUGUCAUCAGAAAAAGCAAACUGCACACAUGGAACCUUAUGUGUUCCUCGGGCAGACAUCGUCUCUAUUAGUGGGCAUCUCUAAAUUAACUUACGGCGAUACAUGAUAUGUCCACUAAAGAAACAACCUUCUGAGACACUCAUCUUUGCCUAGAACUGUCUCAUGAUUAUCGCUGAUAUGGACAUGGGUUACAUGCUUCUUUACUCUUAAAGGUCUUUCGCUCUGAAUCUUGUGACGAGACUUAAAGGGGGGAGGGUUGUAACAUCCCUGGUGUUUAUAUUCCGCUCGACAACGAGUAUGGAUCUAAGCACGUAAUAUCAGCGGAUAAAACAGAUGCUAAAUUUUAAACAUCUUCACCUAUCGCGUUUUUAAUAUCGCAUCAGUUUCGUCGGUCGCGAGUUCGACAUCGUUUUUAUCUUUCCGUACUCUUCCUAAAUUUUCGCGAUGUUCGGAACAUAGUUGUUCCGAAAAUCGGUGGGUCCGGUGAUUAUUUAAAAUUCAUCGCUCGCGCGAAUCCGAAUUCGGAAGCUCGACCUGCUCUUGCGAUUUUAUCCCGGGCAAAUUAGUUUGAACUCGACGACUAAAAUGUUUGGGCAAAAUAAUAUGAAUCACGCAGGCUCUGAGAGAAAUCGUGCGUGAGGUUGAUAAUCAAGGAAUUAUAAUUGAGAUUCGAUUAUCACACAAAUUGCCCGUAACCAUGGAAUCAGAUGUUUAGACCCCAGAUAAAUUUAUCAGAUUUCGAAUCGAAUCGAAUCGUGUCGCAAGUCAACCUUUUUGUAAUCGCUAAAAAUCUUGAUUCAAAAAUAUCUGUGAUUUUCGGUAAAAAGGGAAGAAAUUUAAAAAAAGGAAUAUCUUCAGCCGUUCUCUCUCUCGAUUUUUUUUCAGCCACCGCCGUUCCCUCGUCUUUAUCCGGCCGCCGCUCAGGGAAAAAGAUCCCGCCGCCCCUCGCCUGAUUUUUCCCAGCCGUGCUCGUCUUCUACGCGCCCAGACCCUCUUCUCCUCCUCAAGCUGCCCAGCCGCCCCUUCGCUCUCACCCUCUCUGCUCGUCGCGACCCCCCAGCUCCUCCCUGCCGCGCGAGCUUGCCCCUCCUCGGAGUUCUUUCGUACCGAGCCUCCUUCGUCGCGCCCCUUCUGCUCUAGCUCGCUUUUGCCGUCGGGUUGGCCGCGCGGGCGCAGUCGGCCGCGGAGACUAGCGCGUGCAGGCUGCGGAGGCGCGCGUGACGAAACUGACCGUCCCAGCUCCUCGUCUUCCCCUCGACUCUCUCCUUGCCGGAGCUCCUUCUGCUCUGUGCUCUCUUGCCCAUGGCGCCGAUCCGUCCACCAUGACUGCGUCCCUCUGCUCGGAGCUCCCUGCGCGCCGGCUCCCUACUCGGCAGACCGCGCGGCUCCCAUGGCGUGCCUCGAGCUUCUCACAGCCGCACCUGGCCGGAUCUCCCAGCCGAGCCCCUUCCCCACCCAUUCCUCCAUCUCCGGUGCUUGGUGCCCAUCUCCCUGCUGGCCAUGGUGCCCCUGUAGACUCCAUACAUGGCACCAUUGUCCCGGCCGUGAUGAUGUGCCGCUCGGCCUCCCUGCACCGCGCUUUGGUGGUCGUGCGCGCCCAGCCCCAUCUCCCUCCCAGCUCCUGGCUUGCCCCUGCUUCCAUGGCUGACCGCGCUGCUCCCCUGCGCUUGCCACGGUGCCCUUCUCCCUGCUUGCGCGUGUAGAUGUGCCCUCUGCUCGGUCUUGCCCAAGCUCCCAGCUUCCUGCACACGCGAAGCUCUCUGCUCACCGUCGUUUCUCCUCUGCGACCGCUCAGUUCCUGCUUGGUGCCCAGCCCGCUUGUUGCGGACGCGGGCCGCCACGCUGCCAGGCUGCUCUCUCUGCUCGGUCUCGACCUCUCGCAUGUGUUCCUGCUCACCCUGGCCACAGCUGCCCGGCUCGGCCGCUCCUCCUAUUCCCUGCGCUCGCCCCGCCGCGCGCUCUCCUGGUUUUCCCUGCGCGCAGCCACGAGCUUCGCUCGGCCUGCUCUAGAUCCGUAGCUAGUCGCUCUAUGUGCUCGACCUUGCCUUGUCGCAGAACCCCAACACCGUCGAUAUCCAGCUCGCCCCUGUGUCGCUCUCCCUUCCGUCGUCCCCUGCUGUGCCCCGGACGUCGUGCUCGUUGUGGUCGGCAUCGUCACGCUGCCCGUCUCGCCUGGCCCUCAAAUUUACUCUGCUCCAGCCGUCCGAACUCGCUAGCUCUUGUGCCUCUCUGCUCGCGCGCCACUCAGUACCGCAUCGUUAUCCUACUCGCAGUCAGCUUUGUCGUGAUUGCUGGGCAUUACUCGACGCCCUGGCAUCAUGUCUAUAUUUGUGUCUGCCAUCGUCGUCAAGUUCCUUUUGUGGUUGCCUCGCCUGCGUGUGUGUGGGAGUGAGAAUAGAGCUAUGGUUCAAGAUAAAAAUGAAGUUCGAAAGCAACGCUCGUCAGGGACCCCAUCGUCGACAACUUUGGUUCUUCGUCGCCGGAUCCGUGUUUCGGAUAGCAGCAACCUUGCUGUCAUCGUGUUCGCUCCAACUCUGCCUCUACGUGCUCGUCUUCGAUCACCGCUGCAAUUUUAGAAGUUUGAGUGAAGAAGUGGAACUCACAGGGCGCUUGCCAGGAGCUCGACAGAAGGCCUGAACAAGAAUCGUCAACGUUGGCUUGGAAUUCUAGUUGAAUCGGUAACCGUUCUUUAGUUAACUAUUUUUAUUAAUGGAUUGAAUAGAUAUAUUAAUCGCGACGAUUAUCUUGAUCGAAGCAUAAACAUGUCAUAGUUAUAUUAGAUGGUUGCCAAAAUAUCUUGUCGCAUGUGAGGACAUGAUUAUGGCGUACUAAUUUUGCAAGGUAAAACUUAGAUUUAAAAUGCUAGUUACGUAGGAGUACCCGACCGGACGUGUCUGUCGAGUGUGUUCAAAUUGGUUUUACUUAUGAAGUAUGCCAAAUUAGUGGCAUGAAGAAUUAAUUUAGUAUUCCAAAUGAUUAUCCGAUAAUGCUGUCAUCGUUGAUUUUUGUGAGGUAUUUUGGUAGUCAAACUUGAAAUGUUUGAUUAAUUGUUGACAUGUAAAAUAGAUGAGGUGUGAAAUAAAAUUAAAAUAGUUCUUUGUGAGUGAUGUGGUAUAAUUUAUAAAGCAAGGGAUAAGUGUAGAAUUUAAUUAAUUAGCUGAUAAGUUGUGUUUAGGCUAAUUAUAUUAAAUGUGUAUAGUUUGUUGUUUCGUGAUAUAUGCGUUAGAUUCGGUUAAUCUAAAGAAGCGUAAUCAUUGUACUUAAUCAUACGUCGAUAACUAGUGUUUUCGUAUGAAACGAUACAACGCCUCACCGCUAGGUGUUUAAUUCGCUAUCGCGUAGCACUAUUUAGGUUUGUAAUAUUCUUGUCUAUAUGCAUUCAUGUGCAUAAUGCAUUUCAUUCAGGUACGUUAAUUGACUACCUGAUAUGGAGGACCAAAGCUGAGUCGACCACAAGAGAAUGGAAAGUGUGAGCUUCUCCGAGAGAUAAUGCUGAUGAACGAACUGGAAGAUGGACAAACUGAACGAGUGCCAAGCCAAAGGAUGGUCGUCAAGUGAUCGACGUCUAACAACACUAACUUAGUGUUAUUCAGGCAAGCCCUGGUGCAUUUGCCACCUCCUUGCUGUUUUAAAAUCUUUUAUCACCUUGUUUGAUGCAUUAGGUGAUAGGAGUUGUGUGCUAAACAAUUGAUGCAUUUCUUUCCUUUGAAAAUUGAUUACCCUUCCUUGAUACCCUUUUUGAAAAUAAUUUUAUGAUGCUUAGCCUUGCUUUAGCAAACAAAAAUGUUUUGUUUUAAAACAAAAGUUAUGCUUCAGUGGGUGGGAAUGUUUUCGAAAAGAAAAACUUGUGAUGGUGGAUCCAUCAGGGCCUUGAUGGGUUCAACAUCGGAAAAGAUGUACCUCUACCAGGUACCAAACUUUGGGUUGAAAAUAAUAAAGCUGAGACCGGGCGGUUGAGUUGCACGAGAAGGGAGUCUCGGUGUAGUGUCUCCGUCUGAGUCAAUUAAGGACCGUGUCGAUGUAGGCUUGCUGAUUGAGGACCUUUUAACUGGUCACAUGCCUCAUCAUGGGUAAGCUUUGCCUCGGGCAGACUAAUACCAGAAUAGGACAACAUGCAAUGGGAGUGGAGAGAUGGCGAGAGUAGCGUGUACCCUCCGUGGCAAGAGGCUGGACGGUGGUGUAUCUGUGCUCUCGGCUGACGUGAACCCGAUCUGGUCUUAAGAACCUCGGUGGCGAGUUGACAUAUGCAAGGGUUAAGUGCUACAUAUGUCGUGUGAUUGGAGAUCCCCAGCUAGGUAUUAAUCGAUUCGGAUCGCCAUUACUUCUCGGACAUGAAGACUUGGUCACUGCCCUACAUGUAGCAAUCCAGUGAUCUAAAGGGAUGAUAAAAAAACGGCUAGUGUAGGCCAAGUGCUUGAACUAGGGUAGAAAGAACUCUAGAUGCAAGUAACUUUACUUAACCUGACAAGUAAAAAUGGAUUUUUAAGGAUCCAUUCAUAGUAAUCUUUUCUGCAAAAGAGUCUUUGAUUCUUGACAAGCUAUACCUUGAUUCCCAAUAGCCAGCGUAUCCUUGAGAGUCUUUUUCUUUAGACAGGUAAGACUUGCGAAAGUACACUUUGUACUCAGGGUUUUCGAACCCAUGUUGUUGCAGGUACUAGAAUUGUGCUGCUAUGGAUGGUGUUAAGCGCCGGUGGGCACGACCUUCUUAUAAGUCUAAGUAACUCUUCUAUACUUCUUAUUAAGGAUGGUCACUUGAGCUAGCAUAUAUUUCAAAAUUAUAAAUAAUUUAUAACAGUUCAAAGUUUAUCACUUUGAAUCACCUUUGUAAUCACUCCGAUCAUGUACAAUGUAAAUUUGUUGUAACUUGUUUGGUAAUAAGAUUUCCGCUGCAAAAUUGUUGGUGUGUGAUUUGUGUUUACUUAAUCCUGCGGUCCUGGUUGUAAGUGGUUUAUCUGAGGUCCUUGGGGCACUCAGACAGAUCCCGUUAAGUUAUUUGGUGCACAUGCAUAGCCGUCUGAGGUAUUUGAGACAAGGGCAGGUGCAUGUGGGUCCAAUAACUUGGGAGGUUCUGCCACAAAUUCGGCCCAGCCAGGGCACGCGCGCGGCCACGCGGGCAGGCGGCCCAGCUCGGCCCGCCAACGGGAGCGGCGCGGGGAAGGCGCCUUGGGCGCGGGCCCACAAGCCAGCGAGGGGGGUGACGGGAGGGUUCGGCCGAGAGGAAACCGGCCGCCGGAGCUCGACGACGUUUCUCCACCGGUGACCCGAUUCCUGGCGAUUGGGGAGGUGGCGAAGCACGGGUGGGGAUAGUGGGUCAUGGUGGAGGGGUCAAUUUGGCUGGUGGGGGCUUAGAACGGUCGGUCCGCAGUGAGGUGGCGGGCGCCCGCGGUGGUGAGGUCGCCGGCGAGGCCUACGGGUGUAAUAGGUGAAGGGAAAGGGUGCGUCGUGUUCGUGGUGAAGUGGUGAAACUCAUGAGCCAAACCAAUUUGACUCUAGGCCACCAGAGAAGGGAGGGAGAGCUCACCGGAGUGGAGGAAGAGGGCGGCGCGCUGGCUCGAUUGAGCUUGGGGAAGGGGGAGAGAGGUGGCCGAAGCUGGUGUGAAGAAAACUGGAGCUCGGGCGGUCCCUUUUAUAGGCGGCCGGGGAGGGGGGAUGUCACACCCGGCUUUAAGGAACAAAGCCAGGUGCAUCUCAUACAUGCGCCAAGAAGACAACAUAUAUAAUAACAGAGUGUAUAGAGAUAAAUGUCAUAAAACAUUAGAGUAUUUAUUACAUAGCGGAAGACUUAUUACAAAAUAAAAUAUAAAAGUAAAACGAACUAAGGAUCGUCGGCGCCAAUGUCAACUGAGAAACGCCACCUAGAUCAGAUCAUACUCCUCGCCUUGUGGCUCCUCCUGAACCACCUGCUCUUCUCCUGUGGGGGGGUGUGAGACAGCAAGGGUGAGCUCACACAUGAUCAUAGCUCAACAAGUUGUGGAGAACCAGUGGGCAUAAACUCACAAAGGUGUGAGUUCAUGUGAUGUGUAAGGCUAAUCAAUGAUAGGGGUUAAAGCUGAGCAUUGCUUUUAAGUAGUUGGUCAAAAUUUUAUUAGCAAUUACUAAGUGUAAGUAAAUACCAAACCAUAAAUAAAGUAAUAAAACAAAAUUAAUAACAAACCCAUGCAAUGCAAAUGACAAAAUUGAAUUUAAGUUCCAUAGUUUAAACAUCAGAGAGUCCUGAGCUGCUCAUGACCGCGAGCACGGCUAGUAUACCAGUUUUACACUCUGCAGAGGUUGUACCCUUUACCCACAAGUCAUGCUACCCAUCUGCCAAGGGGUCGCGAAUCCCAUACACCUCUACCUAGGAAGCGCGACAGGGCAACACUACGAGGCCUUUACAAAGUUCCACUAGCUUCCGAAAACCCGCUACAGUUUAUAGGAAGUUCCAAUGCAGGGUUCUUGACUGACCGCCAUCGCAGCAAAAUCAACCAAGGACCUCCCUACACUGACCACUCCCCUACUGCCCUUGCCCCUUUCGGGUAAGGUAGUCUUCCACUAGCUUUCGUAAUUAGUCAGCCAAGGGCGUCCCAUUAAACCCUUGUGGUGGCACGUGUUACUCAAGUUAAGCUCUAUGUUCCAAUUAACAUUAAUGAACUUGACAUGAACAUAAAUAGAAUAACAAGAAUAAUUGGAACAUAGAUAUAAAUGAUUAUCCCAAAACCAUGUAAAGCAAUAGCAAACUACCCAAGUGAUUCAAAGGUAAACAAGGUAAUGAGAUAAACAAUCUAGGGUGACCUAUUGGGUCCCAUCAAAAUUAACCUAUGCAUGAAUAAGUGACAUUAAAGAACAUUAUAGGGUAAAAAGUGGUCAAGGGCACAACUUGCCUGGCACUUGAGAUUCUAGGUACCAAUUUGCUUUCCAGAUGACACGUGUCCUCGCGUUAGUCGUUGCAAUACAAACAAACAUGGUAUAGAUAAAAUUAACAUCACACCAAACAUAAGAAUAUACCGCAUAAUAAUGAUCUACGCGUUUCUACGAGACUAACGCAACUUGAACGGAUCAAAUCGGAGUUAAAACGAAGGAGUUAUGACUUUUCUAAGGUUUUAUGUAUUUGAUACGUGGUUAAUUAAGAAAUAAAUUUUAAUACCAUUUUCAUGUUAAAACAGAGACACAUGGUGAUAAACAACAUUAUUACAAAAUUAUAGAAACUGAAAUGGAUUAAUUUGGACUACAUAUGAAUUUUCUAUGAAUUAAACCAAGUUUUACAAUUAUUUUUAUACUCAAAAUCCAUUUCUAAAUCUAUUUUUCCGGUUUUAUUUAAUUCCUGGACUGAGCGCACCAAUACUAGGAAGCACAGGGGCUAAUCCAUAAGAAUCCCUAGACACAGAGCGCUAUAUGCAGGAUAGCGGGUUGAUUUCCCUAUACUAGGGGGUCUAUUUUGCAAAGUGGUCACAACGAAAGGGUAUCAUUUGUUUCUGGCCUUCGGAUUAGGUUUGGACGGUCCAGAUUAAAUCUUUCCAACUCCAAACCGGUAAGCAAUCGCACCCGUUAGAUCAAAGAUCGACGCCCACAAUUUAAUGAAGGCGCGAUCUAAUCUUCACCAUGCAUACACCGAUCGACGGUCCCAAUCACCCAGUCGAACCGGUACUAGUAGACUAAUCCUAGUCGUUAACUCCUAAUCUGACGGCUAUCCAAUCCUCGUCUCCUCCCGAUACCCGAGCUAUCGUGGCCGCGAUGGAUGGUGGCGGUCUUCCCCCCCUCCGGCGAGCAAUUGCCAAACGAAACAGACCCCAAAUUUCAUCCCGGCAAGACCUACUCGACGAUUACGGUCUAGUGAAUUGGGGAAAACAAAGAUUACCUGCUAAUAUUCGACGUUGAGCCCUAGUCACGAUGCGCAGCGGACAUGCGGUCGAAUGCAACACCGACGACAAAUUCCCUGGACCCUAGCGACUAAUCCUUGGUGGCGGGUCUUUGGAAACCUUUCCCCCGGCACUGCGAAGCUUGCGGGCGAGUGAAUGGCACACCAGCAAAGGCGGUGAUGGGAAUCCCAUGGCGGCAGACAGGAUGUUGGUGAGCCAGGCGAUGGGGAUGGAGAUCUCCACACCGUCUUCGCCGUACCCGUGGCGCAGCAUGGGGCCGAACAACCGGUCCAGGCUGAAGGCUUGCGCGGGCUGACCUUGGGCGGCAGCGUCAUCUUGCGGACCCCGAGGUCGUGCACCGUGAGCGAGCGGAGGCGACUGGAGUUCAUGGCAGUGCGGCAUUGGCUCACAACUAUGGUUUGGGAAAAAAGGAAGUGCGCAGGCGACGGACUUGUACGACCCACGGAGCCACGACUUUUAACCCCCGAGCGCGGAGGAGGGCGACCCGAUCCUCCCGGCGUCAUGGUGCGGCCAUUGCAACAGCUUGAUCCGAACCUCACGGAGAAGAAGACCUGUCAGCCCAGGGGGCCCACAUGCCAGCGGAAGCCACAGCGCGCGCGCACUGAGUCGCGGAGGUGCCGACAUCCCGGGUCCGCAGAUCAGUGAGCGUGUGAGGAGCGAGCGCAGGAGAGGCUGGCGCAUGGGUCCCGCUCGACAGUGGUGAAGAGCGGCCGACGGGCAGGGCCCAUUUGGCAGUGAGUGACAGCGCGUGGUGGGGGAUGGGCCGACAUGUGCAGGUGUUUAGUGGGCCAGAAUCAAGUGAAUGAGCCCAGUUGGGUUCUUUCCUUUUUCUUUUAUGUUUUUAUUUUCUGUUUUCUUUCCUUUUUAACUUCUAGACUUCAAAUUUGAAUUCCAUUCUAAUUGUGAGCUUAUACUCAUUUUAAAUGUACAAAUUGAACCAAAAGAUAUGGAUAGUUUAACUAUUUAUAUAUAUAUUCCUUUAUUUUUUUGUAUAACAUCUUUGUUUCUCUUCUCUAAACUCCAAUUUGCAAGUUAGGAUUAAAUCUCUAAAUUUGGAUUUUAAUAUAUUUCUUUUUACAUUAUUUUUAUAUUGUCACAAAAUGCACACAAAAUAAAAAUCUCAGCAUGAUGCACAAUUUAUUUGGGCGUCUCUUGUUAAUGGUUUAUUUGUGUAAGUAAUGUGUUCACAUGAAAUGAUAGAUAGAGAUGACACACUCAUGUAUACAAAGGGAUAUAAUUUUCUCCUUUUCGAUUUUCUUACAAAGUGGGUGCUACAGGGGAGAGGUGGUGAGCACCGGCGACGCUUGCCGCGGCGGUGAUGAUGGCGCACAGUGGUGGCGACGGGAUGGCUCGGGCAGACGGUGGUGCCAGGAUGGCUCGGGGCAGGCGCAAGGUGCCAAUUCGGCUGGUGGGUGAGUAAUGGCGAGGGGAUGUGGCGGAGCGGUGGCCGGCGGUGAUCGCGUUGAUAGCCGAUCACGGGCGAGAGAGAGAGAGAGAGAGAGCUGACAAGCAAGGCCUGCUUGCCAGAGAGAGGGCGAACGCGAGGGGGAAAGGGCGAGUGCGGCUGACGGGUGGGGGUCGGGCUGAUAGCGAGGAGGGGGAGGAGAGAUGGCGCGAGCGCGGGCGGGCGCGGGAGGUGGGCCACGUGGGCCGUCCAGGGGAAACGCGGCGCGCGGGAGGGAGAGAGAGUUGGACCGGAUUCGUUCCAACCGAGGGGGAGAAAUUUCCUUUUUCUUUUUCAAUUUCUAUUUCUAUUUCUCUUUUUCUUUUUCCUUGAUCCCUUUUUCUUUUAAACAAUAAUUCUACUAAUCUCCUAGGUGCCAAAAAUAAAAUACUCUAUGUGAAAUGCUACAAGGAGUCAUGGUGUAUGCUUAUGAUGGAUAAAAUGCUUCAUGGGGGCUUAAGAGAUAAUCAAGGGGGGGGUUAGGAGUUUAGGGUUCUAACUUCGUAAAUCAAAAUUGGGAUGUUACAUCGGAGGAUGAGUCGGUGGAGCUCUUGUCGGAGUCCCAUUCCCGACAUAUGUGGGCAUCGCCACCCUUCUUCUUGUAGUAUCUCUUCUUAUUCUUCCCUUUCUUGUCGUCGUCCCUGUCACUUCCACUAGAAAUUGGACAUUUUGCUAUGAAAUGACCGGAUUUACCACAUCGGUAGCACACCUUCUUGGAGCGGGACUUGUAGUCCUUCCCCUUCCUUUGCUUGAGGAUUUGGUGGAAGCUUUUGAUGAUGAGCGGCAUUUCCUCAUUGUCGAGCUUGGAGGCGUCGAUUGGAAGCCUACUUGAUGUAGACUCCUUCUCUUCUUCCGUCGCUUUGAAUGCGGCGGGUUGCACCUCGGGUGUAGAGGUGGCGCCUUGCUCCAAGUUGACAAUAUGUUUGGAGUCUUUGAUCAAAAUCUCAAAGCUCACAAACUUGCCAAUUACUUCCUCGAGAGACAUCUGUUUAUAUCUAGUGUCUCCACGGAUUAGUUGCACUUGACUGGGAUUACGAAAAACAAGUGAUCUAAGAAUAACCUUGACCAUUUCAUGGUCAUCCCACUUGGUGCUCUCGAGGUUGCACACUUGGUUCACCAUGGUCUUUAGCCGGUUAUACAUUGCUUGUGGCUCUUCUCCUUUGUUGAGGACGAAGCGACCGAGCUCGCCCUCGAUCGUUUCCCGCUUGGUGAUCUUGGUCACCUCGUCCUCUUCAUGCGCAGUUUUGAGGACGUCCCAAAUUUAUUUGGUGCUCUUUAACCCUUGCACUUUGUUAUACUCCUCUCGACAUAAAGAGGCGAGGAGUAUAGACAUGGCUCGGGAGUUAAAGUGCCUAAUUUGGGUGGCCUCGUCCGAGUCAUAGUCUUUAUCCCCGACCUGAGGUACCUGCGCUCCAUACCCAACAAUAUCCCAAAUGCUUUCAUGGAGUGAGGUUAGGUGAUGCCUCAUUUUAUCACUCCACAUACAAUAAUCCUCACCAUCAAAAUAUGGUGAUUUGCCUAAGGGUACGAAAAGUAAUGGAGCGCGCUUUGAAAUACGGGGAUAGCGUAGGGGCAUCUUACUAUACUUCUUGCGCUCAUGGCGCUUAGAAGCGACGGAUGGCUCGGAGCUUGAUGUGGAGGGUGAUGAAGAGUCGGUCUCAUAGUAGACCACCUUCUUCAUCAUCUUCUUCUUGUCACCUCUCCGAUGUGACUUGAUGGAGGAAGAGGAUUCCUCCUUAUGCUUGUUGCCGGACUCUCUUGAAAGGGUUCUCCUCGAGCUUGCGGGCUUGUCGCCGGUCACGAUCUCCCUCUUGGCGUGAUCUCCAGACAUCACUUCGAGUUUGUUAGACUCUUAAUGAAGCACUAGCUUUGAUACCAAUUGAAAGUCGCCUAGAGGGGGGGUGAAUAGGCGUAAUCUAAAAUUUACAACUUUAAACACACACUACAAGCCGGGGUUAGCGUUAGAACUAAAUUCAAGUCCGGGAGAGAGGGGAAAAUAAAUCAAAUGAGUAUCAAGCUGAUGAACACGGUGAUUUGUUUUACCGAGGUUCGGUUCCAAAGAACCUAGUCACCGUUGAGGAGGUCACAAAGACCGGGUCUAUUUCAACCCUUUCCCUCUCUCAAACGAUCACUUAGAUCGAGUGAACCUUCUUCCUUAAUCUCACGGGUCACUAAGAUCCCGCAAGGACCACCACACACUUGGUGUCUCUUACCUCGCUUACAAAGCACUUAAGAAUAAGAAUGGGAAAAGAAAAAGGCCAAGCCAAGCAACAAGAGCAACAAAGAACACAAAUACACCCUCUCUCAAGUCCCUAAUGGAAUUGAGUGAAUUUGGAGGCUUAGAGAGGAUUCAAUCUAUUUGAUGUGUCUUGGAGUGGAGUCUUUUGCUCUUGUAUUAAAUGAGAUGUUUGGAAUGCUUGGAUGGUUAUGAAUGAGGUGGUUGGGGUAUUUAUAGCCCCCAACCACUUCCAUAGCCAUUGGGGGAGGCUGGUGGCGAUGGGCGCACCGGACAGUCCAGUGCGCCAUCGGACAGGCACUGUUCCUUGUCCGGUGCGCCGCCACAUCACCCAACCGUUAGGGUUUGGAGCUGGUCGAUCAUUGGAGGAUUUGUCCUCUUGCGGCACCAGACAGUCUGGUGCCCUUCUGACUUUCUGCUCUGAUUUAUGCGCUGCACUGUGCCGCACUGUUCACUUUGCAGAGUCGACUGUUGGCGCGAGUUAGCCGUUGCUCCACUAGCACACCGGAUAGUCCGGUGAAUUGUAGCGGAGCGCGCCUUCGUUUUCUCGAGAGUGGCUGGUUGACACCUGUACGGUCCUGGUGCACCAGACACAAUCCGGUGGCACACCGGACAGUCCGGUGCGCCAUUCUUCAGUGCACUCAAGUUCUUUGCUUCGUUUCAAAUUGAGUCCCUAACUUGGUUCUUUCAUUGGUUUGUGUUGAACCUUAUGCACCUGUAAUAUAUGAAUUCUAGAACAAACUAGUUAAUUCAUGUGUUUGUGUUCACUAUCAACCACCAAAAUUAAUUAUAGGAAAAGGUUAACCCUAUUUCCCUUUCAACAUCAAAAACUCUAUUCAGUCUCUUUUUGCCUCGACCCCGAAGGCUGUUUUCAUAGCAUCAUCUUCAUCCCUCAAGUACGCACCAAGCAAUUCAUCACUGGUUGCUUCGAUGGCAUCCAGUCAGUCAUCAUUAGGCUCAUCGAAUUGGCUCCUGUACUUGAAUGUGUAUUUCAGAUAGACCAAAUCACCUUCGCUGGACCCAGCAGCAACUUCCUUCGGCAUCUCCCACCCACUUGAGAGCGACCACACUCUAUAAGCAAUAUGCUCCUGGACUAAGUCCCUGGUGCCUAUGUAAGUACAUACUGUAUUAAAGGCAGCAUGGCAUGCUUGUAUGUCAUUCCCAAGGGCAGUGGAUGGCCUCCUAAUGCCGAAGCGAUACCAGAUAGGGCGUUGGAUAAUCCCUUUAAUGUCUUCCCUUGCAACCAACUCGUUUUCACAUAGAACCACUCUUGCAUCCAGGCCCCCGACCACCUCUUUCGAAAUGUCAGAACUGGGUAGCUCACCCCAGAGUGAGGCAUGAAGCUGUAGCAACCAAAAUUGUUGUGAUAUUGAUCCUUGCUAGUAGCCUUCGUCUCAUAGGAGAGCUCGUGGAUAUUGCAGAAGUAUUUUGCAUUCGGUUCCAAUCCCUGGCUCCUCAUGGCCCAAAUAAAGAUCCCCAUCCUGAUGAUAGCUUCGAGGGUAAGAUGAUGAAGGUAAAUUUCGAAAGUCUUCAAAACAUCAACUAUCAAUUUAUCUAGGGGGAACCGAAGCUGUGCCUUCCUGAAGCUUCUAUAAACUACCACCUCGUCAGCUUCGGGUAGGGGGACAUUAUUUUCUCCUCCAGCCCUUACAAUUGAAAUAUCGGGAAGUAACUUCCUCUCAUUGCAUCAAUUUGCCACUAUUUGAUGGUUGAUUUCCCGAAGACAACAUGACUUGGUCUCCAGGGUCGAUUAUCGACAUCUUCACUCCCACUCUCUGCAACAAAACUCUCACUAUCACUAGAAUCUUCAGAUAUCCCAACUAACGUCUCAUGAGCAAUCUUCUCUGUGUUGCUUCUUUCCAUAGCUUCGUAGAACCCAGACAGUGCCGGGUCGACAACCUUCUUCUCGUCAGCCAUCAAAAUCGAAGGUCGUUGAAAUGUCAAAGCUUGAAUUCCAAUUAAACCUCGGCAAAACAAGCAAGUUUAAAAUGACGAGCACUGUGUAAGCAAUUGGAAUGGCACGGAAAAAUGUUUUCAAUGCGGCCUCCUAUUUAUAUGCCUAGCGCCCCAUGGUUUGAUGGGUCCUGCAUGUCAGUGUCAUUCGCUAUUCUAGCGAAGGGAAGGUGUUUUUUCGGACCUUCGGCUAAAGGCCUUCGUUCACGUUGCAGUCUAAAUUUGUUACAAAGAAACAAAUUAAUACUACGAUGGGCUACUGUUGGGGGCUCAAAAACAUAAUUAACCACUUGUUUUUAGCAUAAACUAUUACAGGAAGCUUCGUCUCUAGGAGAUGAAGAUGGACUCAAAGAAGAUAAGAGUAAACGCCGAAGCUAUUGCCAGACGGAAAAGCUCCGGCUCGCAACAAAACAGAAGAAUGUUGAUAAUAGCCAAAGGAGGAAAAGACUACUUAGUCCUUCAUAAUUUGUAUUAUGAUCAUGUGUAAACUUUGAGGACAUAAAUGUACUUUUGCCUGGGCUGCGUCCCGUGCCUAUAAAUAGAUGAACAGUAACACCGUACUGUUCACGCUAAAUUGUAUUCACUCUCGCAUCUUCGCCUUCGAGCAAGCCGAAGGUAUCAAUGUAAUAUUAGCAUUGUGAUAUUUAUAUAUGUUUUGUUGAAUGAAAGAAUAAAUGAAUUAUCAAAACAUGAUUACCAUAUUUGUUUCUUCGCAUUCCUAUCCUUGUAUCGAUAUGAUGAAGGUUUGUCCUUCUUAGCCUUUGUCCGAGAAGCAUUAUACCCGUAAGGAGAUAAUGCUCCGAAGGACGAAGGUUCUUAAUGAUUAAAAAUUGUGUUGCCUUGUUUUUGACUCACAACAUUUGAGAACAAGUGACCAACAACUACUUUAUUUGACAUCUGAUGACACAUUGAAUGCACUUAUAGCCGUCAAUAUAGACGUUACUGUUGACCGUUGGGAUUUCAGUCGUUGAUAUGCAGGGGUGCAAUGUCCGGCCCAGGGGCGUGGACCGUCAGUGUGUGAUAGAAAUUUGGCAAUAGAUAUGUGGUGGUUGAGGGCUAUAAAUACAACCCCCAACCACCUCCAUUUAAGGCACCCAAGCAUUCCAACUCCCACAUUCAUUGCAAAUCAAUAAAGUUCACUCCAAAGCCUCACACAAGCAUCAAAGAUCUUCCAAGUUCAACCAUUGUGAUUGUGUUUCAUUAGUGAUUAAGUGCAUUGUGAGAGAUUCUAGAGAGUGUGAGCUAGUGUUCCAUUUGUCUCUCUUUAUUGCUUGGUACGUAGGCCUCGACUAUCGAGCCGAUGUGAUUGCCGAACACGUGGUUCAUGCAACGUUGAUACGUGGCACUGGCAUUCCUCAAACCAAAGGGCAUGGUAGUAUAACAGUACAUACCAUAACAGGUGAUGAAAGAAGUCGUGAGCUGGUCGGACUCUUUCAUCCGGAUUUGGUGAUAGCCAGAGUAGGCAUCAAGGAAGGACAAAGUCUCGCAUCCCGCAAUGGAGUGAAUGAUCUGAUCAAUCCGAGGUAGAGGGUAGAGAACUUUUGGACAUGCUUUAUUUAAACCAGUGCAGUCUAUACACAUCCUCCAUUCCCCCUUUUUCCUGACUAAUAUGGGAUUCGCCAACCACUCGGAAUGAAAGACCUCCUUGAUGAACCCAACCACCAAAAGCUUGUGAACCUCCUCCCCGAUGACCCUGAGCUUUUCCUCGUCGAAUCGGCGUAGGUGCUACUUCACCGGUCUUGAGUCGAUGCGAAUGUCCAAGGAGUGCUCGGUGACCUCUCUUGGUAUGCGUGGCAUGUCCAAGGGACUCCACAUAAAUACCUCAGCAUUGCGUGGAGGAAGUCGAUGAGCACUUCUUCCUAUUUCAGGUUGAGCUCGAAGCUGAUCUGUAGCGCCUUCUCGCCCAAGCCACUGGGGUUGAGGGGAUGGUCUUUGUUGCUUCAGCCAGCUCAAAGCUGUUGGCAUGCCGCUUGCGGUCGGGAACCUCGUUGGUGAGGUUCUCUAGGUCGACGAUGAGAGCCUCAGACUCUACGAGUGCUUCGGCGUACUCGACGCACUCGACGUCUCACUCGUAGGCGUGGCGAUGCGUGGGGUUGAUGGUGAUGACAACCGCUGGUCCUGACAUCUUCAGCUUGAGGUAGGUGUAGUUUGGGAUGACCAUGAACUUAGCGUAGCAUUGCCUCCCAAGAACGGUGUGGUAGGUACCUCUAAACCCUACCACUUUAAAAGUUAGGACCUCCCACCUGAAGUUGGAUAGGGUCCUAAAGCAAACGGGCAGGUCGAUCUGCAUGAGGGGGUGAACUCUUCUAUCGAGAGUGAUGCCGUGAAAUGGCGCGACCCCAGCCUAGACCUGGGACCGGCCGAUCCCCAUAAGGUCCAAGGUUUCUGCAUAGAUGAUGUUGAGGAUGUUGCCUCCAUACAUGUGUACCUUGCUAAGUCUAGUGUUGCUGAUGAUUGGGGACAAGCGGGUACCUCCUAGGAUUUGGGACGUAGUCCGGGUGAUCGUCUCGGUCGAAGGUGAUGACGCGGUCAGACCAGUCUAGAUAGACAAGCGCCGCUAUCUCAAUGGAGACCUCACGUCGUUCCUACUUCCGCUGUCGUGUGGAGAGGUUCACCGUCUGUCCACCAAAGAUCAUGUAGAAGUUGUGGACGUCUGGGAACUCUUCACCUAGACGUCUUCGUUGUCACCGAAACCUUUGUUCUUGCCAUCAUCUGUAGAGGGGUCAGGCUUGUUGUAGAAACGUGAGAGCAUGUCACACUCCUCGAGGGUGUGCUUGAUGGGGCCCUUGUGAUAAGGGCAAGACUCCUUAAACAUCUAGUCGAAAACAUUAGGAUCCCCUUGAGAGCCUCGGGGGUUUCGUCGUUCUGCUGUGGCGACAAGAUCUACGUUAAGGGCCUCGUGCUGGCCCUGCAGUGACUUCUUUUUCUUGGGGUUGCAUUGGGAGGUCGCCUCGAGGGCGUCCUCCUUCCGCUUCGUGCUACCCUUGCCAUUAUGGAAUAUGGCGUCAACUGCUUCCUGCCCCGAAGCAAACUUGGUGGCGAUGUCCAUUAGUUCACUCGCUUUGGUGGGGGUCUUGCGACCUAGCUUGCUGACCAAAUCACGAUAGGAGGUGUCGGCAAGGAAUGCACUGAUGACGUCUAAGUCGGUGAUAUUGGGGAGCUCAAUGCGUUGUUUGGAAUAUUGACAGUUGUACUCCCGUAGGGUCUUCUCCUGCUUCUGCCGACAGCUCCGAAGGUCCCAAGAAUUCUUAAGGCUCACAUAUGUGCCCUAUAAAUUCCCCCCAAAAACCCUGACUAGGUUCUCCCAGUCAUGGAUUUGGGAAGGUGGGAGGUGCUCAAGCCAUGCUCCAGUAGAGUCAGACAGAAAGAGCAGUAGGAUGCGAAUGAUGAGGUUGUCAUCACUCGUCCUUGGGGCUGGAUAAUGAGCCAGCUCGGCUCGUUUUGGCUUGACUCGUUCUAGCUUGUUAGUGUAACGAGCUAGCUCAGCUCGACUCAUUAUAACAACGAGCUAAAAAUCCAGCUCGGCUUGGCUCGUUAGCCAGCUCCAGCUGGCUCGAUAAGCUCGUGAGCCAUACUAACAAAAAACACGAAUCCGUGAACAUACAAGUCUAGAAGUGUAUAAAACUCGGUCGGGGAGGGAAAGACCGCCCUCCCGGUAUUAAAUUAAGAAGAGACCAAAACAUGGUCCCGGCCGAGAAAAUCCCCGAACCCUGGCCCCCCAUCACUAGCGGGUCGUCACCGCCCAUUCUGCAACGGCCCAGCCGGAGGGUGGCGCGCAGGACGUAACCCAGGAGCGGGCGGGGCACAGCGAGGGGAUUUUUUUAACCAAGCCAGAAAUUCGCCCCCGAGGGGGAUCGAACCCAGGACCUGGAGGUGCUACUUGGAAGCCUUAACCAUUACGAUAGAGGCCCUUUUGCAAGUCUAGAAGUGUAUAAACAUGUACAAAACAAUAGCAUACAUUGUAAAAUAGAAAAAUAAUUAUUUAAACCACUUCCAUAGUUCAUAGUUUAAUAUUUCCAUUCCAUAUCUCCAUGUCUAAUCUAGGCAACAGUCCAUCAAUCCAAAAUAUUAAUAUGCAAUACAAGCAUGCAGCCACAUAUGGCAUGCCCACAUAUCGACUUACACAUCAAAUACAACACUCCAUCAUAGUCUAUGGACUUAAACACAUCAAUUUUCACUCUCUAGUUAAAAAAGGUCACCAAGAGAUAACUUUGAAGCUAGCACGAAAAUAGACACAAAGACAAAAUAUACAUGUCUCCACUCUAGGUAUCCAAUGGUACACUCUCUUAAACCUGUUAGGUAAGCACCAACAUCAAAUGAGGACCUCUUUAAUUGAAAUUCAAUAUACAGUUCUAUAAUAAACAAGUAAAAUGUUGAAUAUCUACUAGCUACUUGCCACCACACAUUGUUUCAAUGAUGAUUUGUUAGGGCUCGAGACUCGAGAGCAAGGAGGUCAAAGACUCGCAGUGCAGUUGCUACCGCCGACCGUAGAGUCACGGUCCGCAGACUUAUAGUUUUGCCGAGUGAAACUGAUUUGUCAAACUAGAUGUCUUAGGGUUUUUUCUUGGGCUUUCUAAGCUGUGUGGGCUAUUAGGUUGUUGACUUAGCUCAUCUAGCUCGCGAGCUGCUCACGAGCUAGCUUAAGCCAGCCCGUUAACGAACCGAGCUAAAACAUUGGCUCAACUUGUUACAAAAUAUAAACGAGCAAAGCCACUAACGAGUCGAGUCGAGCGAGUUAUCGAGCUUCGAGUUUUUUGUCCAUCCCUACUCGUCCCUCCAAGUUGACAGGCCAGACGAUAGUCAGCGAACCAUAGCUCUGGUUGGUUUCCCUUGAGUACUUGGUAAUAGUAGUCGGGGCUCGAAACCGGGAUGGGAACGACACCCUGCAGAUGGCUCGACUGAAGACUCGUGGACCUGGUGGCUCGGGCGAGGGGCUUCAAUCUUCCCCACUGUUGUAGCUACCACUCUGCUGAGGGUGGUAGCCAUGCACGGCAUGUCGUCGGUCGUUGUGGUGUAGCCGUCCGCCAAGGCGGUCGUGAAUACCACGGUUCUGGUGGUUGUGGAGGAGGUGGUUCCAUACCGUGGGGGAUUUCUCCUUUGUGGGCUCAGGAUGGACCUAGGCCUCCCUCUCUUGGCAAGAGGGCCCCGUUCGUUGUUUCGAGGCGGGCUCCCGAAACCUAGAGGCGGAGCUCUCGGCCUGCUGGACCACAGCACACUCCAGGAGUCCCCUGAUGUCAUAGUGGAUUCGGCGUUCCUUGGUGGUGGAUGCUCUGGCAUGGUUCAUAGCAAGAUGGCUACCGCAACAAGGUUCUGGCUGGCCCUAUGAAAGGCCAGAGGGGCUUCAACCUCGGCAUCUUCCAUGAUGCAACGAUGGACGUCGCGAGCCUUGGCGCGUGCUCCCUCGUCGGGGGCUCUACAUGCCACUUCCCGCUCGAGAACUUGCCGAAACUGUUGUAGCCAAUGUUGUUCUUCCUCGAGCUUAGCGUGCAGCUCACGGAGCUGUCCAAGGUGGGCUAUGUGACUCCCCGCAGGUGUCUAAGCCACACCCUGCUCCCUUGGCUCCCUUGAGUGCGGGGGCGGUGCCGGGACGUUGUCCUCUCGAGGCACGCCGAGAUGGUUCCCUUCGUCAUGCUCCUCAUGCCCCGCGUGAAAGCACUCCCGAGUUGGGUCGUAAUCCUCCCCGUCGGAGCUGUCGAAGAGGAGGUUGUGUGAAUCAUCUAGGCCCCUAAGUGGUGUUUUGGUAAUUAAUGACAACUGAUUGUGGACUAACAAUUCUUGGAGAAAUAAGAAUGCAGGACUGGACCACAGGAAACAGUAAAGUCUUUGGGACUUAUAACCAUUGAUUAUGGAUCAAGUGAAUGCAAAGGUAAAACAUAGGUUUUUUACUUUGCUGAUCACCAGGUGUUUAGAGAAGAAAUUGACCGGAUUAAUAGGAUAGGCAGUCGUACUAUUAAGAGGGGUCAAUGAACUUGAUUGGUGUAAAACUUAGUGCCUCGUAGAGCAUAAACGGUAGCAUUUGCAUGAGGGCUAACAACGCUUCAGGUUUCAAAAUAUAAAUUCUUUUGAACUAGCGCAAAAUCUUUUUUCUCUAUGGUCGGUGGACCGUCCGGGCCAGAAGGUCGGACCGCCCGUGACUCUGCCAGAGAAGUCUGCUGGCAGUCUGUCUCUGUCUCCCUUCGUGGACCGUUCGGGCCAGGAGGCCGGACCGUCCGCAUAAGCUGAACUGAGUUUGGGCAGGGACAAUGUGUUUUUGUGUCCUUACACUACAGACCAUCUGGGGUUUUUAGCCGGACGGCAACAGGUCCAUGUGUGGACCGUCCGGCCAUGAAUGGCGGACAGUUCGCACAAAUUACUUUGACUGACGAGCACUGUGUUAUUCCAUGUUGCCAGGUCCUAGACCGUCCAGCCCAGGAGGGCGGACUGUCCGCCCUUGACUUUUAUAACAGCUCGGGCAGGUUUCAAACGAUCAAUAUAGCCAUUACUAGUACGGCGGACCGUCUAGCCAUGGGGCGCGGACCGUCCGCAUGUGCGCAGAAGCUGUGCUAGUUGCCCAUAAUGGCUAUGUGUGUGUUGUGGCCUAUAAAUAGAAGUGGAGCUCGUGUGUGAGGGCUCUCUUGGCCACUCCUAGCACACAUUGAGCUCAUUUGUGAUCCUCCAACUCAAAUACUCACUCGUUGAUUGAGAUCGCAUUCUAGUGAGUGGUUCAGACGUUCUAGUGCAUACGCAUUCGUUGUGAUCUUUUGAGGCACUAGCUGGUACACCAGGCAAUCAUCAUUGACUUGUUGCUCUUGGAGGUUGCCGCCUCCUAGAUGGCUCGGGUGUUGUCUUUGUCGAGCUCUCCGUGAAGAUUGUUGAGGAGCCGCGGGAUUGAUUGUGAGGGGUUCGUGCCCACCUCGCUGGAGCGGCAAAGGCCACGCUAGUGAAAUCGCGGUAUUGAGUGAUUUCUUGUCCACUUGGCUCAAAGAUCAAGUUGUGUCUUAGUAGAGGAGCAAGUGAGAGCUUGAAUUCCACCUAAACAUGGAUUAGGGGUGAUCGGCAAAUCACCGAUACCAGAUAAAUUUUGGUGUCACUCUCUCAACUUUCAUACAUUACUUGCAAGUAGUUGGUAAUUUGUAUAUUGUCUAUCUUUUGUGGUAUUAGCUUAAAUUGCUCAUUAUAUUUUGUUGACUCAUCAAGUCUGGUAAUUUUAUAUCUCUUGUUGAUUUGAUUUAAUUUCUCUAGUGUAUUUUAUUUUAGUCAAAACCGUCUAUUCACCCCCCCCUCUAGCCGGUGUCCUAGAUCCUACAGGUUGCCGCAUGCGAACAUGAGCUAUAGCAUGGCCUCAGGGUCACGAAGCCUAGAGAAGUCUAGGCCAGGGUACAGACCAUGUUCCUCCUUGGAGUCAAGGCACCCCGAUGGGAAGGGAGAUUAGCAUAUAUGUUGGUUAAGGUGCUCGUGUUGAAGCUUGCUUGAAAGGGGAUGAGGUUGAACACCGAUGGUUCUCACCUAGCGAAUGAUGGAGCCAACACCUCAUGGCUUGCUGAAGUUGGUGCCUCCCGACCCACAGGUGGGGAAGCCGGCGAAGCUGACAUGACUCGACCCAUGGCACGGGGAGCGGUGGAGCCGAUGCUCCCCAUGCUAUAAGAGGAAGAGCGAGUGGAGUCGGUGCUGGGGCAACACGUGUUGACGACGAUGCUCCAGGCGUGAGGCUAACGCUUGUAGGUCACUCGCGAGGGAGUCUGUGUCGUCGGCUAGCCCGGGAGCGUUAACUAGGCGUGGGGCACUGCCCGUGAUGUGGUUGCGGUAAUCCUGUCUCCGUCUCCUAUGGCGAGGAGGAUGGGGGUGAAAGUCUGGCUGCUCCUGAGCGUCAACCAGAUGUCUAGGUGGGAGGAGCACCAUAUCGUACUCGAUGCCAAGCGAUAUGAACUCAAGUCUCCUGAACCAGAUCAUCGUGCCGUGUCAUAAAGGGUGCUAGAGUUUGGCCAUCUAGAGCCUUGAUGGGAACGUGGUGUCUGCACGGAGCGAGCCCCUGCCUAGCGCGCCAACUGUCGGUGUUUUGACCCGAUGAUCCCACCGACUAGUGAAUGAUUGUUGUGUGCCCUAGCUUAAAUGGGUGAUGCAAGAAGACACAAGUCUUCAUCCUGGUUCGAGCAAGAGAAGGCCCUACUUCCAGUAGAGGGGGGAUGAGACUUAUAUUUCUUGCACCUAAGUUCUUGUAGUAUGGAGUACAAGCUGGUCGGGAGAGGGAAGGAUCCCAAGUCUUUGGGGUUGAAUGAGGCAAGUGCCAAUAUCAUCGUGGAGGUAAAAACCAUGAAGUGUUUGUCCCCUGCCUGGAGCCCUGAAUGCCUCUAUUUAUUGCCUGAGGGUCUUCAGGAGCGUCAGGGUUUCUCGCGUAUGGAUAGAAGGUGUGGUCGAGACCUUAUAGCCGGCAUGGCCUUUGGUAUGGCCCUUGCUCUCGUUGUUGACUUAUGUCGGUAGGUGGAUGUCUGGUUCCUAUAUUUGCAUCUUUGACUAUGCAGAGAGCCAAGGCCAAGGCCGAGGGCUCAGUCACAUACUCGAGCCUGUUUGAUGGGGAAGCUGUCCAAGUCGUAGUGGUUGGAGCAAUGGCGGGUAUGGCAAAAAGGUCUUGGUGAUAUCUUAGCUCUGUUGCUUCUCGUGACGUCGGGUGUUCUUUCGUUGGUAUUAUCGAGGAUGAAGCCAUGCUUGGGUGAGGUGGAAGUCUUCUCGAGUGUAGGAAACGGGUGAAGCCUAAGAGGGGGGUGAAUUAGGACUUCUAAAACUUUUACUAAAUUAGGCCACUAAUAAAUCCCUAGAGCAAAACCUAUGCAAAUAAUCAAACUAGAAUGUGCAAACUAGGUUUUGUCUAUGUGUUGCUAUCUCUACCGCAAUGGAUAAGUUUCAAUCUACACAAUAUAAGUAUGAAUACAAGAUUGAAACUUAAAUGCUUAAUAUAAAUGUGGAAACUUAAAGAGCAAAGUAGAGAUGCAAACUCUCGUGGAUGAUGCCGGUAUUUUUACCGAGGUAUCCGGAACCGCAUAAGGUUUCGACUAAUCCUCGUUGGUGCCCCUACGCAAAGGGAAGCCCACGCGAGGGCCAAGCACCUCAGUCGAGUAACUCCGUAGAGAGCCACGGGCCUUCUCCACGCACAAGUGGUGCUCCGCUUCCGGCUCCUCUCGGAUGCUCCCCGCUGUCACACCCGGUUUUAGAAGGCAAACCGAAUGCGAACCAUGUACGUGCCAGGAUCAGUUAUUCACGUACACAGCAGUUACAUAAUAUGGACAUCAUCACACAGUGCUCAAAAUAGUAUUAAUAAGGGAAAUAGUCGAUUACAUCAUACGUCUGAGACGUCCAUAUAGUUCUUACAAUAAAUCAAAGUGCGGAAAAGAAACGUAGAUAACGCGGCCUUCACAGGCAGCCGACUGGGGGUUGCCGCUAACCCACACCUAGAACUCGUCGUAGUCUUGGAACUCCUGGAAGUCUCCUUCCACAGCUUCAUCUUCGCCUGAGCAGUGGUUGCAAUGCUGACAACCUGGGGGGGGUUUGGUGUGUAGAGCAAGGGUGAGUACACAUCAACAUACUCAGCAAGUAUCCUGUUUGGCUGUAGUGGACUAGCUUUAUGUGGGGAUAAGUCAAGCAGUUGCUUUUAGUUGGUCAGAUUAUUAUUUACUAGUAGAAAGCCAAGUUUUAGCAUUAACCCAAGUUAUUAACCCGAUGUACCCUUUCCAAACGGAAAGAAUACCACUUACCAGCACCAUAGUCAUAACCAAAACCAUCAAUCUCAUUGCCACCUGUACCACAAUGUCUCUGAUCAAGUACCACUAAUCACUGGAGCUCCCUUGGCCGCUCAUAACCGCGAGCACGACUGAUAUAUCAGUUUCAUAACACUCUGCAGAGGUUGUGCACUUUACCCACAAGCCGUGAUUCCCUCUUGCCUCGGGCCGAUCAAACCCUUAAACACUACCAAGGUGAAUAGGCAGGGUUUCACUACGUAGCCUUUACAAAGAUUCCCCGGGGCUGUAGCCACCCGUUAGGUUUCCUAAAUGCACCGCACUCCUCCCCAAGGGGCGAACCCAAACUUGGCAGAGCGAGCCGCAUACACCGAGCCCCAUUGACGGCACGACGGCUAAGUGAACUACACCCCGGAUCCUCUAAUUAUUCAGCUAAGGGCACCCCAUUCCACCCUCAUGGUUGCACUGUUUUCCCGGGCGGUCAUCCAUAGAACAGGUCCUUACGGAGAGGCACUCGAGAAACCGCUCGAGCCCCCUUGAAUACCACAAGUACAACAUCAUAAUAAGAGAAGGGAAAACAGCGUAUCAUAGAUAAUCUCAUCAUGUUCAUUGAUUAGAGUUGAGCAAUAGCAUAAAGCUAAACAGUAAUAAUCCAACCCAAAUAGGUAAACAAGGACAUGGAUAACAAAAGCUAGUCAAUCCUUAGGUAUAAAGGUGUAAUGCGGGAGGUGAAUUAAAUAAUGAAUAGGACAGAGAUAGGUCAAAGGACACUUGCCUCCACCAACCGACUGCUGCUCAGGGGCUUCUCCUGUGAAUUCCUCGGGCUCUUCGACCGGAUCGUUCUCUAUGCGAGCGCAAACAUACAUACAUCCACAUAUUUAAUACAAAAGAACAGUACACCAUACAAGGAAACAAAUAAAGCGAAUAUGCAUCAAGUAUGACAUUUGACAUUGCAUUUGUUAUGGUUAGAAAGAAACGGGAAAGGGUUUCGCAGGGGGUUAAAUCUUAUGCACUAACGAUCAAUUACAAUUGGUUCUUAACAAAAGAAUUCCGUUAUAUGCACUAGUGAGAACCUAAUCAUUUUAAGUUGUUCAACAUCGCACGAGAUAAACAAUUAACUACAUAAAUCAAUUAGCAUAACGGAAUUUUAAAUUAAGCUUCAUAUUUCAAUAACAUUAACAAUGAUUAGCCUACCUAAAAUAAAAUAGCUAUGAUCACAGAAAGUAAAUAAAAUAAAAUAAAAAAAAAUAAAAAACAGAGGGGGGGGCGGUUGAACCGGCCCUAGGCAGGGCGGCCGAGCUGGGCGGCCGGGCCGGGGCGGCUGAGCCGGCCGAGCGGCCAGGGGGGCGCGCGACCAGGGCGGCCAGGCGGGCGGCCGAGGGCGGCCAGCGGGGGGGGUCGGGGUGGCCGGGGGCGCGGCCAAGGCCGGCCGGGGCCAGGGGCCAGGCGGGCGCGCCAGGGCGCGGCCGGGCGGGCGGCCGAGGGCGGCCAGCGGGCGGCCAGGGCGAGCCGGCCAUGGCGGCGGCCAUGGCGCCGAGCGGCGAGGGGAAAGGGGAGGGGGGAUGGGGGGAGGGAGGAGAGGGGGAGGGGCCUCACCGGCGAUGGGGACGGGGACGGGGCGGGGCGGCCGAGCGGGGCGGCCGAUCGGCGACGGGGCAGGGGGCGGCGGCGGCUUAGGGCAGGGGUAGGGGCGGCGCUAGGGAGAGAAUGAGAGAAAAUGAGAGGGAGAGGGAGAGGGAGAGGGUUUGGGAAAAAAAGGGGAGGUGGGGGGCGGCAUGGGCCAAUUGGGCCCAAGGGGGGGCGCCAGGGGCGGCUGGGCCGGCCGGGGUCGGCCCACGGCGCGGGAGAGAGAGAAAAAGAGGAGAGAGAAAGAGAGAGAAAAAGAAAGAAAAGAUCUUCUCCUUAUUUUCGAAAUCCGAUCUUCCUACAUGAAUGCAUUUGCACUUUCAAAGCAAUCAAAAGAAAUGCAAGGUUCGGCAUGGUGCAUCAAACAACAUAAAGUAUUUAGGGUUUUUCUUACACGGGAAAUCCAAACCGAAUCCCGCUAGAACUUUGGAAAAGGUCAAGGUUUAGCGAAGGGAAAAAGAAAAAGAAAAGGUAACGCCCGAAUUUUGGCGAGUAAAGAAAAGAAAAAAAAUUCAACUGCAAAAAAUUCGGGCCGUUACACCCGCCGUCUCCACUAUCGAGCUUCCGGCCGAAACGCCGCGGGCCUCGUUCCCUCCGGUACACAGUGGCGGUCGUGACACAAACGCGGUUGUCAUAGUCUCGCAAGACUCUCGCCCCACUCGGUACACCAAUGACGACUCAUGAAAGAGCCGAGGGGUUGUGUUGUUUUACAAAACUCACUCAACUAAUUAAGGUUCACCUAGAUCAAGCGCUAGAGCAGUCUAACUAACCUAAGCACUUCGCAAAGCACCUACGCUAAUCACCGAGUGAUUCUAUUAAGCACUUGGGUGUAAGAGCACUUGGGAAUGUCUACUAUAUGCCUUGGUAUGUCUCUUGGGCUCCCACACUUGGAAAUGGCUGGUUGGGGUGUAUUUAUAGCCCCCAACACAAAUCUAGUCGUUGGAGGAAAGCUGCUGCUUUCUCGGUCACACCGGACAGUCCGAUGGUGCACCGGACAGCACACUGUUCCUUGUCCGGUGCGCCUAGCCGUUACCCUGUCAGAGCAGGUGACCGUUGGCGCCACAGGCUUUCACACUGGACAGUCUGAACUUCACACCAGACAGUCUGGUGGUCUUCCCUCUGAGUGCCACUUGGAACUAGACGUUGGGGAUGAGGUUCCUGGUGCACCGGACAGUCCGGCAUGUGGGCACCGGACAGUCCGCAGGCAACACACAUCUUCAUUCUUGGACUUUUCUUGGAUCUUCUUAAUGUCUUCUUUUGAGGUGUUGCUUUCCUCAAUUCCUUGGUCCAAGUAAUUUUAGCAUCCUGUGAACUACAAACACAAACAUUAGAAAAUUCAUUAGUUCACGGAUUGUGUUAAUCAUCAAACACCAAAACUCAUUAAGCCAAAUGGCCCGGGGUCCAUUUUCCUUACAAUCUCCCCCUUUUUGGUGAUUGAUGACAACACGACCAAAACAAGCAAAUAAUACAAGUAUUUGAAUGAAAAUAUGCAAUCUACUUGCUAGGAUGCAUGUUUGUCCCCACAAUGUGAUAUUAUGGACUUAAGCCUCCCCCUAACUCCAUAAUUCACUUACUUCCUAUUUUGGACCAAAUAACCAAAACCACUUGAAAAGCCACUUGCAGAUUUUAAAAUUUUAAAUUGAUGGUGUUUAGUGUUUGAUACAUUUUUCAUUGCUUUGGUUAAAUUGGUGGUGUUUGGUGUUUGAUACAUUUUUCAUUGCUUUCGUCCCUAAACUUCUCCCCCUUUGGCAUCAACCACCGAAAAGGAAGACAUUAAUAGUAUGUAGGAAGUAAAUAAGACUUGCCCUCAUAAGGAAUUGAAACACUUGGAGGUUAGCAUCAAAUGAUAACUCCCCCUAAAUGAGUGUUCUCUUUAGAAAGAAAUUUCUUCCCUUUUUAGAGAUGAAGAAAUACUCCCCCUGACAGAGAUCUUCUACUUAGGAAAAAGCAUGUAAAAAUUAGAGGUGCAAGACAUGAUUUGAAUAGACUAACUUCCCUUAUGCAUAGGUAACAGAAUAUGAGUUAACCACAUAUGCAUUUUUUAGCAACAUGGAAGUAUAUGAUAUGAAAAAUCAAAUAUUGGAGGAGACAUGUAAAUGAUACUAAAUAUAGUCUCAAAAGAUAUCGAUUGAAAGUCAAUGGCGGACCAAAUGAAAAUCAAUGGCAGGCUUGUGAGACAUGAGAGUUCUUGGAGAUUUUGCAGUGGAAGAUUGUCGUCUUUCUCCGGGGACUUCAUUUUCCUUACAAUGAGACUAUCACAAGAAAUAGACUUGAAAGAGGUGUUAGUCUCAAAGUCUUAGAUUAUAGAGUAACCUCCCCUUGAAAGUGUGCAUACAAGUUUUGAAUACUUGUAGGAGACAUGCACUUUGAUUUGAUAUCAAGAGGGACGAUUUAUCUAUAAUCCGAACUUUGGCACAUAUAAAAUUAAAUGAUACAAAUUGUAGAAUAUGAGUGUUUUACCACUUGUAGUAUUUAAAAACAUCAAUUGAUGUAUCAUUUACUAUGGAGUGAUAUAGAAGCUAUGUGCCGUGCUUAAAUAAACAUUUUAAACCAUGUAGGUUUGCUUAAGGGUAUGAAUUGAAAGCAAGCAAUCCUACCAUGUGAUUUACCUAGUAUGCAUGCAUUUAAGCAAAAGUAAGUACAAAUUGUAAUACUAGGCAUGAAAGGUAAAAUAGAUAUAAAUAGAUAUACAUAUCUAAUAACAAGAAAUACAAUAAAUCUAGUUACCUUAGUCAUGGGUGGGAAAUUUGGGUCCAAACUUUUUCAUUAACUUACUUGGCAAUAACUUGAUCCAAUAUGAUGUAUCCCAUGAUAUACAUCCCCACUUUGCCAAGUCUCGAAAUUUCCCGUUGACCUUCGGUCCACUCACUUCCCUUUCGGCAUCCAAACCUUCUUGGUGCUUUUCUUGGUUGAAAUUAUUUCCUUUGGCACCCAGAUGCAUUUGGCCCCCUUUCCUUUGUUGGCUUGCUUGUUGCCCUUAAUUGCUAUCAACUUUCCAUUCUUUUUCUUUUUGAUCAGAUAUGAUGUAGCAGUCUUUUUAUCCACCUUUUGAUGUAGGUGUUGGAGAUUUUGCUUGAUGGCUUUUGCUUGAGCUUUUGCUUUUGCUUAUCCCCGGUCAUCGCCUUGCAUUGGAAAGACUUAUGGCCUUUCUUGUGACAUAACCUACAAAUCACAGUUUCACCCUCCAUAGGCUUGUUCACUCCCGCAGUGGUGUUAUCCUGUGGAGGUUGGAUUUUUUUGGCUUUGCCUUUCUUGUUAUACAAGGCUUUUCCAAGGCGAGCCACUUCUUGCUUUAAUUGCUCAUUUUCCUUUGCAAUCUUGUCAGAACAGGUUUCUAUAAUAACAUUCUUAAUAAGAACUUGAUUACAGGGGUUAGAAUCAUCAAUUAAAUCAAAGCAGGAAGUAGAAGCAUCUUUCUUAAUAAUUUCAGGUAUUCCGAUCAAAGAUACUUCUGGGGUGCUACCAAUGUUUUCUAGCUUAGUAGUUUGCUCAUUGUUGUGUAUGCUAAGAAUUUCCAUUUUCCCUAGCAAAUUUUCAAUAGCUUCUUGAGAGCUAGCUAACUUAGCCAUAAGUUUUUCAUUCUUUUUAAUAAGGCCAUCAUCGGUAGCAGUGGAUGGAGCACUAGACUCUAAUAGCUCAAUUUUAGUUGAUAGCUCACUAUUUAAGUUUGCAAAAGUUUCAAAUUUUUCUAGCAAACCUUUAUAAUCAUUUUGGGAGCUAAUCAACUUAUUUUUCAAAGUUUUAAGUUGAGUUUUUUGCCUAGUGCAAACAUCCUGAAAAAAUUUAACGGCUUUCGCAAGCUCAUCUACGAAGAGGGCUUUCCCUCACCUUCAUCAUCACUACUACUUUCAUCACUAGAGGAUGGAAUGCUUUUGUUACCUCUUGCCAUAAGGCAUUUGUGUGAUGACCGUGAUGGGCAUGAUGAGGACUGGUGGCUGCGCGUCCUUAGAGGUUCAUCUUCACUUGAAGAACCAUCCCAUGUUCUGACACUUGUUAGCGCCUUGCCUUUGCUUCUCUCCUUUUUGGGUUCGGCCAUAGUUGGACAGUUGUCCCUAAAGUGGCCCUUCUCCCCGCAUGCGAAGCACCCUCUCUUUCUUUGCUUUUUCCUGUCAAUGUUAAAGAGAAGAUCUUCGACCUGCAGGGGCACACCCAUUAGAUUAAUCUUGCGGAUCAUCCCCAUUACCUUUCCGACACGUCGGAUUGUUUCUUCAUCCUCGGAGGAUGAUGUGCACGGUUGAUUAUCUUCAUUAUCAUCACUUUCUUCUUCCUCCUCUUCUUCACUCGAGGAACUUGGAGUGGGAUCCUUCUUUUUACCCUUCCUUUCAUCACAUGCAAAAGCAUAUGGCCUUGAGGAAGUUGGCUCCUCGCCCCGACACAUUUUUCGUGACAUCUCAAAAGCCGCGAUUUUCCCAAUCACAAUGGUCGGGGUCAUGGUACUCAAGUCCUCCAUGUUGUGAAGGAUGGUGAUGAUGCUCCCAUAUCUUCGUUGUGGUAGAAGGGAGAUAAUCUUCCUUACAAUGUCUGCAUCACCUAGCUUAUUUAUGCCAAUAGAGUUGAGCUCAUUGAUAAUUAGAUUUAAACGAGAAUACAUGUCUCUAACAAGCUCAUCAUCUCUCAUAGCAAAAGAAUUAUACUCAUUUAAGACUAGGCAAUAUUUUUGCUCACGGACAUUUGAUGUGCCGUCAUGGAGCUCAUGCAAUUUUAGUCAAAUCUCAUUAGCAAUUUUCAAGGUAAAUACUUGAUUAAAGAUAUCCAUGCUAAGAGAUUCAUACAAGCAAUUUUUGGCUCUAGCAUUUAAAUGAAUUUCUUUUUCCUCACUCGUGGUGGGUUUCACGGGAUUCUUGGGGGGUUUCAUCCCGUCACGAGUGACUCGCCAAACACCUAGAUCAACAGCCUCUAGGUAACAAGACAUUCUAGCACUAUAAUAUGGGAAGUUAGUGCCAUCGAAGUGUGGUGGCCUAUGGGUAUCCAUCCCUUCCUCUAAAAAGUGUCGGCUCUUUUAGCGAUGAAGCUAAAAUGUUUCAAAUGAGCCAAACCAGGCUCUGAUACCACUUGUAGUAAACGGGUGAUACCUAAGAGGGGGUGAAUUAGGACUUCUAAAACUUCUACUAAACUAGGCCACUAAUAAAUCCCUAGAGCAAAACAUAUGCAAAUAAUCAAACUAGAAUGUGCAAACUAGGUUUUAUCUUUGUGUUGUUAUCUCUACCGCAAUGGCUAAGUUUCAAUCUACACAAUAUAAGUAUGAAUACAAGAUUGAAACUUAAAUGCUUAAUAUAAAUUCGGAAACUUAAAGAGCAAAGUAGAGAUGCAAACUCUGGUGGAUGACGCCGGUAUUUUUACCGAGGUAUCCGAAACCGCGUAAGGUCCCGACUAAUCCUCGUUGGUGCCCCUAUGCAAAGGGAAGCCCACGCGAGGGCCAAGCACCUCGAUCGAGUAACUCCGUAGAGAGCCACGGGCCUUCUCCAUGCGCAAGUGGUGCUCAGCUUCUGGCUCCUCUCGGAUGCUCCCCGCCGUCACCACUAUCGAGCUUCUGGCCGAAACGCCGCGGGCCUUGUUCCCUCCGGUACACGGUGGCGGCCGUGACACAAACAUGGUUGUCACGGUCUCGCAAGACUCCCGCCCCACUCGGUACACUAAUGACGACUCACGCAAGAGCCGAGGGGUUGUGUGGUUUUACAAAACUCGCUCAACUAACUAGGGUUCACCUAGAGCAAGCGCUAGAGCGGUCUAACUAACCUAAGCACUUCACAAAGCACCUACGCUAAUCACCGAGUGAUUCUAUUAAGCACUUGGGUGUAAGAGCACUUGGGAAUGUCUAAUAUAUGCCUUGGUAUGUCUCUUGGGCUCCCACACUUGGAAAUGGCUGGUUGGGGCGUAUUUAUAGCCCCCAACACAAAUCUAGCUGUUGGAGGAAAGCUGCUACUUUCUGCGGUCACACCAGACAGACCGGUGGUGCACCGGACAGCGCACUGUUCCUUGUUCGGUGCGCCUAGCCGUUACCCUGUCAGAGCAGGUGAUCGUUGGCGCCGCAGGAUUUCACACCGGACAGUCCGGACUUCACAUCGGACAGUUCGGUGGUCUUCCCUCUGAGUGCCACCUAGAACUAGACGUUGGGGCUGAGGUUCCUGGUGCACUAGACACUCCGGCGUGUGGGCACCGGACAGUCCGGUGCUCCUCACACAGACGAUCCGCAUGCAACACACAUCUUCAUUCUUGGACUUUUCUUGGAUCUUCUUAAUGUCUUCUUUUGAGGUGUUGCUUUCCUCAAUUCCUUGGUCCAAGUAAUUUUAGCAUCCUGUGAACUACAAACACAAACACUAGGAAAUUCAUUAGUUCACGGAUUGUGUUAAUCAUCAAACACCAAAACUCAUUAAGCCAAAUGGCCCGGGGUCCAUUUUCCUUACACCGAGGUCGUGGUCGAGCCUACUCUGGGGCUCACAACCGUGCAGGACACAUUUAAAGGAGUGGCCUUCUAUGGGAUUCGUGGGGGGGCACGUAGCCGAGGCUGAGGCCGGCCUCGGGCGAGGCGUAGUGUCCUCCCGAGGACUAAACCACGCUUUGUUGUACACGCGUCCAAUCCUGGGUUGGCAGACGACGUGGGUGAACAGUAGUCAUUAUUCCCAGGCAUGUGUCAUCGUAGUUGGUGAAAGUGGACAUGACUGUGGUCCUGUUGCUCCUGUUUGUCUGUGAUGUCGCGUGGGAUAGGUAUGCACAUUGAAUUCUCAUGUCCCCUGUAGCCUUUGGCUGAGGCCUGACUCGGGGUUGUCUUCCUUACUCAAGAUGUGCUAGGGCGAGGCAGAAACGGUGGUUCCGUGGAGAGGGGACCUCGGGCUGGACGAGGAUUUCUCCGAGUAUGUCCCUCGUCCGAGGGUAGGCUCGGACGAGGCGGAGUUUUGAGUGGCCGCCGAGUGGAUCCUCGGGCAAAUUGUGGUUCACACUUUCUUGACCUCGAGGGAUGUGUCUGAUGGUAGCCUUAGGGUUAAGCGCAUUUUAGGGGCGUAAUCCAGGUACCCCUAAUUACGAUACCUGACACUAUGUAUACUACGUUAUUUUCAAAUAUUGUUGCUUCCAUAUCUAUUUUUAUAUUAAUUAAAGCAUGGUUUCUCCCUAUUUUCUUAGAUGUGGUUGCCUGCUUGCAUUUCACGAUUCAACUUAAAUGUUAUGUCGCAAGCCUCCUGUUUUGCUCUUUUUGUUGACACAUAUAUAUGGAAUUUGGAAAAACACAUGUCCUAUGUUGUGCUUCCUUGUAUUCUCUGGAACAAUGUAAUAGAUCACUAUGACUUUUCUGUAACAACUUUUUAUGAAACAUAUUUUUUGUAAUAUCUAUAUCUUACAACAAACUGUCGCAUGAAUUUAGUAUUUUUCUGUUGACUUUAUAUGGCAAAGUAUGGGCACACACGUAUAUACUUUUAAGGUAUGUAAACCACUUUAACAUUCAAAAUAUGCCAACAAGAACAUAGAAUGACAAAUAUUAUUUCUGUAUCUCAUUGUAUCUUAAUAUAACAUAUUGACUCUAUAACAACGCACGAGUAUAUAACUAGUAUAUAUGGAAGAAGUUUUAGUGUCUUUUAGUGUUUUGCACAAACAUUUUUAGCUUUUUAACAGUUUACAACCCACAAUAGUUUUUUCAUAGUUCACAACAUACAACAACUUUUUUUCGUAGCUACAACCAACCAAACAGACUCCUAGAUCUCGUGACAGUUAGAUUAUCUAGAAAUCCAUAUUUUUCAGAAAAGUUUUUUAGAAAAAACAGUACCAAACGGGUUCAAACGUAGUCAGAGAAAAACCAUAAGAAGUGAAGGAUUUGGGCGCAUAAAGGAAAAAGUCUACAUAACACCUCGACCUUUAGAGGACACUCUACUUCACCCCUUGCCUAAAAAUCGUUUGUUUAACCCAUUCAUCUUUACAAAACCACACAAAUAAACUCCUAAGCAGUUUUAGUUGGCGAUUUUGAUGAUGUGACAUUGAUUUAAGUGACACCGUUUUGUCAUAUAGUAAUAUCCAAAAUUAUAUAAUUUUACAAAAAUCAAUAAUUAUAUAUUAUAUUUGCCCUAGUUUUCCUGUAAUUUUAAGAGUAGCAGCUUAAAAAUAAAAAUCUAUACAAAAGCUUAGUAUUUUUGUACAUGAUUCAUUUCUUAUAUUCUGUGAAUAGUGAAAGAGAAAUAGGGUUUAACCUUUUCCCAUAAAUAAUUUUGGUGGUUGAAUGCCCAACACAAAUAAUUGGACUAACUAGUUUGCUCUAGAUUAUAUAUUCCACAGGUGCAUAAAGGUUCAACACAAACCAAUAAAAGAUCAAAGUUAGGGUUCAAAAAGAAAGGAGCAAAGAAACCAAAGGUGCCCUGGUCUGGCGCACCGGACUGUCCGGUGUGCCACCGGACAGUGUCCGGUGCACCAGUACCGUACAACUCCAAACUCGCCACCUUCUGGUUUCUCAGGCCGUGCUCCGCUAUAAUUCACCGGACUGUCCGGUGUGCCACCGGACUAUCCGGUGCACCAGCGGAGCAACGACUACCAGCGCAACGGUCCACUGCAACGGACAUCUGCGAACGCUACAGUGCACGGACAGUGCGCGCAGAAGUCAGAGCAGCCGUCAGAGGCGCACUGGACUGUCUGGUGCCACUAGAAGACAAAGACUCCAAUGGUCGGCUGCACCCAAACCCUAACAGUUGGGUGACGUGGAUGCCGCACUGGACAGCGUCCGGUGGCGCACCAGACUGUCCGGUGCGCCCAUCUACAGCAACCCCUCCCCAACGAUUGUUUGGUGGUUGAGGGCUAUAAAUACCCCCAACCACCUCCACUCCAACCAUCCAAGCAUUCCACACAUUGCAUUCAAUACAAGAGCAAUAGACUUCACUCUAAGACACAAAUCAAGCGAUCGAUCCACUCAAAGUCCUAAAUUCAACUCUAGCGCAUUAGGGCUUGUGAGAGGAUCACUUGUGUUUCUUGUUGCUCUUGUUUGCUUGGAUGGCUUUCUUUUCUUUUCCUUGUUACUCUCAAGUGCUUUGUAAGCAAGGCAAGAGACACCAGUUGUGUGGUGGUCCUUGCGGGGUCUAAGUGACCCGUGAGAAAAGAAGAAAGCUCACUCGGUCUAAGUGACCAUUUGAGAGAGGGAAAGGGUUGAAAGAGACCCGGUCUUUGUGACCACCACAAUGGGGACUAGGUUCUUUAGAACCGAACCUCGGUAAAACAAAUAACUGUGUCCAUUCGCUUUAUCUCUUGGUUGACUUAUUUCCCCCCUCUCUCCCGGACUUGACAUUUGCUCUAAUGCUAACCCCGGCUUGUAGUGUGUUUAAAGUUAUAAAUUUCAGAUUCCGCCUAUCCACCCCCCUCUAGGCAACUUUCAAUUGGUAUCAAAGCCCGUUACUUCAUUUAGAGUCUAACCACUCGAAGUGAUGUCAGGAGGAUCCGCCGAGAGGGAGAUAGAAACCGGUGAUAAGGCCACAAGCCACGGGAAGGCUCCAUCAAGGGAGCCCGGUGCCAAAGGAAGGGAGGAAUCACCUCCUCACGUCAAGUCGCAUCUGAGUGGCGACAAGAAGAAGAAGAUGAAAAAAGUGGUCUACUAUGAGACCGAUUCUUCGUCGCCCUCCACAUCCGGCUCCGACGCCGCGUACGUCACUUCUAAGCGCCAAGAGCGCAAGAAGUUUAGUAAGAUCCCACAUACGCUAUCCCCGCAUUUCUAAACGCGCUCCUUUACUUUCCGUUCCAUUAGGCAAACCACCAUAUUUUGAUGGUGAAGAUUAAUGUAUGUGGAGUGAUAAAAUGAGGCAUCAUCUUACCUCACUCCACGCAAGUAUUUGGGACAUUGUUGAGUUUGGAGCAUGGGUACCUAAUGUGGGGGACGAAGAUUAUGAUUCAGACGAGGUCACCCAAAUCCGGCACUUUAACUCCCAAGCAACUACUAUACUCCUCGCCUCUCUAUGUCGAGAGGAGUAUAAUAAAGUACAAGGGUUAAAGAGCGCCAAAGAGAUUUGGGAUAUCCUAAAGACUGCACACGAAGGAGAUGAGGUGACCAAGAUCACCAAGCGGGAAACGACCGAGGGGGAGCUCGAUCGAUUCGUCCUUCACCAAGGAGAGGAGCCACAAGCAAUGUACAACCGGCUCAAGACCUUGGUCAACCAAGUGCACAACCUCGGGAGCAUAAAAUGGGAUAACCAUGAAAUGGUCAAGGUUAUUCUUAGAUCCCUCGUAUUUCAUAAUCCUACUCAAGUUCAAUUAAUACGUGGUGGUCCUAGAUAUAAGCUAAUGUCUCCUGAGAAGGUAAUUGGGAAGUUUGUGAGCUUUGAGUUGAUGAUCAAAGGCUUCAAACACAUCGUCGACUUGAAGCAAGGCGGCACCUCCACACCCGAGGUGCAACCCGUCGCAUUCAAAGCGAUGGAAGAGAAGAAAGAAGAGUCUACAUCAAGUAGACUCCCCAUCGAUGCCUCCAAGCUCGACAAUGAGGAGAUGGCGCUCAUCAUCAAGAGCUUUCGCCAGAUCCUCAAGCAAAGGAGGAAGAGGGACUACAAACCCCGCUCCAAGAGGGUGUGCUACAAAUGUGGUAAGCCCGGUCAUUUUAUCGCUAAAUGCCCUAUGUCUAGUGAUAGUGACAGGGACAACGACAAGAGGGGGGAAAAGAAGGAGAAGAAGAGGUACUACAAGAAGAAGGGCGGUGAUGCCCAUGUAUGUCGGGAAUGAGACUCCAACGAGAGCUCCACCGACUCCUCCUCCGACGAGGAUGCCGCCAACAUCGCCGUCAACAAGGGCCUCCUCUUCCCCAACGUCGGCCACAAAUGCUUCAUGGCAAAGGACGGCAAAAAGAAAAAGGUACAAACUAGAACCGCCCCCAAGUAUACUACAUCUAGUGAUGAGGGUAGUUCUAGUGAUGAUGAUGAUGAUUUGCUUACACUUUUUGCCAACCUUAACAUGCAACAAAAGGAAAAAUUAAAUGAAUUAAUAGGAGCUAUUCAUGAUUUUGGAUAGCCAAGAGGAAUUCCUUAUUAAGGAAAACAAAAAGCAUGUUAAAGUGAAAAAUACUUAUGCUCAGGAAGUAGAAAAGAAUGAAAACUUGACUAAAGAGCUUAGCAUUUGCCAUGACUCAAUUACCAAUCUUAUAAACGAAAAUGCUAGUUUAAUUGCUAAGAUUGAUAAAUUGAAUGAAUCCAUUUCUAGCCUUAGGACUGAAAAUGAUAGCUUAAUUUCCAAGGCUAAGGAUUUAAAUGUUUGCAAUGAUUCUAUUUCCUGUCUUAGAGAUGAGAAUGCAAUAUUACAUGCUAAGAUAGAUGAAUUAAAUGCUUGCAAACCCUCUACAUCUAGUGUUGAUCAUGUUACUAUUUGUACUAGAUGUAGAGAUGUCAAUAUUGAUGCUAUUCAUGGUCACCUUGCUUUAAUUAAACAACAAAAUGAUCAUAUAGCUCAAUUAACUACUAAAAUCAAUGAGCAUGAGAUAGAAAAUAAAAAAAUUAAAUUUGCUAGAAGCAUGCUCUAUAGUGGGAGACGCCCUGGCAUUAAAGAUGGCAUUGGUUUCCAACAUGGAAGCAAUGUCAAGCUUAAUGCCCCUAAAAGAUUGUCAAAUUUUGUUAAAAGCAAGGCUCCCAUGGUUCAGGAUAACGAGGGCUAUAUUUUAUAUCCUACUGGUUAUCCCGAACACAAAAUUAGGAGAAUUCAUGCUAAGAAAUCUCAUUUUGUUUCUCACCAUGCUUUUAUGUAUAAGAAUGAGGCAUCUAGCUCUAGGCAUUCUACACAUGUUAAAAUGCCUAAAAGGAAAACUCAUACUGCAUCAAAUGAACCUAACAUUUCAUUUAAGACUUUUGAUGCUUCUUAUGUGCUUACUAACAAAUCAGGCAAAGUAGUUGCCAAAUAUAUUGGGGGCAAACACAAGGGCUCCAAGACUUGUGUUUGGGUACCCAAGGUGCUUGUUUCUAAUGUGAAAGGACCCAAGACCAUUUGGGUACCUAAAAACAAGGCCUAAAUUAUUUUGCAGGUUUAUGCAUCCGGGGGCUCAAGUUGGAUUAUUGAUAGCGGAUGCACGAACCACAUGACAGGGGAGAAAAGAAUGUUCUCCUCCUACGAGAAAAAUGAAGAUCCCCAAAGAGCUAUCACAUUCGGGGAUGGAAAUCAAGGUUUGAUCAAAGGACUUGGUAAAAUUGCUAUAUCAGCUGACCAUUCUAUUUCCAAUGUUUUUCUUGUAGAUUCUUUAGAUUAUAACUUGCUUUCAGUUUCUCAAUUAUGUAAAAUGGGCUAAAACUGUCUUUUUACGGAUUUAGGUGUUACUGUCUUUAGAAGAAGUGGUGAUUCAAUAGCAUUUAUGGGAGUGUUAGAGGGUCAGCUAUAUUUAGUUGAUUUUAAUGAAAAUACAGCUGAACUCAACACUUGUUUAAUUGCUAAGACUAAUAUGGGUUGGCUCUGGCAUCGCCUACUAGCCCAUGUUGGAAUGAAGAAUCUUCACAAACUUCUAAAGGGAGAACACAUUUUGGGACUAACCAAUUGUCAUUUUGAGAAAGACAGGGUUUGUAGCGCAUGUCAAGCAUGAAAGCAAGUUGGCUCCCACCAUCCACACAAGAACAUAAUGACAACGGACAGGCCACUGGAGUUACUCCACAUGGAUCUAUUCGGCCCGAUAGCUUAUAUAAGCAUCGGCGGGAGUAAGUACUGUAUAGUAAUUGUGGAUGAUUAUUCUCGCUUCACUUGGGUAUUCUUUUUGCAGGAAAAAUCACAAACCCAAGAGAAUUUAAAGGGAUUCUUGAGAUAGGCUCAAAAUGAGUUCAGAUUGAGAAUCAAGAAGAUAAGAAGCGAUAAUGGGACGGAGUUCAAGAACUCUCAAAUUGAAGGCUUUCUUGAGGAUGAGGGCAUCAAGCAUGAGUUAUCUUCUCCCUACACACCUCAACAAAAUGGUGUAGUGGAGAGGAAGAAUAGAACUCUAUUGGACAUGGCGAGGACCAUGCUUGAUGAGUACAAGACUCCGGACCGGUUUUGGGCUGAGGCGAUUAACACCGCCUGCUACUGCAUCAACCGGUUCUACCUUCACCGAAUCCUCAAGAAGACAUCAUACGAACUCCUCACCGGUAAAAAGCCCAGUGUUUCAUAUUUUAGUCUUUGGUAGCAAAUGCUUUAUUCUUGUUAAAAGAGGAAGAAAAUCUAAAUUUGCUCCUAAGGCUGUAGAAGGGUCUUUACUUGGUUAUGACUCAAACACAAGGGCAUAUAGAGUCUUCAACAAAUCCACUGGAUUAGUUGAGGUUUCUUGUGACAUUGUGUUUGAUGAGACUAAUGGCUCCCAAGUGGAGCAAGUUGAUCUUGAUGAGCUAGAUGAUGAAGAGGCUCAAUGCGUCGCUCUAAGGAACAUGUCCAUUGGGGAUGUGUGUCCUAAGGAAUCCGAAGAGCCCACUCAAGCACAAGAUCAACCAUCAUCUUCCAAUCACGCAUACCCUCCAACUCAAGAUGAGGAUCAAGCUCAAAAUGAUGAAGAUGAAGAUCAAGAAGAUGGGCCACCUCAAGAGGAGGACAAUGAUCAAGGGGGAGAUGAAGUUGAUCAAGACAAUGAAGAUGAUCAAGAGAUUCAGGAUCAAAGACCGCCACACCCAAGAGUCCACCAAGCGAUUCAAAGAGUUCACCCCAUCAACUCCAUUCUUGGUGAUAUUCAUAAGGGGGUAACAACUCGAUCUCGAAUCGCUCAUUUUUGUGAACAUUACUCUUUUGUGUCCUCUAUUGAGCCAUACAGGGUGGAGGAUGCACUAAGAGACUCGGAUUAGGUGUUGGCAAUGCAAGAGGAGCUCAACAACUUCACGAGGAAUGAGGUAUGUCAUUUAGUUCCACGUCCUAACCAAAAUGUUGUACGAACCAAGUGGGUAUUCCGCAACAAACAAGAUGAGCAUGGUGUGGUGACAAGGAACAAAGCCCAACUUGUGGCUAAGGGAUAUUCACAAGUCGAAGGUUUGGACUUUGGUGAAACUUAUGCACCCGUAGCUAGGCUUGAGUCAAUUUGCAUAUUACUAGCCGAUGCUACUUACCAUGGCUUUAAGCUCUAUCAAAUGGACGUGAAAAGUGCCUUCCUCAAUGGACCAAUCAAGGAAGAGGUCUAUGUUGAGCAAUCUCCCGGCUUUAAAGAUAGUGAGUAUCCUAACCAUGUUUACAAACUCUCAAAGGCGCUUUAUGGGCUCAAGCAAGCCCCAAGAGCAUGGUAUGAAUGCCUGCGAGAUUUUCUUAUCACUAAUGGCUUCAAAGUCGGUAAAGCUGAUCCUACUCUCUUUACUAAAACCAUUGCAAAAGAUUUGUUUGUAUGCCAAAUUUAUGUAGAUGAUAUCAUAUUUGGGUCUACUAACAAAUCCACUUGUGAAGAGUUUAGUAGGAUCAUGAUUAAAAAAAAUCGAGAUGUCUAUGAUGGGGGAGUUGAAGUAUUUCCUAGGAUUUCAAGUCAAGCAACUCCAAGUGGGCACCUUCAUCAGCCAAACAAAGUACAUUCAAGACAUACUUAAUAAGUUUGGAAUGAAGGAUGCCAAGCCCAUCAAGACACCCAUGGGAACAAAUGGGCAUCUCGACCUCGACACGGGAGGUAAGUCCAUAGAUCAAAAGGUACACCAGUCGAUGAUAGGAUCUUUACUCUAUUUAUGUGCAUCUCGACCAGAUAUUAUGCUUUCUGUAUGCAUGUGUGUAAGGUUCCAAGCUGAUCCUAAGGAAGUUUACCUUAGGGCCGUGAAAAGAAUCAUGAGAUAUUUAGUUUAUACUCCUAAGUUUGGACUUUGGUACCCCAAGGGAUCCACUUUUGAUUUAAUAGGCUAUUCAGAUGCCGAUUGGGUAGGGUGUAAAAUUGAUAGGAAGAGCACAUCAGGGACUUGUCAGUUUCUGGGAAGAUCUCUGGUGUCUUGGGCUUCAAAGAAACAAAACUCAGUAGCUCUUUCUACCGCCGAAGCCGAGUAUAUUGCCGCAGGCCAUUGCUGUGUGCAAUUACUUUGGAUGAGGCAAACCCUCAGGGACUAUGGCUACAAAUUGAGAAAGUCCCUCUCCUAUGUGAUAAUGAGAGUGCAAUCUGCAUGGCGGAUAAUCCCGUUGAACACAGCCGCACUAAGCACAUAGAAAUUCGGUAUCACUUUUUGAGGGAUCACCAACAAAGGGGGAUAUCGAGAUUGCUUAUGUUAGCACCAAAGAACAAUUAGCUGAUAUCUUUACCAAGCCUUUAGAUGAGAAAACUUUUAGCAAACUUAGGAAUGAGCUAAAUAUAUUUGAUUCUCGGAAUUUUGAUUGAAACAUUGCACACAUAGCUCAUUUAUAUACCUUUGAUCAUAUCUCUUUUAUGUCUGUUUUCAAGUGAAUUUCUAUGCUAAGUCGUAGAUUGAAAGGGAAAUGGAGUACUCGACGAAGACAAGGCUUCCACUCCACUCUAUCGGUAUCUUUACCCUUCGUCAUUACUCCGCACUCCAAAUUGGUAUAAUCCUUCACCCUUAUUUACCUCUACCAAUGGGGAGAAAGUUUAAAAGGGCUCACAAAGUCUCCGUUUUUGGCGAUUAAUGCCAAAGGGGGAGAAAGUAUUAGCCCAAAGCAAACGGACCGCACCACCACCCUUCGAAAAAUUUUAAAUUGAUAUAUUUCAAAUUAGUAUGUUGAUUUUCAAUUGGUAUAUUUUCAAAACUAGCAUCUAAAUAUAUUUCCAAUUGAUAUUUAUUAAAACCCUCUUGAAAGCUAAGAGGAGAAUUUCAUUCAGUGGGAGUUUUGUUUAAGUCAAAGGAAAAGCAUUUGAAACAGGGGGAGAAAAUUUCAAAUCUUGAAAAUGCUUCUCGCAAUCAUAUUCAUAUACCUUUGACUAUUUGCAAAAAGAUUUUGAAAAGACUUUCCAAAAGAAUUUGCAAAAACAAAACAUGUGGUGCAAGCGUGGUCCAAAAUGUUAAAUAAAAGAAAGCAAACCAUGCAUAUCUAGUGAAAGUAUAUAUUGGUUUAAUUCCAAGUAACAUGUGCACUUACCUUAUGCAAACUAGUUCAAUUCUGCACUUAUAUAUUUGCUUUGGUUUGUGUUGGCAUCAAUCACCAAAAAGGGGGAGAUUGAAAGGGAAAUAGGGUUAAACCUUUUCCCAUAAAUAAUUUUGGUGGUAGAAUGCCCAACACAAAUAAUUGGACUAACUAGUUUGCUCUAGAUUAUAUAUUCCACAGGUGCAUAAAGGUUCAACACAAACCAAUAAAAGAUCAAAGUUAGGGUUCAAAAAGAAAGGAGCAAAAAACAAAGGUGCCCUGGUCUGGCGCACCGGACUGUCCGGUGCACCAGGACCAUACAACUCCAAACUCGCCACCUUCAGGUUUCUCAGGCCGCGCUCCGCUAUAAUUCACCGGACUGUCUGGUGCACCAGCGGAGCAAUGGCUACCAACGCAACGGUCAACUGCAACGGACACCUGCGAAAGUUACAGUGCGCGGGCAGUGCGCGUAGAAGUCAGAGCACCCGUUAGAGGCACACCGGACAGUGAACAGUACCUGUCCGGUGCGGCACCAGACUGUCCGGUGCCACUACAAGACAAAGGCUCCAAUGGUCGACUGCACGCGAACCCUAACAGUUGGGUGACGUGGCUGGCGCACCGGACUGUCCGGUGCGCCCAUCGACAGCAGCCCCUCCCCAACGGUUGUUUGGUGAUUGAGGGCUAUAAAUACCCCCAACCACCUACACUCCAACCAUCCAAGCAUUCCACACAUUGCAUUCAAUACAAGAGCAAUAGACUUCACUCCAAGACACAAAUCAAGCGAUCGAUCCACUCAAAGUCCCGAAUUCAACUCUAGCGCAUUAGGGCUUAUGAGAGGAUCACUUGUGUUUCUUGUUGCUAUUGUUUGCUUGAUUAGCUUUCUUUUCUUUUCCUUGCUACUCUCAAGUGCUUUGUAAGCAAGGCAAGAGACACCAGUUGUGUGGUGGUCCUUGCGGGGUCUAAGUGACCCGUGAGAAAAGAAGAAAGCACACUCGGUCUAAGUGACCGUUUGAGAGAGAAAAAAGAGUUGAAAGAGAUCCGGUCUUUGUGACCACCUCAACGGGUCUAGGUUCUUUAGAACCAAACCUCGGUAAAACAAAUCACCGUGUCCAUUCGCUUUAUCUCUUGGUUGAUUUGUUUUCCCCUCUCUCCCGGACUUGACAUUUGCUCUAACGCUAACCCCGACUUGUAGUGUGUUUAAAGUUAUAAAUUUCAGAUUCCGUCUAUCCACCCCCUCUAGGUGACUUUCAAAUAACAAUUUUACUAGAGUUAAAUAAUAAUAUUACUAAACUAUUAUUUUUUGUUGAUUUUAUUAAGUUAAGUGGUCAUUCUUCUGAUUAUUGACUAAAUCAAUUAUAUAUAUUUUUAAAAGCACUUAUAAAACACUAAUAAAAUGAUUCACAAUUUUAUUAUAUACCUUCUCUUAGCUAAACUAACAUUCACAAUUACUAUUCCAGAAUUUUCUAAGAACUUUAAAUUUUUACAUAAAUAUUUUUGAGUGCUUUAUAUAGUUCUAGAUUUAAAGUUCUUAAAAAUUAUAGAAAUAUUUAUAAAUAUUAGUUUAGCUAGCAGAAGAUCUACGUAAAAAUGGACAUCAUUUUAUUAUUAUUUGCUAAGUGUUUUAAAAAGCAAUUAUAGAAUUAAUUUAGUUAAUAAUUAGAAAAAGACUACUUAACUUGCUUAAUAAAAGCAACUUAAAUUUUAGUAGUUUAAUAAUAGUAUUAUUUAGGUAUUGGUAAAAAUUUUAGCUUCAAAAGGUAAGAAAUGAAUUAGAGACAAAAAUAUUAAACUAUUUUUAUGCAUUAUUUAGGAAAAUAAGGGUAAAUACAGUAUAUAAUUAUCAAUUUUUUUAUUUAAAAAAUUAUUUUUUGGAUACUAAUAAAAACACAAUUGAAAAAUAAAACUGGUGGCACUUAAAUCAGUGUCAUGUCAUCGAAAUCGUCAACUAAAACUUUCUAAGGUUUAGAUAACCGAUUUUGAAGGUGAAUGGCCAGGAGGAGAUUAUGUAGACUUUUUACUAUGUAUACGACCUCGACCUUGUUUGUUCCAUUCCAAGAUCAUAUAAUCUAGCUUAUGGAUUUUAUAAGCAUCUAAUGACCUAUUUAUUAUAUAAUCCAUAAUCCGUAUUAUUUGUUUGUCUUUUAACUUAUUUAAGUUGAAUUAUACUUCCUCCGUUAUAAAAUACUAGUUGUUUUAACUCUAGCUAUUUAUGUCCAUAUUUAUAUAGAUAAUUAUGAACCCAUAUAUAUAUAUAUACACUAGUAUGGUGCUCGUGCGUUGCAACGGCAAUAAUUAUGAAAACAAGGCACAUAACUGUCGCUACCCUGUAGCGCCUUCGCCGUCGCCCGCUUCUUCUAGGCGCAAAUGCGCUGCACCACCACGGCGCGCAAGCGAGCACGAAGCAGAAAGUUGUCAUUUUUUGCAUCCAGACAAACAUGGCACCCAAUUCUCUUUAAAACUUUUGCUAAGACUUAACAAUACAUUUUGUUCUGGGGACUAAAUUAUUAUCCUACUAACUUGACCAUAAAUUAGCAACAAUUAUUAUUAUUUAUAUGAAAUUAGCACCAUACUUAUAAUCUACUCCAAUCAUUCUACCGCAGAACAGAAACAGAAAAGGAAGGCAAGAGGACCGAUCGCCACAUUUCACAAAAGAUAAAGCAUGAAGACAUUAUACAUGCAAAUUAAAUUAUGCCGAUAGAACAAUCCUUCUUACAAGAGAAAGUAGAGAUUUCGUGCAGCACCAUGUUAUUUUUCAUUAACACCAGUUAUGAGACAACAAUGUGGUGAUCGUUACGCCCUUACACUUUAGUUCGAUCAUCAACAUUCAAAUCAGAUAUGUCUAAAGCCCCUCUUUUCAACUUAGCAACAAGAACCCACAUGCCUGCUAGAUCAUUCUCUAAAGAUAGUUCCUUCUUUUCCUCUUCUCCCUGAUGUUGGCAGUCUUGCCCAUAGAUUUCUGGCUCAACAUCCAGGCUACCGAGUUUCGCAGUCUGUGCGUCUGGGACUGGGAUCCAUUGCCAGAUUGGCCCAUCGUCCUCUCUAGCUCUGACAAGAGCGCCUUCACAAGGACGUCGAAGCGGCUCUUUGAUGUAGGAUAUCUAGAUAUCGACUUUGUGAUUCCUUGCAACUGCAUAAUGGUACCAUUCAGUUAUAUAGUGCUAUUACUUCAUAAGUUUACAUGUUACCAGCAGUACAAAAACAUUCUAUUGGCAAUUUGUUUUGCAUAGCGAGUGACCUUACUCUAAAAGCAUGUACUAUGCCAGAUUGGCCGGUAAUGGCAUGUACAGUGGUGUUUAAUGUGGAGGCUCUUAAGGUGUUUUAAGGGGGUAUUUGCAAAAAAAUCUUAGACACGUCUCUCUGUGAAGAGACGCCUCUGGCUCGUAAACCAAGUAGCAACAGAUGCCUCACUUCCCACUGUACGAAUUUGUCGUCUGUUCUAUCAAUCUGAUGUUGUACAAAUGCAUUUAAUUCUGUAUUUAUUAACAGACUAUAUUUAUAGACACUCCAUUAUAUAAUAGAGUCUCUUAGUUGUCUCUUGUGCUUGGAGAACCGUUUUUUAUGUCUCUCCACUAUAUAUGCCCUAAAGAAAGUGAAGGUCUACAGAAUUUGGAUUGUCAAUACGCAACUAAGUUGAGCUUAAUUAAUGCCCCAUGAAACUCCCAUUAAGACUGGCCUAAGCAAUGGCAUUGCAGCCUGACUAUUUAAUAGGAGGAGAAUCACCUUGAAUGGAUUGAAAUCAUCAAUGUUGUUCUUAAAUGAAGUAACACGAGACGGAGGUCUUUCCCUUCUUGCUUCUCCCUGUUGAAUGAGGAUGGUCUGGAUAAUGGACACUGUGUCCGUGUGAAGACUCAUCUUUGCCCUUACGAUUUUUAAAUCUAGAGAUUUCAAAAGUUAGCACAAGACUUUUUGAAUUGUUUGUCGUAGCAAACAAAGGCAUCCAAUAUGAAUUUACCUUGGAAAACAAGAACCAGGCGCCAUGUCAAGAACAUCAUUUGUGUAUUCAUCAAAUAUAGACACUGCCGAGAACACAUAGGCAAUUCCCAGGAUAAGGGAGGAUUCCUGGGACAUGAACAAGAUCAAGCUCCAUGACUUCAACAGGAACAAGUUAAAUGAGCUAAUGCUCAUUAAAAGGUGGAAUUGCUUGCUAAACAAAUGAUGUGAUGAAAGUAUGCACUGUUUGACAUCAAUGCACAGAAAAGAGAGAGGGAAUUUUACUAUACCUGAUAAGCUACAACUACAGCAUAAGCACCUAAAGGGACACUGGAGAGUACGGAUGCCAGAACGGAUCCUACUAUAGCAAAUGGCCAAAGAAGAAUAGCAAGACCAACAAAUGGCACACAAGCAGUCUCCAGAAAGGGCCCUUCUCUCCCAAUCAUGUCCUGGAUCAGUCGUUUCCAUCCUUUGAAAAGCAUCACGGGGCACUUAUAGAAGGCAAUUAAUGUGAACAUUAUUCCAUCAAGUAGAAAUUCAAAUGCAACCACUAUUAGUGCACCAGGAAUAUCAAGCAAUCUGGGAAAAAGAAAGUCAUGCAUGUCAGUUUAUUAUACAUUGUUCUUCAGAUGAAAAGAAAAUCAGAAAAAGUGCCAUCUCAAUGCAAAGCACUGGAAUGGUGGAUUAUAUUAUUCAAAAUGAAUGUCUGAAUGCAUGCUCUCUUGCAAAUGUUAUCUCUCAAGCCAAGCAUAAAGAGUGAUUCUUGCACAUUAAAGCUGAAAGGCCUAAUGCUAAAAGGAGAAAAGAGAAAAAAGUAACAACAUAAGUCUAUGCCAACAGGAUGCAUACCUUAUCUCAUAUGGCUCCUGUUGGGGACUUGUCCUUAAAUGCUAUGAAUUAAGAACAAGGCAACACAGAAAUUAUUAAACGUUAAAGUCCUUCGUCCUUUGAAACGUUAUUUCCUUUGGGAUAUAACGACCAUCGGACGAAGGUUAUGAAGGACAUACCUUCGUGAUUACGGUAUAUGAUAGUGAAAAUGAGAAACACACGAAAUAUGAAAGAUAACAUAAACAUUUAUAUAUCAUUAUUAAUUCAUUUCUAUUUUAUUAACAUGGAAAAUUAGAAAUGACAUUUAAGCUACAAGUGUACCUUCGGCUUGAAGGACAGCAAAAGUACAAGCGUGACGCAAAAGCAAAUGCCAAGUCAGCGUGAACAGUACAGGAUUACUGUUCACCUAUUUAUAGGCACGGGUCGCAGCCCAUGUAAAAUUACAUCCAGGCCCUUUGCAUUUGAUAAUAACUCUAUAGUAAUUUAUCAGGGUCUAGAUAGUCUUUUUCUCUUUAAGUCGAUUUCCUCUUUUCUGCCAACAUGCCGAAGCUUCCUUGCGCACAGCUUCGGCUCUGUUCCAUCCUUCGUUCUCCUUGUGUUUCUUCAUACAGCGAUUUUGACAUGUCCGAAGGGUCCAUGUUUGAAGGUACCUGUUCAUGUAUUACACUCCAGAAACAUUGUUAAAUCACUUUUUUGAGGACCUUCGGAAGCCGAAGGCCCCCAACAGUAGCCCCUCGCAAUAUUAAUUUGUUAGGAUAAUAAAUUCAGAUUGCGAUAUGGACGAAGGCCCUAAGCCGAAGGUCCGAGAAAACACCUUCCUCUUGCUAGAAUAGCAACAAUCAAUGGCAAGUGGGACCCUCCCACUUGCAAUGCCCUGGGUGUAUAAAUAUGUUACCACCGCGAGCUCAUUUGGCACGCCUUCUUGCCAUUUGCUUUGCCUGCUCAAACAACUCGUUGCCCACAAACACUUGACCAGCUUUCUAGAUUUUUAGCUUCGGCCCUAAGAGCAUAUUUUUAGCAUUUUCGAAAGGAUGUCUCAGGAAAAGAAAGUUGUUGCCGAAAUGAAACUGAGCCUUUCUGAGGAGAAGAAUCUGGGCUUUCUUGAAUCUAUAGCGAGAACAAAUACAAAGAAGAUUACUAGAGAAAUUUUAGAAGGCUUAUCUGAAGAUACCGGUGAGAGUGACACUUACGAUGUAGAAAGUGGGGGUGAAGACUCCGAAGAUCGGCCCACAGUCUUCGGAAAAUCAAGUAUUAAACAGAGUCAUCUUGAUAACAUGAGGGGGAGAUAUUUUCGAGACAUGUCUACUGUGCGAGCAGAUGACGGAGAGAGGACUGUGCCUACUCCCGAAGAGAAUGAAGUUGUGAUCUUCCGAAGCUUUUUUAAAGCUGGGCUUCGGUUUCCAUUAAGCAAAUUUGUGGUUGAGGUUUUAAAGAUCUAUCAAGUCUACCUUCAUCAAAUUACGCCCGAAGCAAUCAUAAGAAUGGGAAUUUUCGUCUGGGCCGUGAGGAGCCAGGGCUUGGAACCAAAUGCAAAAAGCUUUUGCAAUAUGCACGAGCUAUUAUAUGAGACGAAACCCUGGGGUAAAGAGCAAUAUCAUAACAAUUUUGGCUGUUAUAGCUUCGGUGCUCGCUCUGUGUCAAGCUGUCCCGUGCCAACCUUCCGGAAAAGAUGGCCAGGGGACUGGAUGAAGGAAUGGUUUUAUGUGAAGAACGAUUUAAAGGCACGAGAAGACAUUAAUGAUAUUAUCAUGCGUCCUAUCUGGCAGCGAUUCGGUCUUAGGAAGCCAAAGGUGAUUGUUGACGAAGCAGUCGAAGAAUGCCAGAGGGCCUUCGGUGUAGUCUGCUCUUUCGUCGGAACGAGGGAUUUAGUCCAAGAGCACAUAGCUUUCAGAGUUUGGCCACUUGUAGAAAGUGGGAAAUGCCAAAAGAAACUAUCACCAAGCCUGACGAAGGUGGACUGAUUAGGAUGAAGUUCACCUUCAGAUACGAGGGUAAAUUUGUCGAGCCAGAUGAUGAUUGGCUGAAAUGUAUUGAAGCUACAAGCGAUGAAUUGCUAGGGCCAUACUCAAAGGCAGAAGAUACUGCGUUAUCCGCGACCUUCGGAGGCCGAAAGAAGAAAAGAUUAAACCGAGUUUUUGAUGCUAUUGGGUUUGUGUACCCUGACUACCGCUACCCUCUACGGGGGCGAAAGAGAAAAGAAGCAACUUCCGGGAAAGACGAUGCUUCAACUGCUCCAAGCGAGCCUGUGCCGAAGAGGAAAAGGGUAAAAGUCCUUACUCACCGACCGCGCUUUAUUGAACCGGCCAUAGUGCCCGAGUUUGUCGGCGAGGCUUCUUCGGCUACUGAAGCCAAAAAACCUAUACCUGCGCAAAAAACUGAAGAGCUGACUGCAACACCGAAGGCUGAAAGAAUUGAAGAGCCGAAGGCUGAAGGGACAAAAAUAUCAGAAAUUUUAAGCCCUUCGGCAGAAGUUGGAGUGCCACAAACUCAGAAAGGUCCAGCGGUGACCCCCAAAAGAAAAAGAAUGGUUAACGUUCUAGAUGUGCUGGAGACAAUAAAAUCUUCAAGCACUACUCCGAAGAAAAUUGCCGAAACCCUCGAAGUGCAAAUUGAAACUUUCAGUGCCGAAACUACAAAGCACCAAGUUGAGACUGAAGCUGGUCCUUCAGAGCCUGCCAAGGUGAAAUCCUUAGAUACCAAAGAAACAGAAGUAGCCGAACAAGUUUUGGCUGAAGAAACUAGCACUGCCGCCCCCGAAGCAUUUUCCGAAGCUUUCAAUUAUACUUUACGACAUGCUUCGGGGAAAAAGUUGACUGAAAAAGAAAAGCAAGAGGCUCAGUUCUAUGCCCAAAAAUUGAAAUAUCCAAAGGGGGCGUUGAUUUUCAACGACAGCGGAGAAGAAGACUUCUUAUACUGUCUCCCAGACAGCAAGGAGAUCUCUGUCUGUCGGGAGAUGGCAAGAAGCUUCGGAUUCCCAACACUAGAAGACGGACUCUCAGUGUUGUCAAAAGAUGAAUUGGCCGACAGCUUGGCGUACAACAGCUUAAAGGUGAGAAAAUAAACUUUUUAUAUGCUUAAAAAUUCGUGUGCUUAUUUUUUAAUACCACAUUCCUUUUACAGGGCCUUAUUCUUAGCAAUGCCCUCAGAGCGCAGAAAAGUGUUGAAGACGAGGGAUGUAUCAUGGCGUUGAAUAACCUUCGUUCCGAAGUGAUUGAGCUAAGGAACAAAGGUCUUGAGAAAGAUAAAAUAUUAAACUCAUUGCUUAGUAAAAUAAAAGAAGACGAAGCUGCUUCCAAGGCCCAAGCUGAAGGCCAGAAGUGCGAAAUUGAAAAUCUUCAGAAACAGCUGGCUGAAGCGAAACUAAAGUGUGCAAUUGCCGAAGCUGACCGAGACGCCAGCGAUUAUUGGAAAAAUCAUUGGGAGAAAACAACUGCAGAACUUCGGUCUUCAAAAGAAAGAUGUUAUGAAAAAUCCAUGAAAUGUGUGGAAACAAUUAAGACUAGUUUCGCCAGCGUCGGCGCAUAUUCGAAUGAAGGCAACUUCGUACUGGGAGAUACUGAAGGUCCAAUUGACUGGAUCAAUGGCGAGGCCGAAGCUUUUGAAGAAAUUUUGAGUGGCCGUGGGGACAUAUGCGCCUUCUCGGGUGCUAGGGGGAUAGCCGCUAUCUUGGAGAGGAGAGGCUGCGAACAUGUGAAAUCCUUGGCACAGACCGAGGUUGCCUUAUGCAUUGAUGAUAUAAAAGAUCCCUCAGCCGAAGCAAGCUUGGUUGGUGGAAAAUUUUUCAUCGACAUCUGGGAAAAUGGCGGUCGGGAGAUGGCUCAAGAAAUUAUAAGAAAAAGUGAAAAAGGUAUUCACGAUGCUAGAAAAGUAGCAGAGGCCACUGAGAAAAGUGCAGAUCUUGAGAGGCGAAUAGGUAUUAAUUAAUAGCUUUUGACUUUAUGUUCUAAUUUAUGACUUCGAACUUAUUUACGGUUUGCAUCACAGCCGCACUAUCUCCUCCCCCAGAGCCCGUCGAGCCAUUGGCGGACCCCAAAGCAAAGGAGGACGAUGAAAUUAGAAAAAUGGUCGAAGCUAUUAUGGAUAAAGUUGUUGAUCAACUAUUAAACGAAGUUGCCGAAGUAGUUUUAAGAGAAGAUUAGCUGUUAUUGUAAAGACAUUUGAAAUGUAAUAUUUUGCUGGACAAUGUGUGUAAUAUCUUAUAAUUUUGAAUGUAAUAUAUAAGUUGUUUAUAAUUCAACUCUUUACGAUGCAUGAAACUUUACGUACAUACCGUUUUUGAGCCUUCGGCGAAAAAACACCUUCCCUUCUUUUCAUGCUUCGUGAAGAAUAUCCAUAUUCCGUAAAAAUAUAUAGUUUCCGAAAAAACAUGAUGCUUUGUGAACAAUGGAUCUCCUUUUCAUAUUAAAAUGACGAAGCUGUAUUUCUUGAAAACUUGUUUUGUGCCUUGGCACUUCUUCGAAACGAUCUCCGAAGCUCAAUAUUGUAGGUCAACAUUGUCUUCCUUUCCGAAGGUUAACAUUGCAUCCCCUUCUUGUGCCAUUGAUGCAAUAUGAUGUAUGAUGUUGUGCUAUGCACAUGAUGUAAUGAUGUAAUGACAUGCAAAAUGAUAUUUGCACCGAAGGCCCACACACACUCUCCAAUGGAGCACACAAUCUUUUUGUCGUUUAUUUUUUGGUGGUAUCAGCGUUGACUUUUCGCUGUAAGCCUCCCUUAGGAGCUUCUUCGCCUUUUAUUUCGGCGGUAUCAACGUUUAAUUUUCGCUGUAAGCCUCCCUUAGGAGCUUCUUCGCUUUUUAUUUCGGCAGUAUCAGCGUUUAUUUUUCGCUGUAAGCCUCCCUUAGGAGCUUCUUCGCCUUUUAUUUCGGUGGUAUCAGUGUUUAUUUUUCACUGUAAGCUCUGCAUUCCCUUUGGAACGACUUUUGAGCAGAAAACUUACGCUGCGUCCCCUUAAGAACGACUUUUGUUGCUUCGACAAAAACUUGCAGUGCAUUCCUUCGUCAAGACCUUUAGAGCUUUGUCGAUGUUUGAAGGAAGUAUAUUCAUUAUGAUAAUGUCGAAGCAAUUACAAGAAAUUGAAAACAACAAAAGAAAUAAGAUUUCAAUGAUUGCUCUUUAUUGAAAAGGUAAAUGAUAACAAAUGUAAAAGCUGCUUCAGAGGUAGGAUACAUCUUAGUAGAUGUGCUUUGAUUCUGGCACAGUACUGUUGACUGUGCGAGCUUCGGACUGCUCCCUAAAGUCUCUCUGCUGGUGAUUGUGCUGGCUCCCUUCUGGCUGCUGGCCUUGGGGAUAAGCGGGUUGCAUUGGUGGUGGAGGUGGGGGCUGUUGCCAAGAUGCCUGAGGUUGGCUUACCGAAGCAACAGAAACUGCAGGAUGAUUACCCACAUACUCUGGGAUGUAUGGUGAGUGGUACAAAGCAGUAUGCAUGACCUGCUUUGGCUGGCUCUGUUGGGCUGCAGCUUCUGCUAUCUCUUUCUAUUUUUGAAUGGUGACAUGACACAUCCUGGUAGUAUGUCCCUUGUCCUCACCGCAGAAUAGGCAGUAAAUUUUCCUGGGCUGAUCCCCAAACCUUCCUUCGAAGCCCCUGGCGCCUCUGCCCUUGGAGCUGGGGGCCGAGGAUAGUUCUGUUGCUGCCCCGAAGCUUGAGAGGAAUACUGCGGCCUUUGUUGCUGACUCCCCCUAUCGUCAGUCUCAGUAGAAUGGAUAGAUCUGACGUGCCUAGGGUGGAUUCUCCCUCCGAAGCCCCUGGUCGUUUCGGAGAACCUGUAAGCUUCCUCCCUCCUUUGCCGAAAGUCAUUAUCUGCUCGGAUAUAUUCAUCCAUCUUCUGAAGCAGUUUCUCUAGGGUCUGAGGGGGUUUCCUAGCGAAAUAUUGAGCUGUAGGUCCUGGCCGAAGCCCCUUAAUCAUGGCCUCGAUAACAAUUUCAUUAGGCACUGUUGGCGCCUACGCCCUCAGUCGUAAGAACCUUCGGACAUACGCCUGAAGGUAUUCUUCAUGAUCCUGAGAGCACUAGAACAAAGCUUGAGCAGUGACUGGCUUCGUCUGAAACCCUUGAAAGCUGGUGAUGAGCAUGUCCUUCAGCUUUUGCCACGAUGUGAUUGUCCCUGGUCGAAGAGAAGAGUACCAGGUAUGUGCAACACUUUUGACUGCCAUGACGAAGGACUUCGCCAUGACCGCAGUAUUGCCACCAUAUGAAAAUAUGGUUGCUUCGUAGCUCAUCAGAAAUUGCUUCGGAUCUGAGUGUCCAUCAUACAUUGGGAGCUGAGGUGGUUUGUAAGAUGGGGGCCAAGGUGUAGCCUGCAGUUCUGCUGACAGAGGAGAAGCAUCAUCAAAAGCAAAAUUUCCAUGAUGGAAAUCCUCAUACCAGUCAUCCUCGUUAACGAAGCCCUUUUGGUGAAGCUCUCCGUACUGGGGCCUCCGGUUCUGCUCAUCUUGCGUAAGAUGACGAACUCCUUCAGAGGCUUCGUCUAUCUGCUUUUGUAGGUCGGCUAGCCAGGCCAUUUUUUCUUUCUUCCUUUGCACUUGUUGAUGCAACAUUUCCAUGUUCCUGAUUUCUUGGUCCAAAUCGUCCUGCUGAGGCGUUGGACUGGUGGCCUUCCUCUUCUGGCUUCGGGCUUCCCGAAGAAAAAGGGUCUCCUGGUUCGGGUCCAGCGGCUGCAGAGCAGCAGCCCCUGUUGCUGAAGCUUUCUUUGGCGGCAUGACGAAGGUCGAUGCUUGCCAAAGGUGGUCAAAAAGGGUUCACCAGAGGUGGGCGCCAAUGUUGGGGACUUGUCCUUAAAUGCUAUGAAUUAAGAACAAGGCAACACAGAAAUUGUUAAACGUUAAAGUCCUUCGUCCUUCGAAACGUUAUUUCCUUUGGGAUAUAACGACCAUCGGACGAAGGUUAUGAAGGACAUACCUUCGUGAUUACGGUAUAUGAUAGUGAAAAUGAGAAACACACGAAAUAUGAAAGAUAACAUAAACAUUUAUAUAUCAUUAUUAAUUCAUUUCUAUUUUAUUAACAUGGAAAAAUAGAAAUGACAUUUAAGCUACAAGUGUACCUUCGGCUUGAAGGACAACAAAAGUACAAGCGUGACGCAAAAGCAAAUGCCAAGUCAGCGUGAACAGUACAGGAUUACUGUUCACCUAUUUAUAGGCACGGGUCGCAGCCCAUGUAAAAUUACAUCCAGGCCCUUUGCAUUUGAUAAUAACUCUAUAGUAAUUUAUCAGGGUCUAGAUAGUCUUUUCCUUUUUAAGUCGGUUUCCUCUUUUCUGCCAACAUGCCGAAGCUUCCUUGCGCACAACUUCGGCUCUGUUCCAUCCUUCGUUCUCCUUGUGUUUCUUCAUACAACGAUUUUGACAUGUCCAAAGGGUCCAUUUCAUGUAUUACACUCCAGAAACAUUGUUAAAUCACUUUUUUGAGGACCUUCGGAAGCCGAAGGCCCCCAACAGCUCCCCGUCAGGAGGUUUCUGAAGACGAAGGUCAUCCAUAAGUGAAAAAUAGGAGUGGAAAAGCAAAUCUUUCACGUCCCUGACUACAGUACAACUUCCAGUGAUAGUACUCCAUGUUCCAUCCUACAGUUCAGAAUACCAAGCUAAGCCACCUCUAAAAGAUAUGCUAACAAAUUAAAUAGCCACAGAGAUAAACAUAAACGACUCAUACAAAGAAAAACUUACCACAAAGCAAUGAACAAAUGUCUUUUCUUUGCCUUCUCCUACAGCAUCAAAUGUAGCCAUUAUGGGUGCUAGAAAACCAUAUACCAAUCUAGCAAAUAUGCUUCCUGAGAUGCCAAUUAUCAACCAUAUGAUCAAGACUGCAGUCGCAGCAAUAAGAAGCAGAAGCUUUACCACAGGUCCAACCAGCUUGGUUCUGCCCAAAGAAAAAUGGAGGAAAAAAUAUGAGCACUUUCGGUUAGUAAUUUAAUGAAGUUGCCAAAACAUGGAACUUAGAAAACAUGCACCAUACAUGACAAUGCGGUUGUAUGUCCAAAUCAGAUGCAUAGGCCAUAAGCCCGGUAUUUCCUCUCUUUGGUCCACACAGAAAUUUUCUCACCAUUGAUCGGGUAGGGGGUCACAUCGCCCUAGACGAUUAGGUCUGGACAGAGCUCGAUUGGGUAGCCGCGCCUGGGCGCUCGCCCUCGGCGGUCGACAGCGGACUCCGGCUACCCAUGUCCAUUGCAGCGUCGACCGCGCCCUGCUAGCUCUGCGGUCGCCGGAGCUCAAAGGCGGCAAGAGUGGGGCGACUGGCUACCCAGGGGCACAUGCCCGCAGUGGCCAUAGGGGGAGCUCGGAGAGGGGCGACACUGGCGUCCUUAGAUCUGUCUUCGUCGAACUCGCGAGCGGGUGAGGCGGUUAGCGCGAACCCGAGCAUGGGCGGUCCCGAAGGCUGUCUGGGGCGGAGGGGAGCGGUGGUGCGCGGCGGGCACGGGACCCCACGAGCCAGGAGAGGGAUUGGGCAAGACGGGCGUAGGGGCAUCCUUGGAAGGGCGAGGAUCGCAGGGGCGGGGCAGGUCCCUAAAAUAGCGCUUUCCAUCGAUGGAGCGCGGGCGCUAACGCAAUGAUGGCAGGGGAGGCGAUGGAGGGUCCCUGGAAUGGCGCGACGGAGAGCGAGGCGAGGCGAGAAUAUUGGGGCGGACGCGCGGCGCGGAUUCUGCGGAUCGCGGAGGCGAUCGCACGACCUUGCAUCGGCGUCCGCGCGGUGGGGGAGGCGUCGAGGUGAAGCUGCGCGACCUUCCAUCGGCAGACGCGGACGCGCGGUGGGGAGAGUGUGCGAGGCGCGGACGUGCGGUGCGAGCGCAGCGCGGCAGAACAUGGCGCACGGAGGUGUGGACGCCUACAAUGGUGUCUUAAAGAAUAGUAUAUAUAUAUAUAUAUAUAUAUAUAAUAUACUUUAAUUAGUGUAUGGAUUCAACAAAAAUGUAAAACAAAUUUUAAUUUGGGAUGGAGAUAGUAUAAUCUAGAGGGUAAACAAAUCGAACCUAAGAGUAUCUCCAAAUGACUCAUCUUUUUUGCUCUCCUUUUGACUCUCUAUUUAACAUUUUAUAAAGAUUACACUCUAUAUAUAACAUAUUACUCCAACAAACUAUCUCUAUAUUUUAGCUAGUCGUAAUGGGUAGCUAAGUUUGGCUAAUGAGUGAGUUAAUUUGGAGAGUUGGGUAGUUUGACGAGUCAGAUGAAUAGCAUGUUGGACAUUUAUUUUAGUGUUGAGUAACCAAAAUUUAGCUUAGGACUAGUUUGACAACUCUAUUUUUCAAGUGAUUUUCAUUUUUCCAAAAAAAUAAUUUAUUUUUCAUUAAAAAAAGAAAUCCGUUAAAAAAUAGAGUUACUAAAUUAGCCCUUAAUUAGUUGUUUAACUAAUAUCUUAGAGAUGCUAUAAAUGGCCUUUUUUUUUGCAAACCCCUCUUCUCUCUCCCAGUCUCCCCCAAACCGCCUUGCCUCCGUUGCCCUCCCCACUCCCCUCUCACCUCCUAAAACCCCUCUUGCUCUCCCUUGCCCGCGCGCACGAGCACGCGCAUCGACACCUUCAGCUCGUGUGUCCGUGCGAGCGGGCGGUUUCCUCGCCAAGAACUGUCGCGCGGGUCGGGGGAUUGAGGAAGAGAGUGUCGGCGGCGGCGGCGGCGACGACGACGGAUUUUUCUGGCCCGAGAUUCCUGGUCAAGGCAAUAUGAAGUACGUCCUUGUCACCGGCGGGGUGGUGAGCGGCCUGGGCAAGGGCGUCACGGCCAGCAGCAUCGGCGUCGUCCUCAAGGCGUGCGGCUUCCGCAUUACGUCCAUUAAGAUCGGUACGUGCCCGCCUCCUCCUUGCCUAAAUGAACCGCGCGCACCUUCCAUUUCAAAACACAGGAACGGCGCGUUAGGGUUUCGCUGGGGAUUUGACCCAGAGUCGGGGGUGGCUGUGAGUCCUUGAUCCGUUCCGGAAAUACGGGCCUGCAAAAGAUUUGGUUUUGGAGCGAUACUCGUGGCGGGGACUGUGGGUGAGGAUUGGUGUCGGAGGACCCGGGUUAAUGGUCGAGUUAGGUGAAAAGUCCCUCUUUUGAACCUUCUGCUCAGUGCCAUUGCUGUUGUAUUCGUUGGUGCCUUGGGUUUGGAGGAUAUGGUGUCAAAUUGGUUUUUAAUUUUCCUGAUAAGUUUGCCGAUCUUGUCAGCGAAAGAGGUUGUAGAUAUUUUUCUUCAAAGAUUGCUUUAUAAUGGAUGGGCACCUAAUCAGGGUUAACUUUGUUCAAGGGGUUUUUUCCUUUCCUCCUGAUAUUGUUUAGGAGAAGAAUAUGUUUAUGGAUGGAUGGCUCCUUCUUUUGACUUUGUACUGGUUAUUAGGAGAUCUUCUUCUUAAGCUAUAUAGACUUGGAGUUUGAACAAUGGCGGUUCAUUCAUGAUUUGCCUAAUAUUCUAGAACCUUGUAAUUUAUUUUACUUCACUGGUUGUUGGUCAGAACUUAUGCAUAGGUAAGUGCCUCUGUCAAUAUGUUCUCUUUAGUAUUUUUUUUACAGAAAUAGCUUAAUAUGUUCAUGUUUGGAACAAGAAAUAUGCCCUUAUUGGAUGCCCAUAAAUUUGCUUCGACUCAUUAGUUGAGCACAAUUUUUGGUUCUUGAUGCUGUGGCCAUGGAAACAAGGUAGUUGGAGAAGACUAGGUUUCUUUCACCUUCCAUGCUUGUUUGUCUUCCAGAUAGAUUAUGCUAUGGAGGGGCUUGCCUAUGCUGAUUUAGAUAUCACGUGACACCAAUGCUGAUUUAGUUAUCGUCAGGUCAUGAACCUACGGAUGCUAGCUCCGCACUGUGGAAUCUUCUGACUUAAUUCAAUCUAAUGUUACAUCUUUUGUUUGCCAUACUUAUCCUUAUCCAGUAUCACCUAAACCCUUCUUUGUUUUUGCUGUUGUUGCCUUGUGACUCCUUGUACUAUUGUUGCACUUGUUGCUCUGAUUGUGGCCUUUGCCUUGUAAAAUCGGUGGUGGCAAGCCAGCUAUUACUUGCAUUAAUGCUUUAGUUGCUUGUGUUUGUCUUUAUGUGGUUGACAUGUUCUCAUUCAGUUACCUGAAUAUGCAGAUCCUUACCUUAACACCGAUGCUGGGACUAUGUCUCCAUUCGAACAUGGUGAAGUGUUUGUGCUGGAUGAUGGUGGCGAGGUAUUGAUAUUGACAUGUCACAAAGUCAAUUUCUGCCAGGCACAAUGCUUGUUAGCCCACCUAAUUUAAGUACUUAUCUUGUGUCUUUUAGGUGGACUUGGAUCUUGGUAAUUACGAGAGGUUUCUGGACAUUAAACUUACUCGGGACAAUAACAUAACCACCGGAAAGAUCUAUCAGGUAAGAAUAAUCAAUAGUAUUUUCUUUUUGUCAGACCUUAAUUCAUUGCGCUGAACUGGUAUAUGAAUUUAAAUUUCUAUAAUCAUAACUUCAGGUUGUUAAAUAGCCAUGUAAUGACAUUUUUUUCAUACAAACAGUCAGAAGAUGAAAUAGUCCACUUGAUGAUGGUGUUGACAUCUUGUACUAAAUUCGGGGGGAAAGGACAUCCUUGUUGUCUUUAUGUUAUUUGAUUAUGUUAAAAAUGCAAGGAGGAAAUAAUUAAUCACAAGGAUAUAUGUAACAAUGAACAUCUCGUAUUUGAGACAUCAAAAACACAGUUGCUUUUCCCUGCACAAAGGGCUGCAUUGAUUUUUUCUUAUUUUACUUAUAAUUUUCAAUGGUUUAUGCUAGUCUGUAAUUGACAAGGAGAGGAAAGGGGAAUACUUGGGAAAGACUGUCCAGGUAUUUGGAUCAUGUUUGUUUCAUCUGUCUUGGAACUUCUGCUUGUGUUCUUAUUCUAGUACUGAUCAUCCAAAUGAUUUUACUUUUAAGGUUGUGCCACACAUCACAAAUGCCAUACAGGAGUGGAUUGAGCGUGUUGCUAUGAUACCAGUUGAUGGCAUGGAGGGACCUGCUGAUGUCUGUGUGAUAGAAUUGGGGGGCACUAUAGGUGGCAUGAGAUGACCAUUCCCUUUUUAUUAUUUUGGGUCGAUACCAGUGGACAUUUCAUAUCUAGUUUUCCUGUUAUUGAUUGCAUUCUGAACACCUGCAGGUGAUAUUGAAUCCAUGCCAUUUAUAGAAGCUUUGGGUCAGUUCUCUUAUCGUGUUGGUGAGAAACUUCACACUUAUUAUGACGCAUACAAACCUUCUGCUAGUAAGCACGAUUGAUGAUCCUAUUUUAUGUUAUUUUGGUUGACACUUGACAGGUCCUGGCAACUUCUGCCUGGUGCACGUCAGUCUAGUUCCAGUUUUGAAUGUUGUUGGUGAACAGGUAUUCUUGGUCAUUAGUUAUGUUCUACUGUUUAUUAACCGAUCAUAAAAGUUUUGUUUGAAUAAAUCUGUUUGGUUUCACUGACUUCAUUCUUGAUCUAUGUUGCUUGUUGUUGUAGAAAACAAAGCCAACCCAGCAUAGUGUACGUGGUUUGAGGGGACUCGGGCUCACUCCAAAUAUUUUAGCUUGCCGCAGUACUAAGGUUAGUUAUCAAACUAAUUAUUUUUUACAUUGGUAGAAUAUGACCUUUACCGAGUUACUUAAUAACAUUACUUAUAACUGAAACUGUGUAUAACAGGAAUUAGAGGAUAGUGUGAAGGAGAAACUCUCCCAGUUUUGCCAUGUGCCGGUAGGGAAACAUUUUCAUUCAAAGCUUCAUAUGCUGUAGCAACUUUACUCCAGGAAGUGAAUUCAUAAUUGGUUUUUGCAGGCAGCAAAUAUUAUCACUUUGUAUGAUGUUUCCAAUAUCUGGCGCAUUCCUUUGUUGCUUUGUGUAAGGCACAUCUGUUUUCUUUCAACUGGAAGUCAUUUAUAUGUUUUGGAAUUCACAUUGUGUUAAAAUGAUAAAAUUUCAUCUGUGCCCUGCAGGACCAAAAGGCUCAUGAGGCUAUCCUUAAAGUUCUGAAUCUGGAAAGGGUGGAUAGGUUGGUCUUGAACUAUGUAGUUAGUAUGUUCUCGGCAAUAUUUUACAUUGCUUUUUGCCAGAAACUAAUUUAUUUAUAACAUUUCCAGCAUUGCCCGAGAGCCGAAGUUAGACGAAUGGGUUGCAAGAGCUGCUAUAUUUGAUACCCUUCAUGACACUGUUAGUGUUUCUCCUCAGUCAGACCCUUGCUAGUGGGAAAAUUUUCAUCCUUAGUUCCAUGCAACUAACGGUGAUUAUUUUAGGUGAGGAUUGCUAUGGUUGGGAAGUACACUGGCUUAUCAGAUUCAUACCUCUCUGUGUUGAAAGUGAGCUUGCCAACUUGUUCAGUGCAGUGAUGUUUUUUUCUGUUUCCAAAUGUGAAUAUUGUUGUAUAACUAACGUGUCAUGCAAAAAAAUUGCAGGCCCUCUUGCAUGCAUCUGUUGAUUGCCGUAGGAAACUUGUUGUUGAUUGGGUUGCUUCGACGGAUCUUGAGGAUUCCACAGCAAUUGAGGUUUGGCACAGUAGCCUAUUAUUCAGUGUGCUAAGUCUUGAGGCGAAUCGUUUUUUACUUGUCUCUUUUUAAACUUUCUAGGCACCCGAUGCAUAUAAAACAUCAUGGAAUUUAUUGAAGGUGGGUUAUUAUCAAAUGGACUACUUUUAGGAUACAUAAAAUUGGAAUCGUGUCACAUUUUUUAUUUCUGAGUAUCAUGGUUACAAGAAGAGUUUUCAUUACAGGGGGCAGAUGGAAUUUUGGUACCUGGUGGCUUUGGUGACAGAGGUGUUGAAGGGAAAAUUUUGGCUGCUAAGUAUGCCCGGGAAAAGAAUGUCCCAUAUCUUGGUAUAUGUCUUGGGAUGCAGAUUGCUGUCGUGGAGUAUGCCCGUCAUGUUAUGAAUUUCACUGAUGCCAACAGCACUGAAUUUGAUCCAAAUACCAAGACCCCUUGUGUUAUUUUUAUGCCUGAGGUAAUUGCUAAUGGGUUGGAAUUGUUUUGAAUUAGGUUUGACACUGAUCUGUUUCGAUGGCAAUUAGCAAUCUUUUAUGGCUGAUACAGAUUAUCUUGGAAUUUAAUUUUAUUGUAGGGUUCCAAAACACAUAUGGGUGCAACAAUGCGCUUAGGAUCAAGGAGGACAUUUUUCAAGAUUGCUGAUUGCAAGUCUUCUAAAUUGUGAGUUGCAUAUAGACCCUUCUUAAUUUUCAUUGUACCCCUUCGAUGAAGUGUCUCGUUGAAUUCUUUGUGUAGUUCUAUGACUAUUUAGUCAUUGAUUAUUUUGAUCUUUUUAGGUAUGGCAAUGUCACUUAUGUUGAUGAAAGGCACCGGCACAGAUAUGAGGUUUGUUUAUUGAAGUUCACCAGUUUCCUAAAUGUGCAUUUAAAUGCUAUGUCGUUCCUACACCUUCAUGUUCUUUGGACUGAAGUUUUGUCUUCACAGGUGAACCCUGAUAUGGUUCCAGAGUUCGAAAAAGCUGGGCUUCAGUUUGUUGGCAAAGAUGAUACUGGAAGGAGGAUGGAGGUCUGACUCACACUGAGACUUGCUUUACAAUUUUUAUUUUCACGAAAUUUGCCCCUUAACCAACUUGCUAUGUUCUAGAUGAUUGAAAUACCCAACCACCGAUAUUUUGUUGGCGCACAAUUCCAUCCUGAGUUCAAGUCAAGACCUUCAAAACCUUCUCCCCUAUUUGUGGGUAAGAUGCUAUCUGACGCUGAAAAUUCUGCACUUGUUCACUUCACAAGCAUUUGUGCUGUACUUUUCCAUAGAAUAUAUCAUAACCAAUUUUAUGUUUCUGCAGGACUAAUUGCAGCUGCAUCUGGGCAGUUGGAUAGGGUGCUGCAAGACCGCUGCAAUGGUCAUGUUGGUUCAGCUAAACAUGUUCUGAGCAAUGGCUCAUAUACAUCCGCAGUACACCAAAAUGGGAACCCAAAGAAGCUCACCAAUGGUCUCUCAAACGGAACAUACUAUGCCAAUGGCAAUGGUGUGCAUGCUUAGACCAUCAGAUGGAUGGAUCAAGGAUUUUGCAACUCUUUACUUCAAUUAUGCGGUUCCUAAUGCAUCAGUUUUGUCCGUUCGAGGAAGAAAAAGUUCUUGCGCUCGAUGCAGACUGUCUGCUGGGAAUAGUGCUCGUUCGGUGGUUUUUAGUUAAAGAACUAAGCUGGAUCUCUUUGGAAGGCACGAGACUGGUUUCUGUGUUCGUCUCUACCCUAUUGUGUAAGCUAAAGGAGCAGAUUUGGGACGGAAGAGUUUACAAGUUGUAUAUCCUCAAAGAAAAGCUGAAUAUUUUUAUUAACUUAAAUUAGGUCUUCAGUGAGGUCGAGAGCUGAUGCUUAAAAGUGGGCAGCAGUGCAAGUGCAAGAGAGAGUAUUUCGAAAUCAGGCAACUCUGUAUUUUGAUUUUGGACAUUUUUUUUGUUUCUUGUGCGCAAAUAAGUUGAUGCACUGUUGCAUGAUCAUAUAUCAGUUUUGACUUUAGAAUCCAUCUUGAGCGCUUGCUUCUCAUAAUUCCUGCGACUUGCAUUGUGGCAAUCUAAAACCUAUUUAAACCGUGAUAAAUAAGCUAGUUUAUUUUUAACUAAGCUGUGAUAUAAAUUAAAAAGAACGAAAGGGGAGGGAGUGUCUGAUACGCAAAAUCAUCCUAUAUCACAACAAUUUCGAGUUUUUUUUGCCGAGUUGAUCGAAAUUCCUUGCGGUGCAAAAAUACACGAGCAUAAAACUUUGCCAUCAAGAAUCUAUCUAUGAAAACCGAAAGCUCAAUCCGUGACCGUGCAACGGCUCAGGGUUCCCACUCUGAGAGAAGCUUGUCAAUCAGCUCCACCAGCUUCCCUGUCUCCUCCGGCUGGCGCAUCGCCUGCUCCAGCGCCCACGCUUCCUCGAUCCUGGCGUCCUGCAGCAUCGCGUCCCGCACCGCCUCCCGCAGCUCCCGCGUGGCCUGCAACCCGUCCGUUGCCAUCUCCCUGAGCGCAGCCAGCGCGCCCCUGGGGUCCUCAAGGCGGCAGAGCCCCUCGACGGCGUCAGCGUAGGUGGCGGCGUCGGGCCGGCGCGGGGAGUCCGGGCGGCAGAGCCAGCGCAGCACGGAGGAGGCGUCGCGCGCGCGGCGCAGGGAGAGGAGGCUGCCGAGCAGCGGCGACGCCAGCAGGAGCGGCGAGGGCCGGGCCGGGUGAUGGCGCAGCGCGGUGAGGAGCGCGAAGGCAGCGGAGAGUGUCGGAAGCGAGGCAAGGUGCGCGGCGAGGGAAUCGAGGGGGAGGCCGUCCUGGGAGCCCGGGAGGAGGAGCGCCGCGGAGAGGAGGCGGCCGGCGGCGGGGACGUGGCCCGCGUAGAGGAGGCGCGGGAGGAGCGCGGAGAUCGCGUCCAGGUCGGACGGGGAGAGGGGUUGAGGUGGGGGCUUGGAUUGCGGCAGCGCGGUAGCGCAGAUGCCGCGAAGGACGCCGGCGAGCGGCGGCGCGAGGCGGAUGGGCAAGCGGGGCAGCAUCGUCUUCUGGGCUCGGCUCACUCAGGAACGAUUCUGAGUCUUUUUUUUCUUUCUGCAGGAGGGCGCGCCGCCGUCAAAUGGACGAGCGAUAUCUCAGAUCGAGCGAGAGAUGGCCAAACUGGCCGCCGGGCCCGGCCCGGGCCCGGUGAAGCACGGCCCGUUUUGGGUCCGGCCCACUAUGCACGGUUAGGAAACGGGGUCGAGCCUUCUAAACCCGCAGGCUCGAUUCUCUGUCUAAGCCUGGCCCACAGCGGGCUUAAACGGACAGGGCCGACCCAUUUAGCACGAAAAAAGCGGGCCGAAAGCGAGCUAAGCGGACCAAAAAGCAUGUUUUAGUGCAAAAAAAGCGGGCUCAACGUGAUUAAAGAUAAACGGGCUGUGCCGGGCUAGCCCACCAUACCUAGUUUCUUGUCCGAGCUCGGCCCGCUUAUUCGUGCCGGGCCGGCCCGGGCUCGCAUAGAACCGGACCGUGCUGGGCUCGGACCGGACCCAAACAGCGGACUUCGUAUCGUGCUCACGGGCCUCGUACUUAUUGGCCAUCUAUAGAUCGAGCAGACACUAUCAGCUUCCCUAUUCUUUGUGCAAUUAAUGAAGGUGGUCUUUGGUUUUUCUAAACUAAUAGUCUCUAUAUAUAAUUUUAUUUUAAUAUUUAAAUUGUUAAAUAUAGAAAUUAAAACUCUAUUUUAAUUUUCGUAUUUAGCAAUUUAGGAACUAAAACACUAUAAACAUAGUCCAUACGAGACACUUUAUGAAGUCACUUUUAAAUUAUCUUUUUGAAAAUAUUUAUAUAGAAAUCAUUUUCUAUAUAUUCUCUGAUUCGAAAGUUUUUCUAUACUUUGUGUAUACUUUAAAGCAAGUACAACAGACCAGCUAAACAUCUCGUGCUCGGUAAAAUAAACAAAACCCUAUGAAUAUGGCCUCGAACAGGCUUGGUAUCAACCUCGUCACUUUAUCCCGCUCGGUAUCGCCUUGUCGUAGCUGACCAUCUUUGGCUAGCCCUCCGGACUCGCCAUCGCCCGGCUGUGCGGUCUCUCGCCCUCUUGCUCCCUUCUGUGUGCAACCGCUUUAGUUUCCCGCGUCUUUGUUGAGACCUUGUUGUAGGCUCAUGAAGUUCCUUGAGAUGGCAGCGUUCCUGAACUGCACGGCUGCACCUAGUGCAACGCAGACAUCACGAGGGAGACGGUGAGCAGGGCGCAGCCCAGGAGGCCGCGACGACCGCGAACAGCCUGAGGUCACAAGACGUGACACUCAAUCCCACGCCAGCCCUCGACGGAUGCUUCUGACGUUGGUGGUGCUUCCUCUGUCGCAACCUCCCGAUGUUGGUCACGCCUGGCCUCCAGGGCCGGCCCUCAGGCCCCCAAGGUCUACAGGUUCCUGUUUAUUCAGUUUAUAUCCAAAUAUAUAUACGUUACAGAUAAAUCUCUAUUCUCGUUCUUUUGUUGGGUCUAUUUGAUUUUUUUGAAAUCAUCUUUUUAAGGUCACGCAACAGUCUGCUUAAUGACGAAUACUAAAUAUUGAUUAACGUGAGCAGGACGGAAGGUAUUGUACACUUGUGCUUGUCGCGUUGCUUAAUUCUAGUCUACCAGAGGGCCAACUCUAAUAACCUAUGUUGCUUAAUCAUUGUUUAGUUUGUUGAACUUUGUUUUCAGAAAAUUUGCUCUAAUGUAUUAAGAUUUGGUUUACUGUGUAUUUUAAGGUUUAGGUUAGUUUGACAAAUUAAAAGUAAAAAUACUCGCUCUCAAAAGUCAAAACAAAUGCAGAGUUAUAUUACAUAAUUUGUAUAAUUUUACGACUCAUAAAAUAUUAUAAAAGUUUCUUCAGUCAUAUCAUUUUCAAUAAAAUUGUAUAAAUUAUUAAUUUUUUAUUUUUCAGAUAUUAUUUAAAAGUUAAAAAAUAUCAUAUUUAAAUCUUCGUAUAGAUCCUCCAUAUAGAUUUUUGCUUAGGGCCCCCGAAAUAUCAGGACCGGCCCUAGCCUCUCGGGCUUCCGGCCUCGGCUCCCCUGCACGGCAGUUGCCGCUGGCGAAGAAGAAGGACCACCGACAGUGGAGGGCAAAGCACCGUCCAUUCCCGGCCCAUGCUGCUCAGUCAAGACGACUGAGGUGGCAAAAACAGUGAGGUUGAAAAACAAAAACCCUAUAUCAAAUAGAGAGUCUGUUGGCACAUCAUCCUUUAAGCAAGUUGUCUAUUUUAAAUAGUCAUCUCUAAACUAUAUAUUUAGCUAGUAUUUAUAGAUAAACUGUUAGAGUUGCUCUUAUAGAGCAAUUAUUGCUUUUAACGAACAUUUAUAUUUAACUAGCCAAUUUAAAAACUGUUGGAACACAAUUUUUUAAAUAAAAUCCCUAUUCGUGACAAUUAGAAACGAUGGCAUUUUAAGGCUGUUUGAAUCUACUAUAGGUAGACAAUAGACUGUUUGGAUCCAUUGGUUAGAGAAAAGGAACUGAUUGAGGUCUUGUUUGGAAGUCACACAGUUUUAAGAAACUAUUUUUUAUCUUUUAAGUAGUAGAGAAUUCAAUUUCUAUAAAUUAAGGCAUAAACUGGUAUGUUUGAAACCACCUCAAUUUUUAUAAACCAAUUUUUUUAAAAAACCGGAUGCUUCCAAAUAGAUUCUAAGAUACGACCUUGGAAACUAGAAGUGUGAAAACACCAUUCAUUCAAAAAGUUAGAAUAUAAUAAAUUAGGGAUAAUUGUGAUUAUAGUCUUCGCUGCCCUUGCAAUUACGAUUUUAUCCUCUAUUUUUUAACUCUGUGAUUUUACCCCUCCGUUUUAAGAAGGAAGCUCUGUUAUACCCUUGCGCUAUUGUGUGCAGUUAACAGCGUUAAAUCUAAUAGAAAAGACAAAAACAUCAAUGCAGUUUAUUGUUAUUUUACCCCUCGUUUCGAUGACGUGAUAAAAACAUGGGUAAAAUCAUAAAUAUAUAAUAUAGCGCGAAGUAAAAUCAUAGUAAAUUAUAUGGGCAUUUUUGUCUUUUCACAUCGAUUUUAGCAUAAUCAACCACACAUAACGGCGCAAGGGUAUGACAGAGGAUUGUUUUAAAAACGAAGGGUAAAAUCACAAAGUUGAAAAAUAAAGGGUAAAAUCACAACUACAAGGCCUGGAAGGGGUAUAAUCACAAUUGCAUGUCUAGAAAAAGGAAAAAGCAAAACAAGUAGAAGUGAGUAGGGUCAACAAGAUUACAAGUGUGACGAAGGACAUUUUUAUGUUAUCCAAAUUUAUCCAUUGAUUGAUUACUUGUUUUUAGAGCUAUAUUCAUUCAUUUACGUAUAAAAACUCUCUUGCAUUUUCUUUUCACUUAAAAUUAUCUAAAACAAGAUCAUUUUAGUAACAACAUGCAUUAUAAAAAACGGAAGAAAUCUAUUGAAAAAUUAUAUCAUGAGAAUAUAAGUUCAUUUAAAACUAUAUUAUCAAUAUCUCUAAGAAUAUUCGGGACUAGUUAUUACAUUGAAUCGAAGGAAGAGACAUGAAUCCUUAUCCCAGAACAAAAGAAUAAAAAAAGGAAAACAUUUUUUAUUAUAAAAAUAGGUGUUUGGAAUAUAAGGACAUGUAAAUAUGUUUUUCUCGCUACUAAUAAAUAAGGAAUUGUUCAUCUCUAUGUCUACAUGUAGGAAAACAUUUUACAAGGUUAAAAGAUGUUUAAUUUUUUUAUUUUGUAAAGUAAAACAUGCCUUUCUAUAGAAAAAAGAAAACUUCAUGUCACAAAUCAAGUGGUGUACAUGAUCAAAUUCCUGCAAUUCUCAUUUGACAUAUGUGUCAACAUCUAGAGAACAUUAUACCCUCCGAUCACCAAGACACAUUCAAAUAUUCUGGUAAAAGAGGCUAUCAUUGAGCCAAUUAUAUGGGGACAAACAACACCUAGGAUACCAUUGCUAGAGGACCUCCCUCUCCCUAACAUAGGAGCCCCUGACAGGUUCGCAUCUCAUAGGGCCUUUGCUACUUCAUCGAGGACAUCCACACCAGGGUACUUUCCUCCUUCCUGGAUUAGUUAGAGCUCCUCUAAAUGUUUCACUUUUUUUCUCUUAGUUUUGAGAAACUUGUGAAAGACGCCUAGAGGGGGUGAAUAUGCGAAACCUGAAAAUUAUAAACUUUGAACACAAUCUUUGUCCGAGAUUAGCGUUUGCAAAAAAUGGCUUCUCAUCUCAUAAACGAGAAAUAAGUACCUCCUCUUUGUAGUAAUAAUAAAAAUGUCAUGUGUCUCUACUAUCUGUAAGCUAUCCCAAUCAACUUUUGGCAUAUUUCCUGCAACCUCAAGAUCAUACCUAAACAAAUGUAAUCAUUUAUGAAAUACAUGACAUGAUAUAGGACACAAGCACAUGCUUUCUUCAUACUUGUUGUACUAUACAGCUGCGCAGGGUGUGGGCAGGGCCUGUCUGGCGCUGGGAAGGUUGUGGCCAGCCUAGCGGCGGCGAUCGAUUCGUCAAUCACAGGUUCGAUCCUCCCGUCCAUGGCGGCGCAAGCAAACACGAUCUCAACGAACACUGAGAAUCAUGCACAGGGGUAAAUGUGUCUCCUCAGGUGCUAACUACAUGCAAAUGGUUAAUGGUUUACAAAAGAAUAUUAUACGGUGGAAGGCAGUAUACUCAAUUGGAAGAUCUUUGUAAACCCAUUUUUGCGAGAUAAAUAUUUGUGAUGGCAUUACUGCGUGUUUAGAGUCCUAAAUAUGCAAUUGUCUCCCAAAAUACAGUUCAGUCAGUCCUAUCUAAUAAGAUCUUGCGAACAAUGGUCUCAAACAUACCGACUGAUUGGUUAAGUGUGUCCGUGGCUGCAGGAUGACCCGAGCCUGGCUGGUCGGAUACCGGCGUUUUGGCGGUACGAGCGGAUGCAGUCAAUUAGCCUCUAAAUGACUUGUUUUGCAUCGGCUCGUACAAUCCGCGUCUUCCACGUGCAGGUAACCAAAUACACGCUUAGUCAAAGUCAAUGCACGCAGUAGUCCAGAAUAAAGCGAUGCGAGCAACCAAUCAUAUGGAUAGUGUCUUUCACACUGACACUUGAGAUUCCACCAGAGUUGCUGCAUAAAUGACGUAAAGCAGAAAUUGUGUGAUAGUAUGUCCUUGCAAUAAACAUGGCAUUCUCACCGUGAGCAGUAUAGUAAUCUCUGCCACUUUCCUCCUGUAUUGCUUCUACUACAGCCUCCUUAUCAAAGAUAGGCCCCUCCUUAAAAGUAGCAGACACCAUUUAUCAAAGAUAGGCCCCUCCUUAAAAGUAGCAGACACCAUGUCAUCGAUGUAGCUCAGACAAUUUGUCAAACACAUGAAGGGCGCACUAGUGUUAAAGAUACUAUCAAAUACGAGCUCCACGUCAAAGGCAGGGUGCCCGUUGAGGACGCCGGUGUGUGCAGUCGAGGAGCCAUCGUUUCCUUGGUUGAACACGGCAAGCACGACAUCAUGGACCGGCUCGGUGUCAAAUACCGACAACGACCUGUCCGAGUCGGUGUCGAAGACGGUGAACUCAGAAUCACCGACCAUGUCACGGAGACGGUGAUAUGGUCGGUGAUCGAAUCAGUGUCGAACACCGGUCCCUUGUCGAGCUCGGCGAGGUCGUCGAAGUUGGUCUCAAUGUCCUCGAACACCACAUCGUCAAAAACGGGUUCGGCGCUGAGGUUGUCGGUGUCUGAAGACGGGUGCAAGGUCGACGUGGAACAGCUCCCGGUCAAAUAUGGUUCUCCCGACUGCUCGGAUUUGAGUGGAAUCGAGAGAGAAAUAGGGUAGGGUAGGAUGGGAAAAUUUUCUCCAAGGAAUGGAAUGGCUCAAUACCAUUUGUGAUGGUUCCACCGGGACGUGAGCGCACCGCAAGCUGAAUCCGCCUUCGGACGGAAGCCGGCGACGGAAGGGGAUAAGACCCGAUUCUUUUCUUCUCCCCUCCCCAUCUCUCUGAUGCUGCUCUUGUACCCAUCUCCGAGUUGUGGGCCAUGGGACACCAGACCAGAAACAAGCCAUGUGUUACAGUGAGAUACGACGCUAGAAGAUUAAUACCAGAUUAAACGAGUAAAUUUCCAAAGAACACCAAAUAGGAUGAACAAGUAGCUAAUACUCAAAUGUUAUUGUGGUACUGUGAAUUUGCUUAUUUGAAUGAUGAUGCAACGCUGCCAUUCAAAACCGAUUUCGCCAGUUGCCACGAACGCUCACGCCACGGUGGCCCUUGUCAUCGCAAGCUUCUCGUCGGCUCCGUCUUCAACAUCACCAUCCUCCUUCCCGGAGGAGUUCAGCCCGGCCGCCACCUCAAGCUCCCUCCACGGCCCGUCGAACAUCUCGGGGAACUUCUUGCACAAACCGACAACCACCCGCCUUGCCGCUCGCCCCUUGCCAGCGUCCUUAAGACCGCGCACCAGCACACGCACCGUUCCAAGGUCGGCCACCUUCCGGCGCUUCACUCCCGCGUAGAACACGUCCUCCGCCUCCGACCACCGCCCUGCGCCACAAAGUGCGCCCACCACGCAACUAUAUGUCGCGCAGUCCGGCACCACGUCCGCCUUCUUCCCGGCCUCCAGGCUGCGGUACACCUCCACCGCCUCAUCCAAUCUUUUGUGCCGCGCCAUCGCCCGCAUCAGCGCGUUGUAGGACCCGACAUCCGGCCGUAGGCUGGCCUCCUCGCGCAUGACGCGGAUCACCUCCUUGACCUCAUCCACGGUGCCGUUGGUGGACUUGUAGGUGAGCAGGGCGUUGUAGGCAGCGGUGUCGGGGGCGAUGCCGUGGUCCUGGACCAUGGCGCGCCACAUCUCCUCGGCGCGGUGCGGGAGGCGUUGCUUGUAGAAGGAGUCGAUGAUGGUUGUGAAGAGCUGGAGCGACGGCGGCGCUCCCGACGAAGGCUUCCGGAGGAGGUGGAGCGCGGAGUCGGCGCCGGAGGUGAGGCAGAGCGACUUGGCGAGGAUGCUGUCCGUGACGGCGUCCCGCGGGACAGAGGCAUGCGCGGCGAGGAUUGAGGGCACGAGCCCGGCCAGGCGGCGGCGGCGGAGGAGUGGACCGAGGACCGCGUUCAGGUGCGCGGUAUUGGGCGACGUCAUGGUGCCGAGCAGAGCGGAGGCGCGGUCGGGGAGGCCCAGCGUGGAGAGGGCCGAGAGCGCGGCGACGGGGUGGGAAGGGAACAGGGGCGCGAGAGUCGCGUCGAUGUCGUCGAGGCGGCCAGCGCGGGCGAGCUGGCGAAGACGGGCGAUAGGGACGGGGAGCUCGGUUUUCUCUGCCGCUGCCGCGGCGGUGGAGAGGAGCCGGCGGCCGGCGGCGGAGAAGGUUGCGGCGGCCAUAGCGGCGGAAGUGCGGAGCGAAACCAGUGGCCCUGUAUUAGGGUUUCGAGAAGCCGACUGCAAUAGUGAUCAGACUUCUUUCGCGGGUUCGGUCAGGCAGGCCUUGAGAAUGUGGAGCUGGGUAAAACAGCCCGUUCAGCAAAAUUCUCUGCGUGCCCUUCCUGUCCAUACAUUUUUAGUCCCAAUUUUAUGUCUGCGUUUCCUAUUAACCUCGUCCGAUUAAUCCACUUUUAAAAAUUAAAAGAUCUCGUAAACAAUAAAUUGAAGGAUUUGAUUACUCAAUAUUUGAUUGAAAUAGAUUCAUAACAAUUCUAAAAAAUAUGAAUUUUCUAUUUCAUAAUCAUUCCUAAUUUCAUUCUAAAAAUAAAAUAAAGAACCUAUAUUAUAAUAUGGUUUCUGUGAUUAAUAUUUAUUACUUUGAUUCGUUAGAACAACUUCCAUUGAGUCUCUGCACCUCCUUUUCCUUUGGGUUCUAGUUUAAGAACCACUUAUUUUUUAAAAAAAAACAGAUUUGGCUCAGGAUUCCCAUUUUCCAUUCCAAGGUUUCUCUGAAUUUGGAAGUUACCAUUUAGCAGGUUUCGAUAACAAGGCUCAAUAGAAUCAAGUUUGUAGCGUCUACCGAUUUCUCCAUAUCCCCGUUUUACUUUCCUUUGAAACCAGGAUUCCUGGUAUAAUUUUUCCAUCUCUUAGUUUUUUUUCGAAUCAUUGAAUUCAUUAUUCGGCGUAGUCUAGCAACUCAUCUGUAUUUGAGACACCCCGCUUGCUUAUUGCAAUUCAGAAUUGCAUUGAUUUUAUCGUUAAUAUAUUUGCAAUUCAAUCGGAAUGAAUAUAUCCAAAAGUUUUUCUCCCUCCUACCUCCCUCCUUCCUUUUUAGAGUAUUCCAAAUCAUACUAUAACGCUUGAUAUUCAUUCUUUUUUCUAAACUGAAUUAGAAAUUUCAUUUGCUAUGAUUCUAUCUUCUCCUCAGUGAACUAUUUAUCCUUAAAUUAUUAACAAAUAAAAAACUUGGCAUUUUCUCUUUAUUAUAUUAUUCAUAUAUAUUCUUCUUUUCUAUGUAUUAGAUUAUUCCUCCAAGCCAUAUCAAAUUGAAAAUAUCUGAAAUCAAAUUCAAUAUACAAUUUAGAAUAUAUUUUUAUUAAAAAUCCAUUUGUGAAUUAGAGAAAUAAAAAUAAAGUUCAAUAAAUUCUAUAAUCCUAUUUAAGAAUAUCAUUUAGUUAAGCAUAUCGCUAACUUUAUCUUUAUGAAAUUCUAGUAUUUUUUCUAUCUAAGUGAAACUUCCAAUUUAGAACUAGUUAAUAAUUAAGAUAUGACAUUUUACAUAUUCCCUAUAUAUAUUUUAUUUGUUACAAUUUUCUAUUAUGUAAACCCCACUUAGCUCAGAGGUUAGAGCAUCGCAUUUGUAAUAUGACGGUCAUCGGUUCAAAUCUGAUAGUGGUCGACUUUUUUCUAUCGAUGUUCUAUGAAUAAGAAUUUCUCUUUUUCUCCAAAUAAAAUGGGGAAUCCAGAGUCUAUUAUGUCGUUUCACCUUACAAUUUUGCUAGAUACAAAGUAUACAAUUAAAUAAUAUAUAUAUAUACAAAAAAAUCCAGAUGUUGAUGAAAUUCCAUCUUUUGUGUUACUUUAGUAGAUUCUACUCUAUUUAUGCUUUAGUUUAAUUCUGUUUGAAUUUCAAUGUAUUCUGUAAUAUAAAUAGAACAAAACUUAUUGUGUAAAAUGAUAUAUCAAUAAAAUAAAAAAGGAGUCUUUAUGUCUCGUUAUCGAGGGCAUCGUUAAAAAAACAUCAUAUGGGAGCUUUACUAGGACUCACUAGAAAAGCGCAUAAAUUCGGAAGUAAUCAGAAAAAGAAAUUCCAUUAUGGGAAAAAGAGUAAUGUCAUAUUCAUCUUCAAGACAACAGAAAUUGUGUUUUCAUAAUUGUCUGACAGACCGACAAUUACUUAGAUAUGUAUAUAUCACUGGAAAAGCAAAAAGAUCCACAUGUCAGGUUUCACUACAAUUACUUGAAAUGUGUUUGGAUAACAUCCUUUUUCAAUUGGUAUACAAUUUGCCUCCACGCCAAAUUUGUUUGGAAUCUAAGAUUGUUUCAGGAACUUGCAGCUCAUGAGACCUAUCUGGCAAAGAUGGAACAACGAAAACAUUAGCUCCCACUUUUGGUUUCAACGGUGAUACAUGGAAGAUGGGGUGAAUGCCACAUCCCAUUGGAAGAGCCAAUUCAUAUGCCACCGCAUUGACCUAACAAAAUCACUGUGAAAGGCCUAAAAACUUGAAUGCCAAUUUAGGGUUAAUGCGUGAAGCGACAUAGGACUGAUAGUAAGGUUGAAGUUUGAGGAACACUUUGUCCUGCUGUAAAUUUACGAUCAGUUCGGCCUUUGUAAGCUUGUAUUUUUUCAUUCUUUCUUGAGCUCAGUGAAGAUGUAAUUUAAUUUGCUGCAACACAUGUUGUCUCUCUUCCAUCAUUGUCUAAAUGUCUGGUAUUGUAUGCUUCCCAGAGAUAUCAAUACCAAAGUGUAAAGGCUUAUGACCAUACAACACUUCAAAAGGGGAUGUUCCAAGUGCUGAAUGGUGACAUGUAUUGUACCAAAAUUCUGCUAAUGGCAGCCACAACGACCACUUCUUUGGAAAAGAAUGUAGGAAACAACGAUGGUACAUUUCCAUACACUAGUUCACUCGUUCUGUCUGACCAUCAGACUGGGGAUGGUAAGCACUGCUUAAACAUAACUUCGUGCAUGCUAAACGAAAUAGCUCCUGCCAUAAUUUACUUGUAAACACUAGAUCUCGAUCGGAUAUCAUGGCCGCUGGCAACCCAAGUAGCUUGUAGACCUCAAGCAGAUACAGUUUGGCCACCAAAAAACUAUGAAUGGAUGGCUCAAGGGCAAGAAGUGAGCAUAUUUAGAAAAUUUGUCCACCACUACUAGUAUACAACUUUUUUGGUCUAAUUGUGGAAAUCUAGUGGCAAAGUCAAGACUAGCAGUGUGACAUGCAUGAUUGGGGACUGGUAAUGGUAGAAGAAGGCCUGGAUAUUUUGCCCAAUCCGACUUAGCCCGCUGACAUGUGAUAGUGGAUUGCACAAACUCCUUGACAUCUUUCUUCAUUCCCGGUCACGUAAAGGUAGCCUUGAGUCUACUGUAUAUCACUGGAAAGCCCGAGUGUCCACCCACUGGAUCGUCGUGCAAUGCUGCCAUGAUAGUGUGCUGCAGUUCAGUGUUUGAUCCUAACCAUAUUCUACCUUUAAAUCGAAUCACACCAUUGACCAGACCGUAUUGCUCGUGAAUGCCCCAUGUAGUCAGUAACUACAAUAUCCUCUGAGCAACUUGGUCCUUCUCAUACCUUGAACCACUUGCAACAGCCAAAUAGGAACUAUAGUGGACACAUUGACUUGAUUCAACUGUAACUCGGGUACAUCCAUUUCCAAUCCUGGUCACAUUGAUAGUGCAUCAACUACGCGAUUAUUAGUCCCUUUCUUAUACAUAAUUUUAUAUUGCAACCCCAUAAGUUUGGUCAGGGUUUUUUGCUGCCACGCAGUGGAAACUCUUUGAUCCCCGAGAUGAAUAUGUUGGAUUAAUGUGGGCUUGGCCCAAUUAAUAUUCAAUAAUAGUCAAUGUUAAUUCCAACUCAUGUCCUUGGUUCUAGCCUCCAUAGAUUGCAACCAAUAUAGAGCCGAGCCCUGAAAAUGCAUGACUGCCACCUGGAUCCACAUCUCCAUAGGAACAACAUAGUAUUCAAAAUAAGUUUCACAUUGACUCUUCCACAAAUUGGGAUUGGAACCAUCAAACAAUGGAAAACUUGUUUGGGGUAAAUUCACUCCGGACCCUUGAGACCAACCCUAUCGACGCGAACUGGCUUGCAAGUGUUUGCCCGAACAACCAUGGGGCAUAAGGAGGAGGCAUGACCAUACCUCCCGUUGGUUGAGGAAUUCGAUUUACAUCCAUCUCCAUGAAUGAUCGCCGAAAGGGAUCGGUUGUUCAGUGCAAAGUAGACCCCAGCGGCACUUAUCCAAACGUCGUGUUCGAUGUCGUCGACGUUGAAGAACUUGUUCCCACUAGAACAACACCCCGAUGAGAUGGGUGGUGGAAGUCUCGUAGCCUUCUAUGCCAUCUUGUCCAUCUGGGUGUGUGUGCUUGCCAACACUUCCGUUAUCUCCCCAACCUUCUUCUCGAUUCCCGGCCUCCACCUCUAAAACUCACCCCGAUCGGUCAUCAGACCUUGCACGGUGAGAUCCAUCUACUCCAUGGUUGAGUGCAUCACAUCCAUAUGUCGUCACGUCUCCUUGUUACCCUCAUCGAUUUUGGCGAUUAGCUGCACCAACGAAUCCUCCACCCGUGGACGUGCCAUCUCUCUAGCCUUGGCUUGAAACCUGGUGUUGUACGCGUGGUGAGGAUCCAGAUCGGCUCCGAUUACCAACUGUUAACACCACACAAUCACACAAUCUCGCAAACACUCACAUGCUCGGAUAGUGGUUGGGUUUAUUCUUUCGUGUGUUCCAAGUUCAUCAUCAGCCAAAAGCCAGCCUUACAAUGGAUUACCUUUUUCCCUUUUAAACCCCGCUAAGACUCACAAUAUUCCUUGACUUACAGACAGGUGAGACCCCAGUUACACCCAGCUAUCACCAUCAUACUUCGAAUUCAGCUUCCUCUCCCGAUGGUUCCUCAGCUUCUGGUCCUCAACAACUCCAGCUUUUCCAAGUGGCUUCUCUUCCCCUGGCUUGGUUGGUUACUGUGGUUUGUCUGGCAUGACGGUUCAGUUUAUCAUUAUGACGCAUGAGCUGUUGACAAUUGUCCACUAAACCAAGCCAACUCAAGUGCCCAAAGUUGACUAGGCCGCCCUCCAAAGACGGCCAAUUCGAUCACAGUGUCCGACCCUGUGAAAUCCAGUCUAGCUGAUAGGGGCGAAGCCAGGUUACCUUUUUGUGGUGCACAGGACCAGGGUAAAAUAAAAUCUUGUUAAUAUACUAGUACGAUGCACAUGUGUUGCGACGGCAUAUAAAUUAUUUAAUAAAAUGUUUGUGCACAACGAUUACAUGAAAGCAAACAACACAUAUAUUAUCAUCGACUUCAAUAUCUCAUAAAUUUCACAAAUUGUGCCAACAACCAAUCUCUACUAUAAAGCAUCAAUUUACACAUGCUUUUGGUGGAACUCUAAAGUCAUCUUCACAAUCAGAAUAUCAUAACCUAAAGUCCAAUUCUUAUGGUGACUGACAAUAUAAAUCUACAAAAGAGAAUCAAAUGCAGGUACAAUCUCAAGAAGAAUAUGGUCCUUGAAGAUGACAUAAGCAAAGCUGUUUUUUUUAACAUAUCUUACCUUUAUGUAGAGAAAAAUACAUAAUAUAAAGCUUCCAUAAACAAGAGCAGAGUAUAUCUCCCCAAGUGAUCAUACGCUAUUGGAGGGUUAAAUAUACCGAACCUGACACAAAAGUUUCUUCGUGUUAGCAUGUUUAAUUGUGGACAAAUGACACAUCGACAUACACAAUUUAAGAGCGCCAACACCCCAAUUUGGAAAGGAAAUUGGAGGGAUAAAGUAAAGUCGAUUAGUUCAUAUGCUUAUAUAUAACAAAAGGAUACAUAGAAAUGCAAGCAAAGUUGAGAAUAUCAAAAGGAUAGAAAAACUACAAGCGCAUACACAAGGAUUAUCAGUUUGAUGACCAUAAGAUCAAAGGUUCCAGAACCUUAUUUUGUUCUAUUUAUAGGACUGAUGAAUAGCCAAGAUGUGUGGCAGAGCGUUGAUAGAAGGUAAAUCACAGGAUGCCAGCAUUUAUUCAUUUCAUGCAUGCCCUUCAACAUCUCCUGAAGAGGAAGAGAAAUGGAACCAAGUUAAAAUUACACGAACAACAGGUUGACUAUAACGAAAAAGGAUAGUCUUACCACCACAAACCAAGGUUAAGUUAUCAAGGUCCAAUAUAGUAUACUCAAUUGAUCUUCCAUGUUUAUCUAGCUGCUAGUACUUAUUCAAUUAUUAUUUCUCUUCAUUAAGUUCUUUUAGUCUUUCCUCUAAGUGAGAGCACCUAGAGGGGGGGGGGUGAAUAGGUGAUCCUGUAAAAACUUGAAACUUAAUGCCACAAAACUUGAUUAGGAGUUAGCACCAUAAAGCCAAAUGGCUAGAGAGGAGUUCUUUCACAACACAAUAACCACAAGAAGAUCAACACAAAUAGGCACAGUGGUUUAUCCCGUGGUUCGGCCAAGACCAACACUUGCCUACUCCAUGUUGUGGCGUCCCAACGGACCAGGGUUGCACUCAACCCCUCUCAAGCGGUCCAAAGACCCACUUGAAUACCACGGUGUUUUGCUUUGUUUCACUAUAUCCCGCUUGCGAGGAAUCUCCAAAAGUUGGAGCCUCUCGCCCUUACAAUUUGAUGUUCACAAAGAAGCACGGAAAUAAGGACGGGAUGAGCAACGCACACAAGACACAAAAUCAGAGCACACACACGCGCACAAGUCACAACUCAAGCUCACAACACAACCCAAAGAGUUCUCUACUCAAAUGGAGCUCUAGUUGCUAUCACAAAGAAUCAAAUGCGUGGAAUUGGAGUCUUGGUGCUUAGGAAUGCUUAGAGAAUGCUUUGGUGUUCUCCUCCAUGCGCCUAGGGGGCCCUUUUAUAGCCCCAAGGCAGCUAGGAGCCGUUGAGAGCAUUCCAGGAAGGCAAUUCUUGCCUUCUGUCGUCUGGCGCACCGGACAGUCCGGUGCACCACCGGACACUGUCCGGUGCGGAUUUCUUUCCUGUUUUGGCGCAGCCGACCGUUGACGAUUUGGAGUCGUUGGCGCACCGGACACUGUCCGGUGCACACCGGACAGUCCGGUGCCCCCUUCAGACUGUUGGCCUGGCCACGCGUCACGCGCGGAUUGCGCGGCCGACCGUUGGCUCGGCCGACCGUUGGCUCACCGGACAGUCCGGUGCACCAUCGGAUAGUCCGGUGAUUUAUAGUCGUACGCCGCCGACGAAACCCGAGAGCAGCCAGUUCGCCAGAGCCAGCCUGGCGCACCGGACACUGUCCGGUGCUCCCAGACUGAACUGUCUUUGGCUGAACAAAGCCAUCUCUUUUCCAAAUUGAUUUCUCCUAUUUCCAGUACUUAGACACAAUACAUUAGUCCUUAAAACAAAGUACUAAGUCUUAGAAACAUACCUUUAUGUUGAUUUUCACUUCUUGAGUCCUUGGCAUAAUUUAACACUUAGGCACUUGUGUUGGACACUUAAUCACCAAAAUACUUAGAAAUAGCCCAAGGGCACAUUUCCCUUUCACUAAGUAGUGGAGACAAUUUGAUCAAUCUGUUUCCCUUUGUUGGCUUCUUGUAAGUAAGGAAUUGUGUCUCAACAUGCUACUUUGAUAUUUGUUAAGAUAUAUUAAGAAUUAUGGAGAUUCAAAGUUUCAAACUACUUGUUUUGGUCAUUAUUUUCAAGCUCUCCUUCCGCCUAUCUUCAAAUAUGUGUGCCACCAAUCUCUUUGGGAUGAUAUAGUUGUUCAGAAUCUUUCAUCACUUCAUCAGGGUAAAGGAUGCAAUCUACUAUUGACAAAUGUGUCCACGUAAUAUCUGAACAGAUUGAAUACAUGGAUAAGUAAAUGGUGAGUACUUGUUACCUUUCCUUGCUAGACAAUGUAGUAUGGAUUACAACGAGAGAAACCGGUACUGGGAGUGAACUUUUAACAAGAAUGAAACAUUAGACUCACCCAUGGAGUUCAACAAGUCUGUUAGUAAGCUCGUACACAUAAGAGUAAUAAAAGUACAUACGAGAUGCCAAGACAUCAUUCAACAGUUCUCCACUUUAGAUUCUUCAGGUGAGUAAUGCUCACACUUGCACAUGUUUUAGCCUUAAUACAAAAGCAGUCAAAAUAUUAUUUUACACAUCAAACAUAAGGAAAAUCAGCGUUUUAGAUGUACCUCAUCGUAUUUCUUCUAAUCAAUAAGAAAAAUCAGUACAAGCAGGUAGCAAUAUAUUUCAAUCUCAAGGAUACCAUGUUUGAUUGAAAUCAAAGCCACAACAUCAACAUCCAUCUUAGUAUCGUCUUCCUGAAAGAAACUACAAGUGAACAUUAGGAGUUAUAAAUGUGAUAUUUUUUUCUAAAGUGGAUACAUGAUAGAAAUUGAGGAAAUGAGUUUGUGUCCUUAUCAAGUCAAAUUUGGGUAUUGUUUAUUCUCUAUAUAUGAAGCCACUUAGAUCAUCCCAAGAUGGUCUGUUUUAAGAUAAACUUAAAUCUUACAGGACAUACAGAAGCAAUAGACUUUGCCACUGGAACGACCUUGUCAUCAAUAUAACUAACAAAACAAUUGCAGACAGGACACCCUGCAAUUAAGCAUUUGAAAGAAGCACUCAGAUUAGUGGGGACAAGGAUGGCAUGGAACUAAAUCACAUUGUUACAAUGCUCCAAAUAAACAUACCAGACUUGGGCAUAUUACAACAAUUUGCUUCUCCAGCAAAACUCCAACGAAUAACCCUAACACCUUUAGGAAAAAAUAACUUUAUGCAAAAAUGAAUAGUCACGACAACAAUUACCAUUUAUAUUAUACCCCAUAUACCAAAUGUAUGAUCUUAAAAUGGGUUAGUAAUGAUCGUACUGAACAAACAGAAUUGCAUGGAUGUGACCUAUAUUUAAUGUGGUCUUAAUCACCUAUAUUUUACACAGCAAAAUAUAUAGUGUUUUGUGAUUCAAAAAGACCAGCUUCCAUUCAAAAAGUUUUGUUUCUCACCCUGCUCAGGCUUUGUACAGUCUUUUUUGUUUGCUCUCCUUUUUUGUUUUGUUUGUGCAAUUGUUUCUUUAGUUCUAACAAACUUUUAUUAUAGUGCUAUACUGUAUUUACAGUUCAAAAAUGUUUGGUUGGUUCAAGAACUAAUGAAAUCUCUCACUUCACUUCUUCCUGUUGAUUAAGAAAAAUAACUCACGACAUAGCAUACAGGUCUUAUCUGUGGAAUUUCACAAACAACAAAAAAAUAAAGAUAGAAGAAAAUCUUGGUUGUCAAUAUUAUAUCUUAGGAAAAGGUCUUGAGUGUUGAGCUUCUUCUGCAGUCACCAAAUGUAAAUUGAUCUACAUUCUAAGUUUCAAGAUUAGAGAAAUGGAUGAAUGAUACUGCAGGCUAUAGUCAUGAUAGGUCAAGUAUCUACUUUAAAUGUCCAAAUCGCCUCUGCAAAACCCAACAAGGGUAAUCCAGACCAGGAGUAUUUCACAGGUUGGACAUGUUCAAGGGUGUGGAAUACAAGUUCACCACCACGAGGUGGUUGAGGAAGAGCAUGAUAACCACAAACAAUCUGUAGAGGUUCAUUAUUGUGUGCCUAAAAACGAUAAUGUAUAUGAACAAUAAGAAUUCAAGCCAUCUUAAGGUAUUUGAGAGGCAUGAAUAUCUAAAAUGACCGGCACCGGUUUGUCCUCCAAAGUACUACUAUAAAUUUUUUUGUACACUUGUACUGACGGUUAUCAUGGGUAAAACAAAAAAAAAACACAGGGCAACUCUUAACUAAAUGCUCAUACUUUAAUGGUCUAAUACAACUUAUUUUAGCAGUGUAUUAUCUUGAUUUGUCCUGCAGAGAUAUGGUGCUUUGUAUUUGUUGGCAGCUUCUUCAAUUACUACUGGAAUGUCCAUGAGCUGGAGGUCUGUGGCUGUUUGUCUAUGUUUAGGUUAUCUCCAUCAGCUUUUCUAUCCUACAUACCAUGUCUCCUAAAAAUGCUCCAAACCGACCACAUACAUUGAAACUGCUUCAUUAAAAAAACAUGACACCAAUAUUUUUUAAAAAGACAACACUUCAUAAUUUUACUAAAAGCAAAUUUGUCAUGUUUCUCGGUCCAUAGUUUCAACACGAGAAGUACUUGACUAUAAUUCUGCUUCAGAACCCAUGAGAAAUAGUACUUUUCUGCUGUCCAUAAGCUAACAUGACCAAAUUUGUUUAAAUGUGGAGCCUACAAAAAAUCAAACUUUCUGCAUUAUUUUAAGCUAAGAGAAAAGAGCUAUUACUAAUACUCAAAGCACAGCAUGCAGAGCCCACACUCGAGCUCCCACUUUGUGUCCACUUCUGAUAAAUGCUCAUCCCUGCUCCUAAAUUUUUUCAGGCACAAUUUCCUUUGUUUCAUGUCAUCCAGCUCGGUGAUGCCACUUAGAAGAUGCAGCAGCGACGGGAAAACAAUGUCUGCCAUAGCGUAACGCAGUCAGAAUCGACACUUAUGGGCAAUUAUUCAAGGAAGAAAGUGGGUGGGUUACCAUAAAACUCCAUGAUGAUGGCCUCCAUCUCCCAAUCAGGAAGCGCCGACGAGCCAUUUGCGCACACCUAUCGGAGAAACAACAACUCUACAGCCAGCUCAUGGAGUGAAAACCUAAUCGAGCACGACCACGAGCUAGGGUGCAAGGUGAUACCUUGUAUAGCAUAAUCUUCAGGAGGUCGAACACGCCCGUGAGCUUGUGCCUUGCAGUCGGUACAGUGCAGGAGGAAAUGAGUGACGACGUUGUACGCCACCCACAUCUGGAUGACCGAACCAUCAUAGUCCCUAAGGAAUUUAGGCCCCCUGCUCACACAAACAAUCCCGAAACAAAAAAUGCGCACACAUCAUCCAUUCACGCUGUUGGACCUCAUGGACAGGGGCAGUGGCGGUGUUAUCGACACCGCACCAUCAUGUAGGCUGGCAUGACUCUCGCUGGACAGAUGUGCGGUGGUCAGUGCCUGAUCCAGACUUCUCCUCACCGCAUCGUCGCGGUCUUCCUUCCCAUGCCUCGAAAGCAUCGCGGCGCGCGCGACGAGGGAGGAGCUCGGUGGCGCCUCGGUUCGGGCGAUACAGGGGCGAGGGCUAUGCGCCUGUGGGGGAGGGAACACGCAGCGGGGCAUCAGGAGGCGGGCGUGGUGGGCGGGGGGCAUAGAGGUAGGAGAGCGGGACGGGGGCACGGACGCCGAUCUGGGGGAUGGGGGCACGAUAUUGCCGCGCGGGAGGGCGAGCUUGACGCGGGGACGCUAAGAUUGCCGCGGGGGAGGGAGAUUGCCGCGGGGGAGGGUGAGCUUGCCGCGGGGGACGCCAAGAUUGCCGCGGGGGACGCCGAGAUUGCCGCUGGGGAGGGCGAGCGCCGAGAUUGCCGUGGGGGAGGGCGAGGGGGAGCGUUUGCCGAGGGCGCGCUGCUGCGAUGUCAGGCGAAGGCGUGGUGGAUGCCCCCGCUACGUACAUAUGGUGCAGCAGAGAUACCUUAAAUUUAUCAUGUAUUUCCCUUUAAAUUGUAUACUUUUUUUGUGUUUGAUAGAGUGUGCACUAGUGUUAUUUUUGAGCUGGCUUCAUCCUUGCUAGUAGACUUCCAAUGUCGUCUAGGUUGACUUUAGCUCAUUUAGAGUCGAUUAUUUCCAAAUCGUUUUUGGAUCUAUUUCAGCCUGGAAAACUUGAAGAACAGAUUUCGGAUUUGUUUUUACUAGGAUAAAACCACCUAUCUCUGAUUUACGAAUCGUAAAUAAAUAUUUGAAUCGUGAUCUAUUACCACUCCCAUUUGUAAGCCCAUUUGUAAACCGAUGUCUCCGCCACGUAAGUGUCGACAAAUCCUUCAAGCGAGAGGGAUUGAGGGAACGACGACUUGAUAGGAUCAUAAAACCUUGGGCUUAAGAGAGACGACAACGGGACGCUUGAACGAGACUCCUCGCUGCUGGUACAGCUACAGCAUAUCGGUUAUCGGGGCCAUGCUCACGCACGACCUGUCCGCCUCACUAGGCUGUCAUGUUUGCCCGUUGGUGUCUCGCAUAAUGGAGGAGAUGGAGAUGGGGAGGAGAAUAGACAGGGGUUAACUUCCUGAUGAUGGCUGGCCGCCCAUCAUUAGUUGAGCAAAAAGAAAAAAACGAGAGGAUAUGCUUCUUUUUACGUUUGGCAGUCGUCUGGACUGGACCAGAGAGAAGGGAAGCGCAGCUGCAGACCAGAGAGGCGCGCUCGGCUCGACCGCAUGAUGGAGGUUUCACGUGCUCUCUCUGCCUUUUGGCCUUUCGUGUCUGGUGUUGCAUGGACCCAACCCUGACGGCUUCACUACAGGUACAAGGGUAGUAAUGGUUUGUUACACGCUUCAACUCCCCCUCCCUCGUCUCGACACGAGCUGCCAGAUCAUAACUGUAUUCUUUGUUGCCUGGCUUGAGAAGGAAACGAAGCUUAAGUACUCUUCUCCAUCAAACCACUGAAAUGAAAAGAAAAAAAAAGGAGGGGGGAGGGCAGGAAAGGUCUGGGUCAAGCUGAACCAGACCGUCCAAAGGAGGAGAGGGACAGGUCAGUGCAGCAAGCAAAAAAGAGAGGCCCCCAUAUGGCUCCAUGCCUUUUAACAGCGAUCAUGUGCUGCUCCUGCUCGCCCGCCAGUACACGCAGCGACUCAUCGCGGUCAUGUUUAUUUAUUUUUGCCAGGAUUGCUUUGCUAAGAAUUUCUUUGGAACUCGCACUGAAAUGAGAUCGGCAUUUCUGCCGCUGUCGCAUUCAGUUUAAUAAAAUACGACGAUGAUAUAAAAAGGAACUCGGCAAGGUUGGGCUUGGGCAUCACGAUUCAUUCAUGGUGUGAGCUUCUGUUUGCACGGAUACGUCUAACGACUAGGGAUGAAAGUGGUAAUCCGAACUGUUAGAACAAAUUUAAUAUUUUAAAAUAGAUAUGUAUAAAAUUUGAUGUUGAUCUUUUCUUAUGUUAUCAAGCACAUUAGUACAAAUAUGGAUAAAAUAUUAUAUAAGUUGUUUUAUGUAUUAUUUGCUCUCUACAACACAAAAAGUUGAAAAAAUUACCGAAUUUGUUUCCGAAUCCAUACCAAAGUUUAUAUCUAUUAUUUGAGAAAAUGUAGGAUGAAUUUGAGGUUUACCUUUUAUGAAUCUUAACAAACUGGAUGUUAAAAAUAAGAAUACAAAUUUGUAUUGUAUAUUCUAUAUCUUAUUUAUUCGCAAUCAAAGAAAAAACUGAUUACCGAAUAAAUACCGUUUCCGACCGUUUUCAUCCCUACUAACGACCCUCAUAAAUGAGAUGAGAUGCCCAAAUCUUCGCCAGCGAAGGAAGAGCAUUAAACUACACACGCCCCAAGGUUCAUUCUCCUGCCUGAGAGCAGAUCGAGAAAACACACCUGAAGGAGAUAUACUCCUAUUUUAACCAGUCACUCUUUUCAGAUGGUCAAUGAUUUAUUUGAUUUUUUAAAUCCUGGCUACAUCCACAGAAGAACGGAAACGGACCUGCGUCGAUGCAACGCGACGCGGAUCCCUAGUAGAAUCAAAUCUAACGCGUCACAGACAGCGACGCGAAAUUCGCAGCGAGCGAUGGAGCGAUGUAUAACGAUAAAUCAAGCGCAGAGAAAGACGAGACUAGCAGCAACGCAUAUCUCAAAUGGGACCAAUAUCAGUAGCAAAUAUCAACCAGACAGAAUCACCACUCACGAUCACGACGAGAUAGCAGAGUACUAUCUACAAGGGGGGGAUGAGAUCACACAACCGACACCGCGACAUGGUAUAGAAACCCUCCCUGCACCAAGGAAACCAGAUCCGACCAAAAUGCGACGACGACACGACAGCACCGAACAAAUCUCACUACUACUAGUACUACUGGAUAGCACUCCAAUAAAUAGAUCUAGGCGGCGGCGGCGGCGGCGGGGGAAGUACUGCUAGGUAGCCUGCAGGCACGAGGCCCCAUCGGCUCAGUGGCGGACGGCGGCGAAGAGGAAGGCGGCGGCGGAGGCGACGAGAGCCGCGGCGAAGGGCGACGACGCCGCGACGGCGGCGGAGACGGGGCUGGGCGCGGGCGCCUCGGCCGCGGCGGCCACCGAGAAGGAGACGGCCGCCAGAACGGCGGCAACGGCGAGGGCCUUCGAUCCGACUCCGGCCAUUGCUUGCUUCGCUUCGACGGGUUGUGGAUUGUGGUGUGGCGGCGGCGAGAUGGUUCCAGAAGGCUGAUGCGUUGCUGUGCAGAAUAAUAGUGGCGAGCACGAGAUCUAUGCUGGUGCCUGGUGGUGGGGAAAGGUGUGGAGGGGCGAGUAUUUAUAGAGGACAGGGGUUGGAGUCGCGGGCUAACGGGUAUGGCUCGCUGGUGACAGCUGGUAUUGGUAUAGAGCUUUAGGCCAACUCCAGUAACUGUAUGUGGAUGUAUAACAAUGUUUUCAUAGUAGAUACAUUAUUUGUAUUUGUAGAGAUGGGUUAAAAAGUGUGAUAAGAAGUGGGAUAAAGAGUCUGCUGUAGAUAGUAUUUACGAAUCUAAGGCCUUCUUUGGAAUGCGGUAAUUUUUUUAAAAUUUCUAGUGUUUUUUUGUGAAGAUGAGAUGAUUCCUGUAAAUUUAAUGUAUAAUUUUAGUGAAAUUCCUGCGUUCAAAGUAGGUCUAAAAGUAUAUAUUUAGAGUUUAGUUCAAAUAACGUCACCCACUGCGAAUUUACUAGAAUCAAUUAUAUUUUUAAAAAAUAGAUAAAUAAUACACAUUCGUGAAAUACAAAGUUGCCAAAUGAAAAGGCCCAUGCAUGAGAGUCAAAGUUCAAAGACUACUCGAUGUCAAAUUUAUCGAACCAAUCAACUAUCCAACAUGACUCGUUAAUGUAAUGAUGGUCAAGAAAAAGAAGCCAACAAGCAAGAUCUCUAACACCUACAUCAAUAAGGUGGACAAAAAACAGCUACACCAUACCUAAUUAAUUAAGAAGAAAAAGAAUGAAAAUGUGAUAGUCAUCAAAGCCAACAAGGGAAAUGGGACCAAAUGCAUCUGGGUGUCAAAGGAGAUUAUCUCAAUCAUUAAAAUCAUAAAUAAGGUUUGGGCCUCGAAAUGGAAGUGAGAAGUUCGAAGGACUUCGAGGAAUUUAGAGACUUGGCAAAUAGUGAUGUAUAUCAUGUGAUACAUCACAUCGGAUCAAGAAAAUUAACAAGUGGGUUAGUGAACACUUUGGACCCAAAUUCCCCACCUAUGAUUAAGGUAACUAGUUUUAUUGCUUCCUUGUCUUUAGAUACACGUAUCUAUUUUUUUAAUAUCUAGCUUACCUUUCAUGCCUAGUUCUACAUGUGGUAAUUAUCUUCAUCAGCAUGCAUACUAGGUAUAUAGUAGAAAUGCUUGUCUUUAAUUCAUACUUCUUGAGCAAACCUACAUGGUUUAAAAAUAUGAAAUAAAGCACGACACAUAACUUAAUUAAAAUUCCUAGAUAAAUGACACUAUCGAAUGUUUCUAAUGUUAUAUCUUUAAAUUGGUGUCAUUUUGGCUUAUAUGUGCCAAAAGUACGGAUUAUAGAUAAUUUACCCCUCUUGAUCUUAAAAUCAAUGUGCAUGUAUCCUACAAGUAUUCAAAACUUAUAUGCACACCUUUAGGGGAGGUUACUAUAUAAUCUAAGUCUUUGAGACUAACACCGUUUUUCAAAGCCUAUUAUGUGUGUAGUAGUCUAAUUGAAGGAAAAUGGAGUCCCCGGAAAAAGACAAUAAGCUUCCACUGCAAAUCUUCAAGUGGUUUCAUUCCACGAUUGGUAUCACUUUCAUAUCUUCUCCAAUUGAUGAAUAGGCCGAUUUAUUUCUAUCUUAUGCCCCCAAUGUUGCCUCAUAUGCAUAUGUUGUUAAAAUAUAUCUUUUAACUAUGCAUAGUUUUUCUAGGGAGUUAAUCUAUUUUCAUCAUAUCUUGUUUCCUCAUGUAUUCAUGAGCUUUUUCUUAAAAGAGGGUCUCCAAUAGGGGGAGUAUGUCUUCUUUCAUACAAAGGGGGAGAAUACUCUUCCGUAGAGGGAGAACUUUCUUUUAGGGAGUAAUUCUUUUUAGAGGGCAAGUACUCAAUUGCUUUCUAUAUGCUUAUCAUGUCUUCCUUUUCGGUGUUUGAUUCCAAAGGGGGAGAAUUUUAUGGACCAAAGCAAACCAAAGUAAUCAAAUACCAAAAACCACUAUUUUUUGAUCUUACAAGUGGUUUCUUAUGAUGGAUUCUAUUCCAAAUAGGGGGUAUGUGGAUUGUGGAGUUAGGGGAGCCUUAAGUCCAUAAUCACAUUAGGGACUAGUUGCAUUUGCAAGUAACGUGCUUAAUUCUAAAUUCAUCACAUAUCCUAUUGAAUAAUUAUACGAUUUUCAGAUUAAAUUCCGAAUAUAAAUCAUGACCAAAUUAGAAGAACUGAAGUAAAAAGUCAAAUCAGAUGAUGCGUACUGAUCAGACAUACUGAUAGAUGGCGCGGGCCCGAAUCAGUAGGGUCGACGACGUCGAAGCAGCGGGGUUGAAGAUCAGCGGAAUCAGUGAGCAGUUACGUGAGGACGCUUCCCAAAAACCUUAUUCGCCCUCUCCCAGUGUAGGAUCUCGAAGGCGAAGGGUUCCGGAGACCUGCUCUUCCGAUCGUAGAUGCACGUCGGUGGUCGGGAUGAAAGCAACUGAAGGCGGCUCAGUUGUGAAGACAGGCGAAAGCGAAAACUGGGAUGAUCUGGAUGCUGGCAAAAGGGAGCCACGCUCCCGCAAGGCGAGGGACCGAAUUUCGGCGGACAUUCACGCGUAUGUCGUGUGCCCGCGUCCUUCGCCCUGCCCCGCCCUGGCAAGGCGAGCGAACGCGCGCGUGUGGCUCUCCACACACUCUCCUCUCAUCCAUGACUUGGUGAGUGAGUGUGACCUCCAUAUUUAAACUAGUUCCACUCCACUUGGACUAGCAAUAUGGUAAUAUUGGUUCCACCAUUCCCUAGCCAUACACAUAUAUGGGCUUUUGAGAUUUUCCUGGGAUUUAAUUGAAUUUCUCAAUUGGGCCUAGCCCAUAAAUCCUAACAUAUCCUACAUUUGGUAUGAUAAAUAUCUUGCUUAUGCAUAUGCAUCAAUAACAAGUAGAUUGCAUAUUUUAACUCAAGUAUUUGAUUAUUUGCUUGUUUUGGUUGUGUUGUCAUCAAUCACCAAAAAGGGGGGAAAUUAUAAGGAAAAUGGACCAUGGCACAUUUGAUUUUGGUGUUCGAUGAUGAACAUAACCUUGUGGAAUAAUAUUUUAUGAGUGUUUGUGUUUUAUAGUCCACAGGAUACAAAGUGGAUUGGACUAAGGCUCCGAGGGUGCAACACCUCAAAACAAGACCUAAAAGACACUUAGAAGAUCAACAAGUAUCAAGCAUAAGGACAAGACAUAAGACCAAAAGAGACCAAAGAAAAAAUUGAAGAAAUCAAUAAAAUGACAGUCAGUUAGUAUACUGGUGGCUCACCGGACUGUUUGGUGAAACCGCUGCACUGUCCGGUGUGUGCCGGAGUGUCCACCGUGCGCUCGUGCCGUGGUACAAACAAGCAUGUGUGAACGAACGGACGGUCAUGUGUCGUCAAGUUAUCAGAGGGAACGCGCCGACGCCGAUGCUUGGCUUUGGCUUUGGACCCGUACGUGAUUUUUUUGCUGGCGCAGUCGCGUUUGCUUCGUUGCCAAGGGAAGGGAAGGGGAUCCCAAAGGGGAGCGCACUCGGCGGACCGGGGGAAAAGGCAGCAGGCAGAGCCGCAGAGGUGCGGCUGCGCGCGUGCCACCACACCACAAGCGUUCCGGCCGCGCCCAAGGAGUAAAGGAGGUAGCACCACCAACGGAAACGGAUCGGUACGCGCGCGCGCUGCAGUCCCAGUCCCUGUCUCACAAAUAAAAGAGGACUGCGUGCUCCUCCUCGUACAUUUAUUUGGCCUUGUUUGUGAAGUGCACUCCCAUCCACACAAACGGCUCGGAGGCCCACUCCACACAUGUGCUGGUCGUCACACAUGGCACCCCGCCCCGCCCCUUCCGUCCGAAAACGACCCGUCGAUGCAUGAUGCGUAUCAUGCACUAUUUCGCAUGCGAUUCCCUCGUUCGUUCGGUUACGCUGUUCCCUUCUCAAGCAUUGGCAGACUGGGGAAGGCAGCGACGUUUACAUGAAGUAUAGUAGUCUAAAGUCUGUUGGAGAAAGAAAUCAGAUGAAAACCUACACAGGGAAGGGACAGGCACAGGCACAGGCACAGGCAGGCAUUGCCGCGAGGCGAGAUAUAUACGGCUACCUACUACUAGCCCAUCCGUGUAAUUUAACGCACGCCAGCAAGCAAGCGAGCAUAAAGCUUGCAACACACGACACAUCAGCAAUAAUGGUAUUCCAUUCCUUAGCUAACUUGACUAGGACCCGAUUAAAGAACUGGCCGGGGUUCAUUUCUGGUACUAUAGGUACACUACACCUUUCCAGCUCCCAUCCAUCACUGUGUAUAUAUAUAUAUACCAAUUAAUAAUUCAAUCCAGCUCCGUCCAUACAUACAUGCAUCUGCUGCAUAUGUAUGUAUGUAUGUAUCGGGUAGCUGUAGCUAGUCUGCUAGUGUGGUGGUAGUUGCAACUUUGGUGUCACUGCUAGCUGUCAAGCCAAACCCUAGCUACGACCCGGCCGCCCGGCCUGCACGGCCAGCUCGUCCCCCUCUCUCUCUCUCACGUCUCACCUACUAAUAAUCAGUAAUCACCCAGUUAAUUACACCACGCAACGCAACCAAUCAUUUCACACCACCCCCACACAAGAAGAAGCUAGGCCCAAGUCAAGCCAACUACAUACAGUACACCUCCCAAUCAUGCACUGCUCAAUAAGCGUCCGUCCGUCCGUCCGUCCGUCUAAAUGCCGCGCACCACUAGCUAGCUACUUUCUCUGUUAAUUAGUCGGGCACCACUUUCUAGUCGUGGGGCGAUAGUUUCACUUUCCAACAGACUCUACUUUAGUUUCCAGCCUAAAAACGUCUUACAAUAUUUGAGAUCAACCAUGUGCGUGGUGGCCACAGAACAGAAGCUUCUGCAGAUCCUUUCAGUUAAACUAGACAUAGGUCAGUACUCUACUCCAGUAGUACAAUUACUGAGCUGGGCCGUGAUAUCCUGUCGCUCACAGAAUUUAAUCCUUGCGCCUAACCGGCGGCCCUGAUCAGUGCUUUAACUAUCUAUAUCUAUACUACUCUAUUAAAAACAUAAAAUGGGCACCUGGGGCUACCAUAACUUUACUCUCCUCACGCUCAACGCGCACAAAAAAAAGUGCAAAGUGUGUUAGAAAUAUAGGCAUUUUCCAUAUCAUUUUAAUUCCAUACAUUAACAUUAUGAUGAUGACAUAUAAAAUAUGUUUAAUCAUAGAAAUUGCAAUCUCAAAUAUAUCCAUAACAAUAUGGAUCAUGAGAACAUAAAGCAUAUGAAUCAUAUAAAUAUAAUAAGCAUAUAAACAUGGAACAUGUAUUAUUAUGGAACAACUGAAAAUAAACAGAUAGCAACAUAAACAGCAUGACUGUAAAAUUAAAACAAACAGAUUUAACAUAUUACUAGUAUGAACAGACAUCAGACAUGUCACGAUAUAAUACGAUAGAACAGUUUGGAUAAAUUCAUGGCUAUAUAUGAAACAUCAAAGAUGAACAUAUGCAACAUAUAUAAUCUGCAUAACGUAAAACAGUAAAGAACUGAAUUGAUCAUACCCUCUCAUGCGCUCCGAGGAUCCUGAUCCUUGUCCAACUUCCUUUGUCAUCCGUACGAGAUAAAGACGCCAGGAACCAGCGAUGAAGACAACGACGGACGUUGGGCAGUCGCGUAGACGCUCCCCAAAAACCUAAUUACCGAUCCCCCGUUGCAAGGUCUCGAACGGCACCGGCUUCGGAGGCACCUGCCCUCUCGCUUCUCUGUGCGCGUAGAGCUACGAGAUGGAAACACCCACACUUGCGGCUGAACUGUGAUUCUGAAGGUUCUGCUCCCGUGUACCAAGUGCCAGGGGUUCUCCUCUAUUUAACCUCUCGCAGAGGGAAGCUGAAGGAGAAGAGUCGCAUGCGGCGCACCAAGGGACGGACAGCAGAAGGGUCUCGCAUGCGGCUGACGAAGAGACGGGCAACUCCCGGAGUUGAAACUCCCGCGAUUAAUGAGUGCUAAAAAUUAACACAACCACGCCCGCUCGCGCGCCUGCCUGCCUCACCUCGCCACGCCCGACCCGAUCCUGGCCCGGCCGGCGGCGGCGGCGGCGGCGCGCGCGCGUGUGGCAUGCCCUUGUCCAUUUCUUGACUUCUCAAAUUAAGUGGAAUAAUUCCCACCAUAUAAGUCAAGCCAAAAGAUCCUUGGACUUCCAAUAUGGUACUAUUGGUAUUCCCCACCAUUACACACCAUAGAGUUUAUUGAAUAAAUGGGCCAAGCCCAUAAAAGAUCCAACAAUCCCCACCAAACUCUAGGGUUUGUAAUGAUGAAGUAUCAGAAUCACAAUCCUUUGAUAUACCAGUGUUUCGAUGGAGACUGUUAAGUUGAACAUCCAUCUAGAAUAAGAGUUUCACUCAUUCACAACUGAACAAUGGACUAAGCCUUGAAUUGACAGUUUUGUGCGAAGUGAGAUUCACUCAAAUCCUUUGCUGAUACUAGGCCGCAAAAGGGUAUUCCCGCUGUUUAGAAGCAUAUAAGUCACACUUCAGUGCCUUUCAUGAGUAUUUAGGGAUUACCCAAGUCCCAUAGACUGUGACCAGCAGUCUGACUCAUAUAGGUGUACUCCUCAGAGGAUGUUCUGUAGGACAACAUCUCAUCUUUAUAAGACUCUUGGAAUACAUUAAGGUAAAUACCAUCCUGCCUUACAGAUAGGAAAGAUGUGCAUCAGAAAUGAGUUAAAGAAGGGAUCUUUCCUCACAAUCUACUCCUAGCUUGUUUCUCCACUCUACUUCACGGGAUCUCCGAUCACAUAGAGCAGGUUACCACUAGAGUAGAUUUCACAUGGGUCUCAUACCCAUUUCUCUCGAUGCACUUUCUAUCACAUUGCGUGACAGACCCUUAGUGAAUUGAUCUGCCAGAUUAUUCGAUGUGUGGACAUAAUCCACUGUAAUAACUCCGGAGUUUUUUAGCUUUCUGACAGAUUUCAAUCUCCUCUUAACAUGCCUUGUAGACUUCAUGUUAUUCCUAGAACUGUUAACCUGUGUAAUCACCGUUUGGUUGUCACAGUUCAUGGAAAUAGCCGGUAUCGGUUUUUCAACUACCGGUAAAUCCAAUAGGAAAUCACGAAGCCACUCAGCCUCAGCCCCAGCAGUGUCUAAUGCUGCGAGUUCUGCUUCCAUUGUAGACUUCGUUAAGAUAGUCUGCUUGCAAGACUUCCAGGAAACAGCGCCACCUUCAAACAAAAACACAUAUCUGCUUGUGGCAUAAAGCUCAUCAGCAUCAGAGAUCCAGUUGGCAUCACAAUAGCCUUCCAACACUUUUGGGUUUCCAGUAUAAUGAAUACCGUAUGUCAUAGUACCUUUCAAGUACCGCAACACUCUCUCAAGAGCACGCCAGUGAUCAUCUCCUAGUUUCGACACAAACCGACUCAGCUUACUCACAGCAUAAGAGAUGUCUGGCCUUGUUGCACUUGCAAGGUACAUGAGCGAGCCAAUGAUCUGGGAGUAUGUCAAUUGAUCCCUUGCUAUUCUCCGAUUCUUUCUCAAUAGCACACUAGGAUCAUAAGGUGUUGGAGUAGGAUCACAAUCACUAAAACCAAAGCGACUCAAUACCUUUUCCACAUAAUGGGAUUGUAACAAAGUUACCCCACCAUCAGCUUCUCUAACAAGCUUGAUGUUUAGAAUGACAUCAACCUCUCCCAAAUCUUUCAUCUCGAAAUUGCUCGAUAGAAGAUAUUUAACCUCCUCAAUUACAUUGAGAUUUGAUCCAAAGAUCAAGAUGUCAUCAACAUAAAGGCACAGCAUAACAGACUCACCCCCACCAUACCGAUAAUAUACACACGUGUCAGAUUCAUUUACAGCAAAACCAGCGGCUGUAAGAGUAUUAUCAAACUUUUCAUGCCAUUGCUUAGGUGCUUGUUUUAGGCCAUACAAUGAUUUUAUCAACCUGCACACCUUGUUCUCUUGACCAUCCGCAAUGAACCCUUCUGGCUGAUCCAUAUAGAUCUCCUCAUCCAACUCUCCAUUUAGGAAAGCUGUCUUAACAUCCAUCUGAUGAAUGAUAAGACCAUAAGAGGCUGACACGGCUAUUAAUGUGCGAAUCGUAGUCAAUCGAGCCACUGGUGAGUAGGUAUCAAAGAAAUCUCCACCCUCUUUUUGGGUAUAUCCUUUGGCCACAAGCCUUGCCUUGUACCUCUCAAUUGUACCAUCAGGCCUAAGCUUUUUCUUGAAGAUCCAUUUGCAGCCUAUAGGUUGACAACCAUAAGGACGGUCAACGACCUCCCAAGUUCCAUUAGACAUAAUAGAUUCCAUCUCACUCCUUACUGCUUCCUUCCAUAAGUCAGCAUCAGGAGAGGAAUAUGCCUCACUAAUGGUAGUUGGUGUGUCUUCCACAAGGUACACUAUAAAGUCAUUACCAAAGGAUUUUGCAACCCUCUGUCUCUUGUUCUUUCGAGUGACUAUAGUGUCAUCCUCCUCAGGGAUGUGCACAUGAGAAUCCUCAGCAUGAUCUAUAGGAAUAGACAGUUCAUGCUCAUGGAGAAUUAUAGUCUCAUGACUUGUAUCACUAGGUGUAUUCUUCAUGGGAAACUCAUUCUCAAAAAAUGUUGCGUCUCUUGAUUCCAUGAUAGUAUCAACAUACAUAUCAGGCACAUCAGAUUUUAUAAUUAAGAACCUAUACCCAGUGCUGUGAAAAGAGUACCCUAGGAAUAUACAAUCAACAGUUUUAGGCCCAAGUUUACGCUUUUUGUUGAUUGGCACAUUCACUUUAGCCAAGCAACCCCAAGUGCGCAAAUAUGAGAGAUUUAAUCUUCUCUUUUCCCAUUCCUCGAAUGGUGUGAUCUCUUUGUUCUUUGUUGGAACUCUGUUCAGGACAUGACACGCUGUCAAAAUCGCCUCACCCCACCAUGCCUUGGAUAAACCCGCUGUACUCAACAUGGCAUUCACCAAAUAUGUUAGAGUGUGGUUUUUCCUUUCAGCAAUCCCAUUGGAUUGUGGUGAGAAUGGCGGUGUCCUCUCAUGAAUAAUACCAUGUUCCACGCAGAACUCAUCGAACACAUUAGAGAAAUAUUCUCCACCUCGAUCAGACCUUAACCGUUUUAUUUUCCUCUCAAGUUGGUUCUCAACUUCAGCUUUAUAAGUCUUAAAAUAAUCGAACGCUUCAUCUUUUGUUUUUAAGAGAUACACAUAGCAAAAUCUAGUGGAGUCAUCUAUAAAAGUGAGAAAGUAUCUUUUACCACCUUUGGUCAAAAUUCCAUUCAUCUCGCACAAAUCAGAAUGAACAAGUUCUAGAGGUGCCAAACUCCUCGCCUCAGCAGCCUUGUGAGGCUUGCGGGGUUAUUUUGAUUCAACACACACAUGGCACUUAGACUUUUUGACCAAGUUAAAUUUAGGAAUUAGAUUUAUAUUUGCUAACCGCAUAAGACAGCCAAAGCUUGUAUGACAAAAACGUGAAUGCCAAAAAUCUGACUCAUCAGAAAAAUGAACAGAAUUCACCAUUUUAUUACACACAUCAUGCAGUGAUAAGCGGAACAAGCCUCCGCAGUCAUAUCCUUUACCAACAAAAGUACCAUGUUUAGACACAACACAUUUAUUAGACUCAAGAACAACUUUGUAUCCAUCUCGACAUAGCAUAGAAGCGCUAACGAGAUUCUUCUUGAUAGAGGGCACAUGCUGCACGCUCUUCAAUGGCACCGUCUUUCCCGAAGUAAACUUCAGAAUGACCGUACCAACACCAAGAACAUGAGCACGCGACCCAUUUCCCAUUAACAAGGCGCCAGACCUCUCGACCUGGUAGGAAGAGAACAUAGAGACAUCAGCACACACAUGAAUGUUUGCACCACUAUCCAUCCACCACUCAGGUGAAUUACAAACUGAGAGAACAAAUGGUAAAGAAUUACCAUACCCAGAUGUUCCAUCUCUAGUUUCAGUGGUUACAACAUUAGCUAAUUUCUUGUCCUGUGUGAACUUGUGAUCAGGGCACUCUCUAGCCAAGUGUUGAUCACUGCCACAGACAAAACAUCCUCCCUUUCCUUGUUAUUGUUGUUCUUCUUUUUAAACUGUGCUGUUUGAACAGGUUUAUUUGUAUUCUCUUGUUUGUUCUGGUUUUUCUUCUUGUUAAACUUGCGGAAGUUUCUCUUCUGCACCACAUUAGCAGUAGAGGUCUCCACACCUUUUCCAUUGUCCUUUGUUCUAGCCCUUUCCUCAACAUCAAGAGUACCAAUGAGCUCUUCCACAUUGAAUUCUUGUCUCUUAUGUUUGAGAGAGGUAGCAAAGUCCUUCCAAGAAGGUGGCAACUUGGCGAUUAUACCGCCAGCCACAAACUUGUCAGGCAAAGGACAAGGAAAAAGCUCGAGUUCCUUAGCUAGUGCCUGAAACUCAUGAGCCUGUUCCACUACAGAUCGGUUCCCAACCAUCUUGUAGUCAUAUAGCUGCUCCAUGAGAUACAACUCGCUACCAGCGUCAGUAACUCCAAACUUUCCAACAAGUGCAUCCCACAGCUCUUUCCCUGUGGGAAGGAUGAUAUAGCUUUUCUGGAAUUUUGUGUCAAGUGCGCUAAUCACUGCUCCUCGAAAGAGGUUGUCAUCAGCCUUAAACUUAGCCUCAUCCUCAGGAGGUAAGUGAAAGGGAAAUGUGCCCUUGGGCCAUUUCUAAGUAUUUUGGUGAUUGAGUGCCAACACAAGUGCUUAAGUGUAAAUCUAUGUCAAUUGAUGGACAAAGUGUAAAUCAAGUCUAAAGGUAUGUUUCUAGACUUAGUACAUUGUUUUGAGAACUAAUGUAUUGUGUCUAAGUGCUGGAAACAGGAGAAAUCAAAUUGGAAAAGAGAUGGCUUUGUUCAGCCAAAGUCUGCUCAGUCUGGGUGCACCGGAGUGUCCGGUGGUGCACCGGAGUGUCCGGUGCGCCAGGCUGGCUCUGGCGAACUUGCUGCUCUCGGGACUUCGACGGCGGUGUACGGCUAUAAAUCACCGGACUGUCCGGUGAGCCAUUCACAGGUGAACUCGUCGCUCUCGGGAGAUGAUUAACGGCGUACGGCUAUAAGUCACCGGACUGUCCGGUGGUGCACCGGACUGUCCGGUGAGCCAACGGUCGGCCGCGCGAUCCGCGCGGGACACGUGGCCGAGCCAACGGCUAGAAGGGGGCACCGGACUGUCCGGUGUGCACCGAACAGUGUCCGGUGCGCCAACGGCUCUGAAUCUUCAACGGUCGGCUUCGCCAAAUAAGGAAAGAGAUCCGCACCGGACUGUCCGGUGCGCCAGGCGAUAGAAGGCAAGAAUUGCCUUCCUGGAAUGCUCUCAACGGCUCCUAGCUGCCUUGGGGCUAUAAAAGGGACCCCUAGGCGCAUGGAGGAGCACACCAAGCAUUCUCUAAGCAUUCCUAAGCACCAAGACUUCGAUUCCGCGCAUUUGAUUCUUUGUGAUAGUAACUAGAGCUCUAGUUGAGUUGAGAACUCGUCGGGUUGUGUUGUGAGCUCUUGUUGCGACUUGUGUGCGUGUUGUCACUCUGAUUUUGUGUCUUGUGUGUGUUGCUCAUCCCUCCCUUACUCCGUGCUUCUUUGUGAACAUCAAAGUGUAAGGGCGAGGGACUCCAAGUUGUGGAGAUUCCUCGCGAGCGGGAUAAAGUAAGCAAAGCAAAACACCGUGGUAUUCAAGUGGGUCUUUGGACCGCUUGAGAGGGGUUGAUUGCAACCCUUGUCCGUUGGGACGCCACAACGUGGAGUAGGCAAGUUUUGUACUUGGUCGAACCACGGGAUAAACCACUGUGUCUAUCUGUGUUGAUCCUCUUGUGGUUGUUGUGUUUUGCAAGAACUCCUCUCUAGCCACUUGGCCUUAUUGUGCUAACGCUUAAUCAAGUUUUUGUGUCUUUAAGUUUUCAAGUUUUACAGGAUCACCUAUUCACCCCCCCUCUAGGUGCUCUCAAUUGGUAUCAGAGCCGUUCUCUUCAAGAAAGGGACUAACCGCCCGAAGAGAUGGAUCCUAAGGGCAAGGGGAUUGUGAUCAACGAUAAGGAGAAGGAGUCCUUCGUCAACGAGCCGAAGGAUGACAAGCCUACCGACUCGGGCUCGGGCCACAAACGUAAAGAUGGGAAGAAGAAGAAGACAAGGCGCAUCAAGGAAAUCGUCUACUACGACGACAGCGAUGAGUCCUCUUCUUCCCAAAAGGACGACGACAACGACUACGAGAAAAAGAAGACGGUUAACUCAAACUUCUCUUUCGAUUAUUCUCGUAUUCCGCAUAGUUCAAAUGCACAUUUGCUUUCCAUCCCUCUUGGCAAACCUCCACACUUUGAUGGGGAGGACUACGGAUUUUGGAGUCACAAAAUGAGUAGUCACUUGUUCUCUCUCCAUCCAAGCAUAUGGGAGAUUGUUGAGAGUGGAAUGAAAUUUGAUAGUACUGAUAGUCCUAUGUUUAUAAAUGAACAAAUCCAUAAAAAUGCACAAGCUACUACUGUCCUUUUAGCAUCUUUGUGCAGGGAAGAAUACAAUAAGGUGAGCGGCUUGGACAAUGACAAUAAGCUACUCACCUGGUUCACCAGAUUGCCUCCGCUGUCCAUUGAUUCGUGGAGAAGUCUCAGGGACAAGUUCCUUCUCAACUUCCAAGGGUACCGCCCAGACACCGACGCUUUGGCCGAGCUCUCGCUUUGCAAACAGCUGGAAAAGGAGACCCUGCGGGAGUAUUACCGUAAAUUCUUAACGCUCAAGUCACAGCUGCCCUCCGUCGAUGAUCAGAUCGCUAUCCACUAUGCCAUCAGUGGCCUUCGGGCCGGCGUCCUCUACAGCCACUGUAUCAGAGAUCCACCCAAGAACCUUCAGGAGCUAUAUCAGCUCUUUGAAAAAUAUGCCAAAUCCGAAGAGCUUCACCAGCGCAAAGUUGAGUCACAGCGGAAGCCCAAAGAUGCCCCGCAGUCCAGCCGCACAUGGACGAGGACUCCGCAACCAGACUCCGGUCGAGAUGGCCGCAGUCAACAGCAAGUGCACAACAUCCCAAACCAGCAGCCUGCUGCUGACCCCCCUCGUCGCCAGGAAUAUCCCCCCCAAGGUCGCGGAAACGGAACUCGUGGCAGGGGCCGAGGGCGCGCGCAGCCGCCGCGCCGGUUCUACUGCCUUUUCCACGGCGAAGACUGCGCCCACCAAACCAAAGACUGCCCCGAAACGAAGGCCACCAGAGACAGAAUGGCGCGGGCGCAGCCAGCCGACAAUCCCAGAAUUGUCGCGCAUAAUUACCAGCCACCCCCUCCACCAUAUAUCCACGCUCCCGCUCCGCAUCCACCGCACCACGCUUACCAACACCAUCAGGAAGUACAAAUCGUACCUCCUCCACCCCCACCACCACACCAGCAACACCAAAACAUCCCCCAUGCCCCAAAGCAGGAAGACUUCGCCGAUCAACCAUAUCGCGGAGUCAUUCACAUGAUAACAGGGGGGUCCAGCACUGACUUCGACACCAAGCGGCAGAAGCGGGACCACUACCGCAGCAUCAACCAUGUCGCGGUCACCGGCCCAGUCGUGCAGACGAAGUGGUCCCACAUACCGCUAACCUUCGAUGCACGAGACGUCGACCUGCGCAGCGCCCCCCACAUCGACGCUAUGGUCAUCAAUUGCAGCGUGGCAGGCUGGGACCUACACAAAGUCCUAGUCGACAACGACAGCCAGGCGGACAUCAUCUUCCUCCACGCCUUCGACCGCAUGGGUAUAAGCCACAGCCUGCUCAAGCCUUCGGACAAUCCGUUGUAUGGCUUCGGCGGCAAAGGCACCUUUCCCGUUGGCAAAAUAGAGCUUCCCCUCUCCUUCGGUGUAGCACCCAAUGCCCGAAGUGAGCAAGUAACCUUCGACAUUGUCGACAUGGUAUACCCGUACAACGCCAUCAUGGGCCGGGGUUCCAUCAAUAAGUUCGAAGCUGCCAUCCACGGACUGUACCUAUGUAUGAAGAUACCAGGUCCGCUAGGCGCUAUCACGAUCUACGGCAACUAGCAGACGGCGCGCAACAUAGAGCGGGACUUCGUGCCUGGUCAGAGGAACGUACACUGUCUCACGACCCAGCGCGAGGUCCCCGCGCCUGCCAGCCCAACCGACAAGCAGCACGAGAGGGCACAGUUGCAGAGCCAAGACGGAACCAAGACUGUUCCCCUUGAUCAGGCCACGCCCAAGCAGACAGUCACUAUCAGCGAAGACCUUACGUCACACGAAGAAGAGAAGCUUCUCUGCUGCCUGGCCAAGAAUAAAGAUGUCUUCGCCUGGUCCGCCCUAGACCUGGUCGGAGUCAGCCGAUCCAUAAUUGAGCACAGCUUGGGAAUUGACCCUUCGGUGCGACCAAAAAAGCAAAGGCUCCGCAAAAUGUCCGACGAAAAGACAGAGGCCGCCAAGGCGGAAGUGCACCGCCUCCUAGAAGCUAAAUUCAUCGAGCCAGUGGCUUACCCCACGUGGCUCUCCAAUGUCGUAAUGGUGCAGAAAAAAGCGGGAAAUGGCGAAUGUGCAUAGACUUCACCAGUCUCAAUAAGGCCUGCCCGAAAGACAAUUUCCCGUUGCCGCGGAUCGACAAAAUAGUCGAUAGCGCGACCGGAUGCGAGGUCAUGUCACUCCUCGACUGCUUCUCCGGCUAUCACCAGAUAUACAUGAAGGAGGAAGACAAGUCUAGCACCAGCUUUAUAACACCCUUCGGCACUUAUUGCUUCAUCAGGAUGCCGGAGGGACUCAAGAAUGCGGGGUCCACCUUCUCCAGACUCACCAAAAUAGUACUCGAAGGGCAGGUCGGUAGAAACAUAUUUACAUAUGUGGACGACAUCAUCGUCGCCAGCAAGAAUAAGGAGGACCACCUCGCCGACCUCGCCGAAACAUUCGCGAACAUGCGAGAUGCACGACUCCGCCUGAACCCGGAAAAGUGCGUCUUCGGUGUUCGCCAGGGCAAGAUAUUGGGUUACCUGGUGUCACACCGCGGCAUCGAGGCCAACCCAACCAAGAUCCAGGCCAUCGUCGACAUGUCGCCUCCGCAGUCCGUCAGGGACGUCCAGCGUCUGGCAGGCAGAUUGGCCGCUCUCAACAGAUUCAUCUCCAGGUCCGCCGAGCGAAGUCUCCCCUUCCUCAAAACACUUCGUGGUGCGAAAGACUUCGCUUGGGGGCCGGAGCAAGCAGCGGCCUUCGCCUCAUUAAAACAGUACUUAUCGGAGCUGGCCAUCCUCACAAGCCCCGACUCCUCGCUCCCCCUAUUGCUCUAUGUCGCGGCUUCGCCGCACGCGGUCAGCGCGGCACUAGUGCAGGAGCAAACUGUUGAAGGCACAGUCAGACAGUGCCCUAUUUACUAUGUCUCCGAAGUCCUGACACCGUCCAAAUGCAACAUGACAGAGCUGGAGAAGAUCGCCUACGCAGUUGUUAUGUCCUGGCGCAAACUGCGCCAUUACUUUGAAGCAUUCAAGGUCCGAGUCACCUCUGACAGAGGGCUCGGCGAACUAUUCAGAAACCCGGAGGCAUCGGUGAGGAUUGCCAAGUGGGCAGCCAAACUCUCCGGCUACCACAUCAGCUUCGAGCCCAGGACAGCCAUCAAGUCGCAAGUCCUGGCAGACUUCAUCGUCGACUGGACUGGGCCAGUAGCACAGCCGGACCCGUCCACAGAAAAGGUCUGGACCAUCCAUUGCGACGGCGCAUGGUGCCAUGCGGGGGCAGGCGUCGCUGCAAUCGUCACCUCACCAACCGGAGUCAAACACAGAUAUGCAGCACGCCUCAGCUUCGCUCUGGAGUCCGACAGAUGCACAAACAACAUCGCAGAGUAUGAAGCGGUUAUCCUCGGCCUCCGCAAGCUAAGGGCCCUCGGAGUCACCACAUGUAUCAUCAAGACAGACUCCAAGAUAGUUGCCGGCCAGAUCGAGAAAGACUAUGCAGCAAAGGACCCCGCGCUCAUGCAAUACCUCGCGGCUAUCCGAAGUCUCGAGAGACAGUUCAAGGGAUUCACCUUGCAGCAUGUGGAUAGGGCCAAGAACGAGGAGGCCGACGCAUUGGCCAAGGCUGCCGCCAGGGGCGAGCCCUUGCCCUCCGACGUGUUCUUUCACACCAUCGGCACGUCUGCCGUCCGGAGCCCCGAAGGGCUCCAAAUAACUAAUGAUAGCGAGGGCCACCGUAUAGUCAACCUAAUCAUGACCGAAGACUGGCGGGCACCAAUAACCCUGUUCCUACAGGGGUACUAUCAUCCAACUGACGACAGUGAGGCAAAGCGCCUCAGACAUCGAAGCCGGGACUUCGCACUGAUUGAGGGCCAAUUAUACAAGAAAGGGGUCAGUCAGCCAAUGCUUAAAUGCGUCACCGAAACCGAAGGCAUGCACAUCCUACGCGAAGUCCACAGUGGCACGUGCGGCUCGCACGCAGGGCCAAGGGCCCUGGCUGCCAAGGUGAUCCGACAAGGGUUUUACUGGCCCGCAAUGAUCUGCGCCGCAAAUCGGGUCACAAGGUCCUGCGAAGCCUGCCAGAAGUUCUCUCCUCGGUCAGGCAACCCCUCGCAAUAUACAAAACUGAUUGCCCAUACUUGGCCUCUCCAGCGCUGGGGCCUAGACAUCGUCGGGCCCCUGCCCACCGCUCAGGGGAACCUUAAGUUCGCCUUCGUAGCCGUCGAAUACUUCACCAAAUGGAUUGAAGCAAGGGCUGUUUCCACAAUCACAUCAAAGACUGCCCAAAAAUUCUUCUGGCAGAACAUCGUUUGCCGCUUCGGAGUACUGUCCGAGCUAACAGUUGACAACGGCAAGCAGUUCGACAGCCAAGAUUUCAAGGAUUUUUGUUUCUCCAUCGGCACCAAGCUUGCCUUCGCUUCAGUCUAUCAUCCGCAGUCCAACGGGGUCGUGGAGCGUGCCAAUGGGAAAAUAUUCACAGCUGUCAAAAAGAUGCUCCUCGAUGAAAAAAAGGCAGAUGGACCGAUUUAUUACCGGAGGCAGUCUGGGCGCUAAACACAACUGAGUGCAGGGCGACCGGGUUCACUCCUUUCCGCCUUCUAUACGGAUCGGAGGCAAUGACCCCGCAAGAAAUAAAGCAUGGGUCCCCGCGUACAGUUCCGUCAGCCGUCCCCGACGUGGACGAGCCAACUUCAAAAGAUCUCAUUGACGGAGACCGGGUCUUCGCCCUACAGGCCCUAAACAAAUACCAAGCCCAGACCAAAGCAUGGCGCGACCACGCAGUCAUCCCGAGGGAGUUCAGCGAGGGGGACCUCGUACUCGUCCGAACAGCUCGGACGGAGUCCAAGGGCAAGUUGGAGCCCAAGUGGGAGGGCCCUUUCAUAGUCAAGUCAAAAGCUUCCCCCAGCGCUUACAGGCUCACAACGCCAAAUGGCGAGGACCUGGAGCACUCCUGGAACAUCGACAACCUUCGCAAAUUUUUUGUUUGACCCAUUUAGGGCUGAUUUCGCCCUUGUAAUUCGCUGCAAAUAAUCUUGUACCGGCCCGCACUCUUUUCCUCCCGGGGGGUGAGGUUUUUAACGAGGCGGAGCCAUGUAAUAUAUGUGAGAAAAAUCCCCCGCAAAAACAUGUGUCGAAAAAAGACCGCGACAACGGUCUUCGGCAUUCGACCAAUUCGAAGUCACCGCGAGGCUAAGCGCUAGCCACCCUCGCGUGCGACAAAUCCGCGCAGAAGUCGCCUAAGGGUGCAGCCGGACCAAGCACAACAAGUGCAAAAAAAUCCGAUGUCUAUCGCGAAGACUAUCCGCGCAGAAGUCGCCUAAGGGUGCAGCCGGACUAAGCACAACAAGUGCGAGAAAAUCCGAUGUCUAUCGCGAAGACUAUCCGCGCAGAAGUCGCCUAAGGGUGCAGCCGGACUAAGCACAACAAGUGCGAGAAAAUCCGAUGUCUAUCGCGAAGACUAUCCGCGCAGAAGUCGCCUAAGGGUGCAGCCGGACUAAGCACAACAAGUGCGAGAAAAUCCGAUGUCUAUCGCGAAGACUAUCUGCGCAGAAGUCGCCUAAGGGUGCAGCCGGACCAAGCACAACAAGUGCGAAAAAAUCCGAUGUCUAUCGCGAAGACUAUCCGCGCAGAAGUCGCCUAAGGGUGCAGCCGGACUAGCACAACAAGUGCGAAAAAAAACCCGAAGUCUAUCGCAAAGACUCCGCGCAGAAGCCGCCUAAGGGCGCAGCCGAACUAGCACAACAAAAGCAGAAACGAUAGCAUCAAACCAUCCGUGCUAAGAACGACUAUAAUCACAACAGCACAGCAUAACCAACCAUACCAGACAAAGGCACACAAUGUCCUCGCAGGCACAGGCACGCGAGGGCACACAACUUCAUCGUACAAACCCCCACACAUAUACAAGCGAGGGCACCACACUCUACAUCGGCUCAACCUUAGGAAUAAGUCCCAUCUCUCUAUAAUUAAAUAACAUUAUCCUAAGCUCCUCACCCGCAAAAAGACUUCGCAGUUCCCUUUCCCCUGUACUCGCAGCGGCCGGCAAAGACAACAGUUCCUGACGACCAGCCCUACUCACACGAAGCCGAGCCCCCUCCUCCGCGCUAACCCUACGUUUUGCAACCGCCCUUCGUCGCCGGCGCCCGGUGCUAGGACCUGACACGUCUGGCGCGUCCGCGGCGUGUAGCGAAGCCUCCGCCGCAGCCACGUCCAAGGCCGCAAAAUAAUCCAAGUCCUCCUCCGACGACUCCUCAGUCCACUCAACCGAGCUCCCAGAGUCAGUAAAAUCAAAAAACUCAGCUACAGACCCACCAUAUUCAUUCCCACCUUCCGCGGUCGAAGCCGCCAAAAACUCAGUAGUAGCGGUUGCGUGCGCAGGCCCAAAAUCUUGAACCUGCGCAGCAACCAAAGUUCAGCACAGCAUCCAAAAAUUCCCCAACCCUAAACACCUACUACGCCACCUGCGAAGACCCUGACGCUGCGGGAGCCUCUGUCGUUGGCUCCGCCGCCACCGCCGCGGGAUCUUCGGCACUCGGCACAGCAGCUGCGGGGGCAUCAGGGCGCCUUCGGCCACCUUCGGGGGCAGGUCUUCGCCGGCCACAGCGGAUGUGGGGGCAGCCGUCGCGAUCGCUGCGGUCUCCGGGGUUGGCUCCAGGGUGACCCCAGUCACAGCCUCCGCGAGGGUCGGCUCCGGGUCUGGCAGCGCACUGUUCAGAGCCCCGAAGUCGUCCACCCGCUCGCCGCGCUCCGCCUAGGACAAGACACAUAGAUUCAGCAAACACACGCACAGCCUGCAUACAGCAAACGCCAAACAAACAAACAACGUUACCUGAGCCCUCGCAGUCUCGGCCCGCUCCCUGACCACCUCACGACCGUACAGACCCCACAUCCGGUCAUAAAGGGCCCCGGCGGAUUCCUUCACAACGGGGUCUUCGACCUUAUAGAUAUCUCGCUCAAAUUCUUCAUCCGCCUGGUCGAAGGCCUCGAAGUGCCGGCACCCUUCGCGGGAGAGAGCGUUCAUCGCCCCCUCGCAGGUGACCAGGGAGGCGUACGACAUCAACCCCCCCGCGACGGCUGGAAGUUCCAGCAGCUCCUCCUGCACCCACUGCAGACAGCGAAGCCCGGGCUCUCGGUCCGGCACCUCGAAGUCACCGGUCCGCGCACCCAGCUCACGAUAUGUACCCAUAAGCUGCGUGCGCGUCCGUUCGGCCUCCGCAUGCAUCGCGGCCUCGGCCUCCUUCGUGCGGCUCUCCAGGGCGGUGAGCCGCUCUUGCAGAUGUUCGGCGAGCUCCUUGGCAAGAUUGUCCUCCGCCCGCGCCAGCUUGGCCUCCGCCUGCGCAGCCUGCCCCUUGGCGACGGCCUCGUUGGCUUCCCUCCUCUCCGCCGCCAGCUGGCGCCGGAGGUCGGCCUUCUCCCUAUCCAGGGCGGCCACCCUGUCCGUCAGCUUACGGCACUUGCUGUCGGAGGCCGACUUCUCACGGACAGCGUCAGCAUGUUGUGUCCGAAGUCUCUCGACUUCGGCAGACACAGCUGCCGUGAUGGCCCCCGAUGCAGUACGGCUGGCGAAGUCAGCCACCUGCAGAGCACACGUAAGGCCAUUGACGUAAAAAAAGAAAAGGAAGGGGGGGAGAGACUAUAGCUCAGCGGACCUGACUCAACGCCUCCGUCGCCUGACUCAGCGCCUCCGUCACUCCCUUCAACCGGCGGGUCGCCACGCCCGCCUCGUCCCUGACCAGCGCGAGGGCCGACACCUCGCCUUCGGUGCCAAGCGCCUCGCCCCUCGCCUUCGGCACCAUGACGGCCGUCGCGAUCGCCGCGCCAGGCGCAGCUAUAGCAAGCUGGCCCUCGCCCGGCCCUGCAACGCGUCAACAAAUUUUAAAAAAAAAUAUAAUAACAAUAAUAGGCCAGCGACUUACCACCAAGAUAGUCGUCCACAGUAAUAUCGGUGCCGAAGUCGGCAACACGUUUGCCCGACAACGGCAACGCUUGGGCCGCCUUCGAAGCCUCCGCCACUCCGCUGGCCGGCGGCACCACCUUCGUUGACUUGGAGCCUCCGGCGCCCGCCGUCGCCUCCGGCGCCUUGCUAGGAGCAGCGGCGCCCGCCUUCGCCGCCAGCGGCGGCUUGCCUCCGCCGGAGGCCGCAGCCUUCGGAGCCCCCCGCUGCCUCUUCGGCCUAGCUUCAUGCAGCCGGACAGUCGCCUGGCGUUUUUGCGCCACACCUUGGCGAUCCUUGUCCAUCACUGCCCACACAACAGCACCGAUAUUUCGCCCGUAAGGAAAAACUCUCCACCGAUGAACCAUACGAGAUGUAAAACAGUCCUCCUCAGCCGCGCAGGGGAUAGGAACAUUUCUAGGCCAGCAGCCCCCGGUAACCCUCAGCAUCCGAGCUGAAGACUCCCGGAGCUCGAGCGAAGACAUCCUUUCCCCCGGGGCCGCACACGUCCUCAUCAACUCUCUAGCAAAACUGUCAGACACCCCAAGUCCUCCCAUCGCAGUACCUAAUUUUCUCUUUUUCGAGGAAGGGGCGGCCGCCGGCGCAGGGUCGUCUCCAGUCUCCACCGCCGGUUUCUUCCCACGGCGGUCCGCUUCGUCUUGACCGGGAUAGCCGUCGUACGGCAAUUGAUUUAAUUCGAAGACCCUGUUCAAACGGUCAUUUGACCCACGGAUAUCAAAGCUGCGCUGGCCCUCCGUCCUCGGCACGUAACGUCCCACGAGCCGCACCGCCAAGUCCUCCGCAUCACGCACAAAGGCGGCCGGGUCACGGUUUCGCAAAUUCAGUGCGAAGGCAGGACUUCGCACCACCCUUCCUCCGUGAAAAGGCAUCUGGCGAGGGCACACUUCGCCCAACGCCCAGCCAUGCGCCAAGGGCUAGACCUCGUACGCCACGAACUCUUCAACCAAAUCACGCCCACUGCUCUGACCGGCGGCGCACCGAAGGGCCCCUUCGUCUGCAUCCUCUUCUGCCACUUCAAAGGGCGGAUACGCAGAGUAAUAAUGAGAGCACAUCUCAGACACGGGGAGUCCCUCAUGGUCUUCGACAGCACCCUCAGCAACGUAAAACCAAAAUUCAUUCCAAUUGCCCCACUUGUUGCGGGCGCACGGAACCAACUCCACUACUGGCAUUAUGGUCUUGCCGGUCUUCGGCGUGAAUGUGCAUGACCCAAACUGGGCAACUCCGUCCCCAACCAUCCUCUUCUGCCAAUGCAAACAAUAAUUCUUCGCAAAAACCUCAACCGACGGCUGUCCGCCGUACGAAGUCGUCGCCCAGACAUACUUCGCCAGCGCCACCAUGGCAUUCGGUGUCAGCUGAUGUAUUUGAACGUUGAAUCUACGCAGGACUUCACCAACAAACCGGUGCGCAGGCAAGCGGAGACCGGCGGCGAAGAACGCCUCGAAAACGACCAACUCACCCUCCGGCUCGGGGACUUCCUCCGUCCCCGGAGCACGAGCAACUCCGCCGCCAAAGUAGCCCAACCGCUGCAUAUCUUCAACGCGGGCUGACGUCAUCCGUGACACACCAAAAUCAACAGAGUCGCCGGCGCGCAACUCCUCCACCAUCAAGCUACUCAACGUCUCCUCAGACGAGGCGGCCGCCGGCGGUGUGGUGUCGGCGGAAGAAGAGGACGGCAUUGCUACGUACCGUCGGCGGCGGCGGGCGGUCUGCUUCACUCGAGCCAGAUCUCCGGCGAUCAAGAGCACGGCGGGCAGACGAGCAGCAAGACGGCGGGCGGCUAGGGUUUUCGCGGAGCGCGGAAGGCAAAGUUCAAAAAGCACCGACCCCCGCCCCCCUUUUAUAGACAGGGCGCGGCUCUUCGGGAAACCCGCAAUCCGACAGGGCGCGGCGCUUCGGGAAACCCGCAAUCCAACAGUACGCCGUCCAUCAACGGUCACAUCGAAAACCCCCGCGGAACCACUUCGAGCGAGGGCAGCGUCUCCGCCAUCUAGCGACGUCUUCGGCACCAGGUGACUUCGUCGAACUGGUCCCUCGGAGGGCAAAUGUUGGGGCGAAGGCAAAGACGCCACCCUUCGCUCGUCGACUUUCGCUGCAGUCGCUGGUCUGACAGACAAAACGGGCAGGGACACCCUUCGCUUCAUUCAGCACCAGACGAAGGCCUGCGGUGACGUCUCCCCGCAGCACGGCCUCGUCCUGCUCUAAGGCCCACGUGUGAUCUGGCCCAUUGUAACGGGCCCCGCGUGGCCGCCUUUGUGUUACGGGCCUAGCUUGUAAAGACAUUCUUGUAAUUACAGCUUGUAACCCUGCUUUAUGGGAAUAUUCUGGGGAUAAACUAGGUGUCUGAGGGCACAUGCGUCCUUAACACAAGGCGCUGGGCACUCAGAUACCUAUAAAUACCCCCGCACAGUGCCCGUGAGAGGCUAGAUCAACAGAGCUAUUGCCCCCGUGCACGUAACCCUGUUGUCACCACCGUUCACCCUUGUUGGCCUCCUUGCUGCUGAGAGCAAGUUCCAACAGGUGCCAAACUCCUCGCCUCAGCAGCCUUGUGAGGCUUGCGGGGUUAUUUUGAUUCAACACACACAUGGCACUUAGACUUUUUGACCAAGUUAAAUUUAGGAAUUAGAUUUAUAUUUGCUAACCGCAUAAGACAGCCAAAGCUUGUAUGACAAAAACGUGAAUGCCAAAAAUCUGACUCAUCAGAAAAAUGAACAGAAUUCACCAUUUUAUUACACACAUCAUGCAGUGAUAAGCGGAACAAGCCUCCGCAGUCAUAUCCUUUACCAACAAAAGUACCAUGUUUAGACACAACACAUUUAUUAGACUCAAGAACAACUUUGUAUCCAUCUCGACAUAGCAUAGAAGCGCUAACGAGAUUCUUCUUGAUAGAGGGCACAUGCUGCACGCUCUUCAAUGGCACCGUCUUUCCCGAAGUAAACUUCAGAAUGACCGUACCAACACCAAGAACAUGAGCACACGACCCAUUUCCCAUUAACAAGGCGCCAGACCUCUCGACCUGGUAGGAAGAGAACAUAGAGACAUCAGCACACACAUGAAUGUUUGCACCACUAUCCAUCCACCACUCAGGUGAAUUACAAACUGAGAGAACAAAUGGUAAAGAAUUACCAUACCCAGAUGUUCCAUCUCUAGUUUCAGUGGUUACAACAUUAGCUAAUUUCUUGUCCUGUGUGAACUUGUGAUCAGGGCACUCUCUAGCCAAGUGUUGAUCACUGACACAGACAAAACAUCCUCCCUUUCCUUGUUAUUGUUGUUCUUCUUUUUAAACUGUGCUGUUUGAACAGGUUUAUUUGUAUUCUCUUGUUUGUUCUGGUUUUUCUUCUUGUUAAACUUGCGGAAGUUUCUCUUCUGCACCACAUUAGCAGUAGAGGUCUCCACACCUUUUCCAUUGUCCUUUGUUCUAGCCCUUUCCUCAACAUCAAGAGUACCAAUGAGCUCUUCCACAUUGAACUCUUGUCUCUUAUGUUUGAGAGAGGUAGCAAAGUCCUUCCAAGAAGGUGGCAACUUGGCGAUUAUACCGCCAGCCACAAACUUGUCAGGCAAAAGACAAGGAAAAAGCUCGAGUUCCUUAGCUAGUGCCUGAAACUCAUGAGCCUGUUCCACUACAGAUCGGUUCUCAACCAUCUUGUAGUCAUAUAGCUGCUCCAUGAGAUACAGCUCGCUACCAGCGUCAGUAACUCCAAACUUUCCAACAAGUGCAUCCCACAGCUCUUUCCCUGUGGGAAGGAUGAUAUAGCUUUUCUGGAAUUUUGUGUCAAGUGCGCUAAUCACUGCUCCUCGAAAGAGGUUGUCAUCAGCCUUAAACUUAGCCUCAUCCUCAGGAGGUAAGUGAAAGGGAAAUGUGCCCUUGGGCCAUUUCUAAGUAUUUUGGUGAUUGAGUGCCAACACAAGUGCUUAAGUGUAAAUCUAUGUCAAUUGAUGGACAAAGUGUAAAUCAAGUCUAAAGGUAUGUUUCUAGACUUAGUACAUUGUUUUGAGAACUAAUGUAUUGUGUCUAAGUGCUGGAAACAGGAGAAAUCAAAUUGGAAAAGAGAUGGCUUUGUUCAGCCAAAGUCUGCUCAGUCUGGGUGCACCGGAGUGUCCGGUGGUGCACCGGAGUGUCCGGUGCGCCAGGCUGGCUCUGGCGAACUUGCUGCUCUCGGGACUUCGACGGCGGUGUACGGCUAUAAAUCACCGGACUGUCCGGUGAGCCAUUCAUAGGUGAACUCGUCGCUCUCGGGAGAUGAUUAACGGCGUACGGCUAUAAGUCACCGGACUGUCCGGUGGUGCACCGGACUGUCCGGUGAGCCAACGGUCGGCCGCGCGAUCCGCGUGGGACACGUGGCCGAGCCAACGGCUAGAAGGGGGCAUCGGACUGUCCGGUGUGCACCGGACAGUGUCCGGUGCGCCAACGGCUCUGAAUCUUCAACGGUCGGCUUCGCCAAAUAAGGAAAGAGAUCCGCACCGGACUGUCCGGUGCGCCAGGCGACAGAAGGCAAGAAUUGCCUUCCUGGAAUGCUCUCAACGGCUCCUAGCUACCUUGGGGCUAUAAAAGGGACCCCUAGGCGCAUGGAGGAGCACACCAAGCAUUCUCUAAGCAUUCCUAAGCACCAAGACUUCGAUUCCGCGCAUUUGAUUCUUUGUGAUAGUAACUAGAGCUCUAGUUGAGUUGAGAACUCGUCGGGUUGUGUUGUGAGCUCUUGUUGCGACUUGUGUGCGUGUUGUCACUCUGAUUUUGUGUCUUGUGUGUGUUGCUCAUCCCUCCCUUACUCCGUGCUUCUUUGUGAACAUCAAAGUGUAAGGGCGAGGGACUCCAAGUUGUGGAGAUUCCUCGCGAGCGGGAUAAAGUAAGCAAAGCAAAACACCGUGGUAUUCAAGUGGGUCUUUGGACCGCUUGAGAGGGGUUGAUUGCAACCCUCGUCCGUUGGGACGCCACAACGUGGAGUAGGCAAGUUUUGUACUUGGCUGAACCACGGGAUAAACCACUGUGUCUAUCUGUGUUGAUCCUCUUGUGGUUGUUGUGUUUUGCAAGAACUCCUCUCUAGCCACUUGGCCUUAUUGUGCUAACGCUUAAUCAAGUUUUUGUGUCUUUAAGUUUUCAAGUUUUACAGGAUCACCUAUUCACCCCCCUCUAGGUGCUCUCAAUUGGUAUCAGAGCCGUUCUCUUCAAGAAAGGGACUAACCGCCCGAAGAGAUGGAUCCUAAGGGCAAGGGGAUUGUGAUCAACGAUAAGGAGAAGGAGUCCUUCGUCAAUGAGCCGAAGGAUGACAAGCCUACCGACUCGGGCUCGGGCCACAAACGUAAAGAUGGGAAGAAGAAGAAGACAAGGCGCAUCAAGGAAAUCGUCUACUACGACGACAUCAAUGAGUCCUCUUCUUCCCAAAAGGACGACGACAACGACUACGAGAAAAAGAAGACGGUUAACUCAAACUUCUCUUUCGAUUAUUCUCGUAUUCUGCAUAGUUCAAAUGCACAUUUGCUUUCCAUCCCUCUUGGCAAACCUCCACACUUUGAUGGGGAGGACUACGGAUUUUGGAGUCACAAAAUGAGUAGUCACUUGUUCUCUCUCCAUCCAAGCAUAUGGGAGAUUGUUGAGAGUGGAAUGAAAUUUGAUAGUACUGAUAGUCCUAUGUUUAUAAAUGAACAAAUCCAUAAAAAUGCACAAGCUACUACUGUCCUUUUAGCAUCUUUGUGCAGGGAAGAAUACAAUAAGGUGAGCGGCUUGGACAAUGCCAAGCAGAUCUGGGACACCCUCAGGAUCUCACAUGAGGGGAACGACGUCACUAUGCUCACCAAGAUGGAGUUGGUGGAGGGCGAGCUUGGGAGAUUUGCAAUGAUAAGGGGAGAGGAGCCAACCCAAACAUACAACCGGCUCAAGACCCUCAUCAACAAAAUAAGGAGCUACGGAAGCACGCGAUGGACGGACCACGACGUCGUUUGCCUAAUGCUAAGGUCUUUUACUGUCCUUGAUCCACAUCUUGUGAACAAUAUUCGUGAAAAUCCUAGGUACACCAAGAUGUCACCCGAAGAAGUACUUGGGAAGUUUGUGAGCGAGAGAAUGAUGAUCAAGGAGGCGAGAUACGUGGACGACGCGUUGAACGGUCCAAUCCAUGAGCCUCAACCCAUUGCUCUCAAGGCAACAAGGAGCAAGGAGGCGCUACCUAGCAAGGUGGCGCAAGUUGAGGCGGCCGGGCUCAAUGAUGAAGAGAUGGCCCUCAUCAUCAAGCGCUUCAAGACGGCGCUAAAGGGACGCAAGGGGCAGCCUAACAAGAACAAGACGAAAGGGAAGCGCUCAUGCUUCAAAUGUGGUAAGGUUGGUCAUUUUAUCGCUAACUGUCCCGAUAAUGAUAGUGACCAGGAACAAGGGAACAAGAGGGAAAAGAAGAAAGUUUACAAGAAGGCUAAGGGCGAGGCACACCUUGGCAAGGAGUGGGACUCGGAUUGUUCGUCGUCCGACUCUGACAACGAAGGACUCGCCGCCACCGCCUUCAACAAAUCGGCCCUCUUCCUCAACGAGCGUCACACAUGCCUCAUGGCGAAGGAGAAGAAGGUAUGUACUUGGAAUACUACUUAUGCUUCUUCAAGUGAGAAUGAGUCUAGUGAUGAUGAUGAAAUAGAUUAUUCAUGUUUAUUCAAGGGCCUAGAUAGAACCAAGGUUGAUAAAAUUAAUGAAUUAAUUGAUGCCUUGAAUGAUAAGAAUAAGUUAUUAGAAAAGCAAGAGGAUCUUUUGUAUGAAGAACAUGAUAAGUUUGUAGAGGCACAAAAAUCCCUUGCUUUAGAAAUUAAAAGGAAUGAAAUGCUUUCUAGUGAAUUGUCUACAUGCCAUGACUCUAUUUCUAGCUUAAAGAGCAUAAAUGAUGAUUUGAAUGCUAAGUUAGAAAUAGCAAAUAAAUCAACAUCUUGUGUAGAACAUAUUACAAUUUGUAAUAGGUGUAAAGAUUUUGAUGUUGAUGCUUGUAGUGAACACCUAGUUUCAAUUUCUAAAUUGAAUGAUGAAUUGGCUAGUCUUAAUGCCCAACUUAAGACUAGCAAGAGUGAAAUUAAUAAAAUAAAAUUUGCAAGGGAUGCCUACACGAUUGGUAGACAUCCCUCAAUUAAGGAUGGUCUUGGCUUCAAGAGGGAAGUCAAGAACUUAACAAGCCAUAAGGCUUCCAUCUCCACCAAGGAGAAAGGGAAGGCCCCUAUGGCUAAUAGUGCUCAAAAGAACCAUGCUUUCAUGUAUCAUGAUAGGAGACAAUCUAGGAAUGUUAAUAGAAGUUAUGAUGCUUUUAAUUGUCAUGCUAUGAUUGCUUCUAGUUCUUCCUAUAUGCAUGGUAGAGAUAUGUCUAGGAGAAAUGUCAUUCAUCAUAUGCCUAGGAGAAAUAUUGUUCAUGUUCCUAGGAAAGUAAUUAAUGAACCUUCUACAAUUUUUCAUACUUGCAAUGCUUCCUUUGCUAUUUGUAGAAAGGAUAAGAAGGUAAUUGCUAGGAAGUUAGGGGCAAGAUGCAAGGGAGAUAAAACUUGCAUUUGGGUCCCUAAGACCAUUGUGACUAACCUUGUAGGACCCAACAAGAGUUGGGUACCUAAAACCCAAGCCUAAAUUUGCCUUGCAGGUUUAUGCAUCCGGGGGUUCAAGCUGGAUUAUCGACAGCGGAUGCACAAACCACAUGACGGGGGAGAAGAAGAUGUUCACCUCCUACGUCAAGAACAAGGAUUCCCAAGAUUCAAUCAUAUUCGGUGAUGGGAACCAAGGCAAGGUGAAAGGGUUAGGGAAGAUUGCUAUUUCAUCCGAGCACUCUAUUUCUAAUGUGUUUUUAGUUGAGUCACUUGGAUAUAAUUUGUUAUCCGUAAGUCAAUUAUGCAAUAUGGGAUAUAACUGUUUAUUCACAAAUGUAGAUGUGUCUGUCUUUAGAAGGUGUGAUGGUUCACUAGCUUUUAAGGGUGUACUAGACGACAAACUUUAUUUAGUUUACUUUGCAAAAGAGGAGGCCGGUCUAGAUGCAUGCUUAAUUGCUAAGACUUGCAUGGGCUGGCUGUGGCAUCGCCAUUUAGCACAUGUGGGGAUGAAGAACCUUCACAAGCUUCUAAAGGGAGAACACGUGAUAGGUCUAACUAACGUGCAUUUCGAAAAAGAUAGACCUUGUGCAGCUUGUCAAGCAGGUAAACAGGUGGGAAGUUCUCAUCAUACCAAAAAUGUGAUGACCACAUCAAGACCGUUGGAGAUGCUUCAUAUGGACCUCUUCGGACCCGUCGCCUAUCUAAGUAUAGGAGGAAGUAAGUAUGGUCUUGUUAUAGUUGAUGAUUUUUCCUGCUUCACUUGGGUAUUCUUUUUGCAGGAUAAAUCUGAAACCCAAGGGACCCUCAAGCGCUUCCUAAGGAGAGCUCAAAAUGAGUUUGAGCUCAAGGUGAAGAAGAUAAGGAGCGAUAACGGGUCCGAGUUCAAGAACCUUCAAGUGGAGGAGUAUCUUGAGGAGGAAGGGAUCAAGCACGAGUUCUCCGCUCCCUACACACCACAGCAAAAUGGUGUGGUAGAGAGGAAGAACAGGACGCUCAUAGACAUGGCGAGGACGAUGCUUGGAGAGUUCAAGACCCCCGAGCGGUUUUGGUCGGAAGCCGUGAACACGGCUUGCCACGCCAUCAACCGGGUCUACCUUCACCGCCUCCUCAAGAAGACUUCGUAUGAGCUUCUAACCGGUAACAAACCCAAUGUAUCUUACUUUCGUGUAUUUGGGAGCAAAUGUUACAUUCUAGUGAAGAAAGGUAGAAAUUCUAAGUUUGCUCCCAAAGCUGUAGAAGGGUUUUUGUUAGGUUAUGACUCAAAUACAAAGGUGUAUAUGGUCUUCAACAAAUCAUCGGGUUUGGUUGAAGUCUCUAGCGACGUUGUAUUUGAUGAGACUAAUGGCUCUCCAAGAGAGCAAGUUGUUGAUCUUGAUGAUGUAGAUGAAGAAGACGUUCCAACGGCUGCAAUACGCACCAUGGCGAUUGGCGAUGUGCGACCACAGGAACAAUUGGAGCAAGAUCAACCUUCUUCCUCAACAAUGGUGCAUUCCCCAACUCAAGACGAUGAACAGGUUCAUCAAAAGGAGGCGUGUGAUCAAGGGGGAGCACAAGAUGAUCAUGUGAUGGAGGAAGAAGCACAACCGACACCUCCAACCCAAGUUCGAGCGACGAUUCAAACGAAUCAUCCCGUCGACCAAAUUUUGGGUGACAUUAGCAAGGGAGUAACUACUCGUUCUAGAUUAGUAAUUUUUUGUGAGCAUUACUCCUUUGUCUCUUCUAUUGAGCCUUUCAGGGUAGAAGAGGCCUUGCUAGAUCCGGACUGGGUGUUGGCCAUGCAGGAGGAGCUCAAUAAUUUCAAGAGAAAUGAAGUUUGGACACUGGUGCCUCGUCCCAAGCAAAAUGUUGUGGGAACCAAGUGGGUGUUCCGCAACAAACAAGACGAGCACGGGGUGGUGACAAGGAACAAGGCUCGACUUGUGGCAAAAGGUUAUGCCCAAGUCGCAGGUUUGGACUUUGAGGAGACUUCUGCUCCUGUGGCUAGGCUAGAGUCCAUUCGUAUUUUGCUAGCAUAUGCCGCUCAUCAUUCUUUCAGGUUGUUUCAAAUGGAUGUGAAGAGCGCUUUCCUCAACGGGCCAAUCAAGGAGGAGGUGUACGUGGAGCAACCCCCUGGCUUCGAGGAUGAACGGUACCCCAACCACGUAUGUAAGCUCUCUAAGGCGCUCUAUGGACUUAAGCAAGCCCCAAGAGCAUGGUAUGAAUGCCUUAAAGACUUUUUAAUUGCUAAUGCUUUCAAGGUUGGGAAAGCCGAUCCGACUUUAUUCACUAAGACUUGCGAUGGUGAUCUUUUUGUGUGCCAAAUUUAUGUCGAUGACAUAAUAUUUGGUUCUACUAACCAAAAGUCUUGUGAAGAGUUUAGCAGGGUGAUGACUCAGAAGUUUGAGAUGUCGAUGAUGGGCGAGUUGAACUACUUCCUUGGGUUCCAAGUGAAGCAACUCAAGGACGGCACCUUCAUCUCCCAAACGAAGUACACGCAAGCCUUGCUAAAGCGGUUUGGGAUGAAGGACGCCAAGCCCGCAAAGACUCCAAUGGGAACCGACGGACACACCAACCUCAACAAAGGAGGUAAGUCCGUUGAUCAAAAGGCAUACCGGUCUAUGAUAGGGUCUUUACUUUAUUUAUGUGCUAGUAGAACGGAUAUUAUGCUUAGUGUAUGCAUGUGUGCCAGAUUUCAAUCCGAUCCAAGGGAGUGUCACUUAGUGGCCGUGAAGCGAAUUCUUAGAUAUUUAGUCGCUACGCCUUGCUUCAGGAUCUGGUAUCCAAAGGGGUCUACCUUUGAUUUGAUUGGAUAUUCAGAUUCCGACUAUGCUGGAUGUAAGGUCGAUAGGAAGAGUACAUCGGGGACGUGCCAAUUCUUAGGAAGGUCCCUGGUGUCAUGGAAUUCUAAGAAACAAACUUCCAUUGCCCUAUCCACUGCUGAGGCCGAGUAUGUUGCCGCAGGACAGUGUUGCGCGCAACUACUCUGGAUGAGGCAAACCCUCCGGGACUUUGGCUACAAUCUGAGUAAAGUCCCACUCCUAUGUGACAAUUAGAGUGCUAUCCGCAUAGCGGAAAAUCCUGUUGAGCACAGCCGCACAAAGCACAUUGACAUCUGGCAUCACUUUUUAAGAGACCACCAGCAAAAGGGAGAUAUCGAAGUGUUUUAUGUUAGCACCGAGAACCAGCUAGCCGAUAUCUUUACCAAGCCUUUAGAUGAGAAGACCUUUUGCAUGCUGCGUAGUGAGCUAAAUGUCUUAGAUUCGCGGAACUUAGAUUGAUUUGUCGCAUACAUGUGUAUUAUGCUUUGAUCAUGUUCCUUAUGCAUUUUGUUGUUUCCUUGUGGUGCUCAAGUUGUACAAACACUCCCCGGACCUCACAAGUCCUUUUGCAAGUGAUGCACAUAUUUAGGGGGAGAUGUGCUACAACUUGACCCUUUGAGACUAACCGUGUGCUUGAGUUUGCUUGAUUUAGUCUCAAAGGCGGUUUGAAAGGGAAAGGGUGGACUUGGACCAUGAAAGACUUCCACUGCACUCCGAUGAGAGGGUAACUUAUUCCAAGUUCAUCUCAUGUACUCUUAUUGCCUUGGUACUCUUAUUUGAAGAUUUUGGUGAGGCAAUGGGGUUCGAGGGCCAAGAUUGAUCCCGUUUUGGUGCUUGAUGCCAAAGGGGGAGAAAAUAAGGCCAAAGCAAUAAAUGGAUCAGCGACCACUUGAGAAAUUUUGAAAAUAGUAGAAUAGAGCUUUUGGUUUGUCAAAACUCUCUUAUUGUCUCUCUUGUCAAAAGUUGGCCUCUUCUGGGGAGAAUGGUUGUUUAUGGGAAAAAGGGGGAGUUUCUCUUGUCAAAAGUUGGCCUCUUGUGGGGAGAAUGGUUGUUUAUGGGAAAAAGGGGGAGUUUUUGAAAUCUUUGAUCAAUUUCUCUUGGAACAACUCUCUUUAUGUCUCUACAAUUGUGUUUGAAUUAGAGAUAGGAGAUUGAGGUUGAUUUGCAAAAACAAAACCAAGUGGUGGCAAAGAAUGAUCCAUAUAUGCCAAUUUUGAAUCAAAACAAUUUUGAGUUCUCAUUUGUAUUGAUGUUGCACUUCUUUUAGUUGCUUUUUGUUGUGUUGGCAUAAAUCACCAAAAAGGGGGAGAUUGAAAGGGAAAUGUGCCCUUGGGCCAUUUCUAAGUAUUUUGGUGAUUGAGUGCCAACACAAGUGCUUAAGUGUAAAUCUAUGCCAAUUGAUGGACAAAGUGCAAAUCAAGUCUAAAGGUAUGUUUCUAGACUUAGUACACUGUUUUGAGAACUAAUGUAUUGUGUCUAAGUGCUGGAAACAGGAGAAAUCAAAUUGGAAAAGAGAUGGCUUUGUUCAGCCAAAGUCUGCUCAGUCUGGGUGCACCGGACAGUGUCCGGUGCGCCAGGCUGGCUCUGGCGAACUUGCUGCUCUCGGGACUUCGACGACGGUGUAUGGCUAUAAAUCACCGGACUGUCCGGUGGUGCACCGGACUGUCCGGUGAGCCAUUCACAGGCGAACUCGUCGCUCUCGGGAGAUGAUUAACGGCGUACGGCUAUAAGUCACCGGACUGUCCGGUGAGCCAACGGUCGGCCGAGCGAUCCACGCGGGACACGUGGCCGAGCCAACGGCUAGAAGGGGGCACCGGACUGUCCGGUGUGCACCGGACAGUGUCCGGUGCGCCAACGACUCUGAAUCUUCAACGGUCGGCUUCGCCAAAUAAGGAAAGAGAUCCGCACCAGACAGUGUCCGGUGGUGCACCGGACUGUCCGGUGCGCCAGGCGACAGAAGGCAAGAAUUGCCUUCCUGGAAUGCUUUCAACGGCUCCUAGCUGCCUUGGGGCUAUAAAAGGGACCCCUAGGCGCAUGGAGGAGCACACCAAGCAUUCUCUAAGCAUUCCUAAGCACCAAGAGUUUGAUUCCGCGCAUUUGAUUCUUUGUGAUAGUAACUAGAGCUCUAGUUGAGUUGAGAACUCGUCGGGUUGUGUUGUGAGCUCUUGUUGCGACUUGUAUGCGUGUUGUCACUCUGAUUUUGUGUCUUGUGUGUGUUGCUCAUCCCUCCAUUACUCCGUGCUUCUUUGUGAACAUCAAAGUGUAAGGGCGAGAGACUCCAAGUUGUGGAGAUUCCUCGCGAGCGGGAUAAAGUAAGCAAAGCAAAACACCGUGGUAUUCAAGUGGGUCUUUGGACCGCUUGAGAGGGGUUGAUUGCAACCCUCGUCCGUUGGGACGCCACAACGUGGAGUAGGCAAGUUUUGUACUUGGCCGAACCACGGGAUAAACCACUGUGUCUAUCUGUGUUGAUCCUCUUGUGGUUGUUGUGUUUUGCAAGAACUCCUCUCUAGCCACUUGGCAUUAUUGUGCUAACGCUUAAUCAAGUUUUUGUGUCUUUAAGUUUUCAAGUUUUACAGGAUCACCUAUUCACCCCCCCUCUAGGUGCUCUCAGUAAGUUGGCAGGCUUGCCCUCAGCGGCAUAAUAACAUGACAUUGCAGUUAGCCACAAUUCCAUUUUAGCUUUCCAAAUCAAGAAGUUUUUACCAUCAAAAGGAUCAGGCUUGAGCACAACAGCAAAACCUCUGACAAAAAAUGCCUAACAUUAGGUUUUUGGUUUGUUAGAAAUAUAGGCAUUUUCCAUAUUAUUUUAAUUCCAUAAAUUAAUAUGAUGAUGAUGACAUAUAAAAUAUGUUUAAUCAUAGAAAUUGCAAUCUCAAAUAUAUCCAUAACAAUAUGGAUCAUGAGAACAUAAAGCAUAUGAAUCAUAUAAUUAUAAUAAGCAUAUAAACAUGGAACAUGUAUUAUUAUGGAACAACUGAAAAUAAACAGAUAGCAACAUAAACAACAUGACUGUAACAUUAAAACAAACAGAUUUAACAUAUUACUAGUAUGAACAGACAUCAGACAUGUCACGAUAUAAUACGAUAGAACAGUUUGGAUAAAUUCAUGGCUAUAUAUGAAACAACAGAGAUGAACAUAUGCAACAUAUAUAAUCUGCAUAACGUAAAACAGUAAAGAACUGAAUUGAUCAUACCCUCCCAUGCGCUCCGAGGAUCCUGAUCCUUGUCCAACUUCCUUUGUCAUCCGUACGAGAUGAAGACGCCAGGAACCAGCGAUGAAGACAACGACGGACGUUGGGCAGUCGCGUAGACGCUCCCCAAAAACCUAAUUACCGAUCCCCCGUUGCAAGGUCUCGAAUGGCACCGGCUUCGGAGGCACCUGCCCUCUCGCUUCUCUGUGCGCGCAGAGCUAAGACAUGGAAACACCCACACUUGCGGCUGAACUGUGAUUCUGAAGGUUCUGCUCCCGUGUACCAAGUGCCAGGGGUUCUCCUCUAUUUAAGGGAAGCUGAAGGAGAAGAGUCGCAUGCGACACGCCAAGGGACAGACAACAGAAGGGUCUCGCAUGCGGCUGACGAAGAGACGGGCAACUCCUGGAGUUGAAACUCCUGCGGUUAAUGAGUGCUAAAAAUUAACACAAACACACCACGCCCGCUCACCGCCUGCCACGCCACGCCCGGCCCGAGCCCGGCUGGCGGCGGCGGCGCGCGCACGUGUGUGGCACGCCCUUGUUCGUUUCUUGACUUCUCAAAUUAAGUGAAAUAAUUCCCACCAUAUAAGUCAAGCCAAAAGACCCUUGGACUUCUAAUAUAGUACUAUUGGUAUUCUCCAUCAUUACACACCAUAGAGUUUAUUGAAUAAAUGAGCCAAGUCCAUAAAAGAUCUAACAAAGUGAGCACUCGAACCCAUAACCCAUGCUCUAAAAAAUUGAGCCUAACUACUAUACCACAUGUACUUUAGUGUUUAGAAACAAAUAAUAUUUAUAUUUAUAAUCUAGACGCCCCUUCAUCAACUCUUCCGCUUCGUGGUAACGCACGAGCACAUAGCUAGUAUAUAUAUAUAUACUCUAUAGAACAAACUCUAUAGAACAAGAGUUGUCAGUGGUAAAGUGACAAACAGAAAGAAGACUCUGAGUGAUGUUGGAGGCAACAAGAACAUUUUUGAGGCGAAAGGGGCUGGGAAGGACCGCAUCACCUACUGAGGUGAUGGGGAAGACCGACCCAUCGCCGAUGACGAUGGAAGAAUGGAAGAGGGAUGAGGUGGGUGAGUGGCGGAUAAAGUACCAGUAUCAGAGGUGGGUGGUAGGAAGCUCUAGAGUCAGCCACCCAAUCUGAGACCGAGGUGGGUGGAGCGAGAGUCAUGCUGAAAAACCUAGCAAGCGACUGUGCGUCCCAUGAGUGCACAUGAGAGGUGGGUGGGGGAGGAAGGUGACCCGACUAGAAGUGAGGCGGUGUCGGGGUCGUCGAAAGUGCCGAGGGGGGGGGGGUGUGGAGCAGCAUAGAAGGUAAUACAAUAGAAGAACCACCACAGCGGCUAAACUACCACACGCCUGAUGUUCUGAACCAACUCUUAUAUGUAUGGCUGAACUAAACGAUGGUGCUGACUGUUUGUACGUACUACUGUAUCGUAUCCCUUCUAGGCAUAGUUGCAGUUGCCAGGCUGCCCCCAAGGCCCCAACGCAAUGCAACAACAGAGUUGCUGAACCAACAAGGAACGCACCCUCUACUACUGCAAGCAUGUCCAUGACGCGGGAUGAAAAACUCAUGCUGCACAUGAUUCCAUGCAGAAUGAGUUCAUUCUCCAGACCAAACACGCCAUUAGCAAUCCCUCCAGCUAGGUUAUAUAGGAACACGAGAAAGCAGAGCACGGUUGUAGCUGUAGGUGUAAAGAUGGCGACAUGGCGUGGCGUCGUACUUUGGGACCUACCAGCCGAGCCAAGCUUGUGCCCGAGUCACGAAAUUAUAUAUAUAUAUAUAUAUAUAUAUAUAUAUAUAUAUAUAUAUAUAUAUAUAUAUAUAUAUAUAUAUAUAUAUAUAUAUAUAUAUAUAUAUAUACACGGCGACACUAAAAUGCACCUGGGUGCAUUCUCUAUAUUGAAUGCACCCAGGGUGCAAUAACACCCCGAGCAUGCCUCCCCAUAAGAGCACGCCUUUAGCCCUCCUGUACGUGCGCCUCCCUGCCCCCCCCCCCCCGCCGUGAGUAUCCUUUAAUUGCAAACUUAAGUCUCUGUUUUUACUCCUUGAUUACCAUUGCAUGCUGUGUUGUUACUCCAGUUGCAACGUUUGUUGCUUGUUGAUUGCAACUAUGGGUAUCCGCUAAUUGCAAACUCAUGAUUGCGUGUUGUUCUACAGGAUGCAAACAUACUUGAUGUGUUUGUCCCCAGGGUACGACAAACAUUUGAUACAAGGGAAGAAGCCUACCUCUUUUACCUUGACUAUGCAAAGUUGGCUGGUUUUAGUGUCAGGACAAAGAGGUGUAAUUGCAACUGCUGGUGUGGUGUGAUUGCAACCCCGCAUUAGGUGUGAUUGCAACUGCUGUAUAAUUCUACCCAAAUAUCUGUUAAAAAAAUAUAAACAAAAUGAUUGCAACUGCUGGUAUGUUGUAAUUGCAACUACUGGUGUGGUGUGGAUGCAACUGUUGAGUUGCUCUGAUGUGAUUGCAAGUACUGAAUAACUCUGGGAAAUUUUGUUAAAAAAUAUGAUUGCAACUGCUGGUCUGGUGUAAUUGCAACUGCUGGUCUGGUGUGAUUGCAACUUCUAUAUAACUAGAUGCAACUGCUGGUCUGGUUCGAAAAUUGUAGCAUUCUGUCGGGAGCGUGCGGGAGGGACGAAAACGAAGCGUCGAUUCGGCCUGGGUGGGACGGUUGGCUCGGACUAGGUGCUCCUGACGCGUAGGUUCGACCUGGGUGCAUUCUCUAUAUUGAAUGCACCCAGGUGUAAUAUAUAAAUACAGUGUAUAUAUAUAUAUAUAUAUAUAUAUAUAUAUAUAUAUAUAUAUAUAUAUAUAUAUAUAUAUAUCUAUAUAACAAACGCGGACGCAAAGCUCGCUCCUCAGUAAGCCACGUCAUCCUUUGGUUGUGUAGCCGUUCGAUCGUGCUUCGACGGUCCUGUGCAGCUCUCCAAUCCGCUACGCAACGAGAAGUUUCCAAAUGCUCCAUCACCUCCAGCUAAACGCCCACCGUCCGGCCCUAGCCUGCGCGUAGCGUCGCCCAUGAAGCUCCUCCCUCCCAUGGAAUUUCUCUCGUCGUCUCACUCGAGAACAAUCUCGUGCCGACCGCCCACAUCUUCUCGGCAAUACUCUCUACCACUUCCUUCCGAACUCCAUCCUUCAACACGGCGGGCGCCUUCUCUACGAGCUCCUCAGACCCAGAUCCGUGAACGGAGGAGGUAGGCGCACUCCUAGAAGAGGACGUGGCGAGGUAUGCCACGGCGGGUCGCCGUGAGCAUAUGGUCGACGCCGAGGCAGCCGCUCAGGCAUCUAGGGAAGAGGCCACAAGGACGUACGGAGCCCGCAGGUCUCGUCAACAAGCAUGGAGCCGUGUGGGAUCGGGUUGAUGGCGGUGGAGGAGGAAGCAUCAUCCUUUAUGUGGAGGAGGUAGGCGCUGCUGGCGAUGGCGGCACGUCCGCACGCGCCGUGGCUCUUGGCGGAUUCGUGGGCGUUGGCGUGUGCCUGGACGAGGACGCGGCGAGGUGCAUUGCGACGGCGCAGGUCGUCGGGAACAGCAGCACCUAAUCCCUCCCAGUUUGUACUGCCGAAUGAAGAUGCACGGAUCAUGCAAAGAGCAAACCCCAAGCAUUCGCACGGAUCGACAGUUGUGUUCGAGCGUACAACAGCAUGCGAGAACACUCCGGCAUGCUCAUAUUUUCCCUCACGAGCUCCGCACGGUGUGAUUGGGGAACGGGCGGGGCGACAACAGCGCACUCAGAUGAGGCAGCAUGGUCGCAGUGAGAGGAGGCGGAGGCAGAGGUCUCAUUUCUAUGUCCGUGUAAAGCUGGUCCCAAUUUGAGGUAUGCGCAUAUGAGGUUUUUAUGAUUUGCUAACUGAAAUAUUUGGAGUUCCAAUUUUGCCAAUGGCUCAGCCCAAAUAGUAUUUCUACUGUACAAAAGCUAUCACCAUGUGUGAAAAGUUUUGAACACGGAGUUAAUUUAAAUUAAGAUUCACCAAUUCAAAUUAUUAUACUAUUGUCUUCUUCUACUAUUAUACACGCAUUUUCAAACACAUCCAACCUUAAGUGCAGAAAAAAUCUUCGCCUAAUAUAUUGCAAGGUACCAACACUCCACGUUGGAUUUCUCAUACUAUAACCAUUUGUGUGAAGAGUUUGAAACUUGGAGUUCUUUUGUGUGCAAUAACUUGGACCAUAUAAAUGAAUCCACGAUGUCUAGGAAGCCUGCUUGGACCAUAUAAAUGAAACCACGAUGUUUGGGAACCUGCUAACCGAUUCAAGUGAGACCACACACGCUCUGUAGGUGGCUCAUUUAGGCUCCUAUACAUAACACAGCUAAGCUAAGUCGUACUGCACACUACUAUUGCUACUAGCUUUCAAGUGGCAAAAAAGGUGAUGUUUAAUCAUGCAUGCUUAUUCUAUUUUUUGUCCAUGUGUAGUGUUCUUUCAAAUCCUUUUUUUGUCAGACUUCACCGUUUCCUCUCCAGUUAUUUUCAGGUUUUAUGACACUCAUGGCAACAGGAAGGUUGCUUCUGAUUACAUCUGCAUAUUCUUGUGAGAUCUGGCAAUUUCAUUUAUGACAUAGCAAGAGACAAAGGUUUGUAUUCUGGAAUUCUGGUUCGUUCUUUUGUUAUCACACGACAUAAAAAAAAUUAAUAAUGUUGACUUGAUUCCAUCAUCAGUGCCUUGAAUGCCUGGAAUUCCGUCAGUACAAUAAGAAAAUCCCUAUGAUGGAUACUAAAUGAAAAGCACUUGAACCUAAAAAAAUCCAUUAAACAUGGCUGAUGCAAACCUUUGAGGUUUGUUAAUCUAAUUUUGUAGAAUCCCCCAAGCAGCAUCACCACAUGUACAUAUACGACAUUUUCAUUUCAACUACAUCUUUUUUAGUAAAACGUCUUCAUUUGCUUUUACUCAUUUAGUUUUCCCUAAAAGUUAUUUUUAGCAUUUGUUGACAAAACACAUAAAAGUGGUAAUAGUUACAUUGAAGGUGUUGACUCCAACAAUGCAUGUUAUGGUGGGACAGCAAUUCUACUGAAAUGUGUGAAUUGGGUCGAAAGCAACUCCUAUGAUGGCCGUUACAGUCUUGUCGUGCACAGACAUCGCAUUUUGUCAUGCAGUCCUCCCUAUAAACAUCAGUUUUGUAAUUUUUUUCUUUUAGAAACACAUAAUCACUUUCUACCAUCUCUAUUGACUAUUGUGAUGUUCAAGUUUAUGCCAAAGGCCAGCUCGUCCAACAGGAGGAGGUGCUGCUAUAGCAAUGAUAACUGGUCGUAAUUCUCUGAUUCCCUUCGACACAUGGCUCCUGUUUAUGAUUUCUACAAACCUGAUCUUGCAAGUGAAUAUCCGGUUAGUUUUCUAUUGAUAAAACGAUUUAUACUAUUUCAUACGCAUUCACCUAAUCUUCAGAGUUCAGACCCAAUUAAAUGUUUCUGGUUAUCCAUCUUAGAGUUCAACAUUUUUACAACAGCACAUUCAUUCCAGGUUGCUGAUGGUAAACUAUCCCAACCAUGUUACCUAAUUGCUCUAAUUCAUGCUACAAACAGUUCUUCAACAAGUAAGUCGCUGCAACUUUUCUCCUUUCCUUUUAAUAAUGAUUAGAUUGAUUUUUCUUAAAAUUUCCCAAUGCCGCACUGCAAUUUCUGAAACUAGGUAUAAGAGAAUUGUGAGUAAACAAUUAUCAAUUUCUAAUGUAGAAUAAUUUGUAUUCUAUUCUCCAUACAACAAGGUAAGAUAUAAAUAACCAAGGGCUUUAAAUGAAGACCAACAACCAUUAUUUCUGGAAGUUUUCUUUAAAGAGGUACGCACGCAGGGCGUGCGCCCAGUUACUAGUAUAUAUAUAUACGGCGACACUAAAAUGCACCUGGGUGCAUUCUCUAUAUUGAAUGCACCCAGGGUGCAAUAACACCCCGAGCAUGCCUCCCCAUAAGAGCACGCCUUUAGCCCUCCUGUACGUGCGCCUCCCUGCCCCCCCCCGCCGUGAGUAUCCUUUAAUUGCAAACUUAAGUCUCUGUUUUUACUCCUUGAUUACCAUUGCAUGCUGUGUUGUUACUCCAGUUGCAACGUUUGUUGCUUGUUGAUUGCAACUAUGGGUAUCCGCUAAUUGCAAACUCAUGAUUGCGUGUUGUUCUACAGGAUGCAAACAUACUUGAUGUGUUUAUCCCCAGGGUACGACAAACAUUUGAUACAAAGGAAGAAGCCUACCUCUUUUACCUUGACUAUGCAAAGUUGGCUGGUUUUAGUGUCAGGACAAAGAGGUGUAAUUGCAACUGCUGGUGUGGUGUGAUUGCAACCCCGUAUUAGGUGUGAUUGCAACUGCUGUAUAAUUCUACCCAAAUAUCUGUUAAAAAAAUAUAAACAAAAUGAUUGCAACUGCUGGUAUGUUGUAAUUGCAACUACUGGUGUGGUGUGGAUGCAACUGUUGAGUUGCUCUGAUGUGAUUGCAAGUACUGAAUAACUCUGGGAAAUUUUGUUAAAAAAUAUGAUUGCAACUGCUGGUCUGGUGUAAUUGCAACUGCUGGUCUGGUGUGAUUGCAACUUCUAUAUAACUAGAUGCAACUGCUGGUCUGGUUCGAAAAUUGUAGCAUUCUGUCGGGAGCGUGCGGGAGGGACGAAAACGAAGCGUCGAUUCGGCCUGGGUGGGACGGUUGGCUCGGACUAGGUGCUCCUGGCGCGUAGGUUCGGCCUGGGUGCAUUCUCUAUAUUGAAUGCACCCAGGUGUAAUAUAUAUAUAUAUAUAUAUAUAUAUACUAGGUGAGUGCCCGUGCGUUGCAACGGAAACAUAUAAUAACACAACAACUUAUGUACAAAUAUGUGUUAUACUGUUCUGAGAAAAAAUUUUGCAAUUCAUUUAUGAUCCUAGCCACAUAUAAAUUUCAUUGUUUUAAUCUACCUAUUUCACCACUACAUUACAGUAAUGACACCUGACAUCCAUGCACAGCAACGGGGGCAGUCGGAUGAGAAUCUCUGUAUGGCUCAGGGUACCGGUCUUUGAAGUUUAAUCUAGGAUGGUCAGCCUGAAAUGCAAACCAAUACAGCCAAAAUUACUUCUCAGGUGGAACAAGAUCCAUUCUGGUAAUGUAUACAUGAAUGGAAUACCAGAACUUUGAUGGGAAAAACGAAGUUUCGUUUGGAAGGAAGAGUCCAAGAACAACAUCUCACCAUUAAGAAUCUAAAGGGAAUUUCUUAAAGAAAGAAAGAACCUGAAUAUUCAUUCAGAUUUCCUCACAUGGUCAAAACAUGGAAAUAAAAAAAAUAUGAAUGCUAAGUCAGAAAGAAUAAAUUCAAGAAAACUAAAAUAGCAUUUUAUAGUUUCAGACCAUCAUGUACAAACGUUAGAUCUCAAAUGUGCAUAAAAGGGAGAGAAACUACUUCUGGGCAUGAAUAUUUUAGAUAAGAGAGCAGUUUUUGUGCCCGGGUGGCUGGCGCCCUGGAUAUCAGGACCAUCCAUUUCCAUCAGCCUGAUCAACCUUAGGCAGAGAGUAACCGGAACCAAUGCUCCAGUUGUUCGGUAAAAACUCCCUAGCACAAUUCAAUAUUUUUUAUGAUGUGGAAUAAAAUGACUACUCAAGUGUCUACACCAUUGCAGAAUUUUGUUUUUUUCACUUUCAGAUACAUCAUGGAUUACACUUUUUUCGUGGUCAAUGUUCCAUCUUCUAUAAAUAGCACUGAAAUGUUCCAUCUGAGGUAGCAUUCCAAUAAAU
This 124476-nucleotide long non-coding RNA is filed under the name Zea mays. RNAcentral describes it as "long non-coding RNA (ZMAY_LNC002091)". The stretch from base 70636 to 70708 matches the Rfam family "tRNA". Lineage: Eukaryota; Viridiplantae; Streptophyta; Magnoliopsida; Poales; Poaceae. The record is from RNAcentral.